This 118450-nucleotide long non-coding RNA is filed under the name Sorghum bicolor (sorghum). RNAcentral describes it as "long non-coding RNA (SBIC_LNC004176)". The stretch from base 112586 to 112694 matches the Rfam family "MIR5565 microRNA precursor family". Lineage: Eukaryota; Viridiplantae; Streptophyta; Magnoliopsida; Poales; Poaceae. The record is from RNAcentral.
CCGCGAGGAGGUCCCGGUUCACGUGGUUCGUGUCGUCGUCGUCGUCGUCCCGGCCGGACCGUGGUGCGAGGCGGAAGCAUACCAGGGAGAACCUCCUCGGGGCCACCACCUCGAAGCGCUCGUCGGCCGCCACCCUCUGCUCGAACCACUUGGCUGCUGCGACGUGCCGACGGAUGUGCGCACGCAUGCCAGCCGCACCGUACCGCCGCAGUAUGACCCAGAGCUUAAUGGCACGGAACCGGCGCGUCAUGGAGAUCUGCCAGUCCUUGUAGUCUACGGCGGCCGGCGUUCCUGCGCCGCCGUCUUCCGCGCCGACGUUCUUGAGGUACUCCGGAUCGGUGGACAGCGCCGAGAUCAGGUCACGGGGUCUUGCCACCCACAGGCAGCAGCAGUCCAUGUUGGUAAGGAACCACUUGUGCGGGUUCAUGCUCACCGAGUCGGCGAGCUCCGCGCCGUCGAGGUAGUCCUGGAACUCCGGGCAGAUGGCCGCGCUGCCGGCGUACGCUGCGUCAAGGUGCACCCACAUGCCGUGGCGGCGCGCCUCCUCCCCGAUCUCGCGAACGGGGUCGACGGCGCCGAGCCCCGUCGUGCCCACCGUGGCGCAGAGGUAGAGCGGCACCAGCCCGAGGCCGACGUCGCGGUCGACGGCGGCGCGGACGGCUUCCGCGGUGAGACCGUACCCUGAAGCCGCCGACGUCUUGAUGACCCGGAAGUUCGACGGUGGGAUCCCGACGAGCCGGGCGCCCUUCUGGAACGUGGCGUGCGUCUGGUCGGAGGCGUAGACCACCAGCCUGGCGAUGGCCUCGUGCCCGAGCCUACCCAGCGCGCCGUCCCGCGCGGCGGCGAGCGUGCACACCACGGCCUCGCACGUGCUCCCCUGCAGGACGCCCCCGCCGCCGCCGGAGAAGAGGAACCGGCGCGGCAGGCCGAACAGCCGCGCCAUCCAGUCGACGACGACGCUCUCGAGCUCCGCGGCGGCCGGCGACGCGGCCCACACGAAGGGCACGACGUUGAGGCCGACCGACAGCAUCUCCCCCGCGAGCCCAGCGGAGCUGGCGUUCAUCGGGAAGAAGGCGAAGAACCGGGGGCUCUGCCAGUGGGUGAGCCCCGGCAGGAUGUCCCGCCUCACGUCCUCCAGUAUGUGCUCCAUCGGCUCGCCGUGCUCUGGCGCGGCCUCGGGGAGCAGCUUGCGGACGCGGCCUGGCUCCAUGUCGGCCGCCCGCACCGGGAACUUGUCCACGUCGCGGUAGUACUCGGCGAGGAAGUCUAGAAUCGCCUGCGAGUCGCCGGCGAUGGCGUGAGGGUCCAGUGGCUUCAUUGGCAAGUCCAGUGGCAAGCUGCCCAUCGCCGCGACGACAAGUUAAUCUAGCAGAGGCUUGUGGUUCCGGGAGAAGAUGUAUUCUAGGCGUGUUUGUGUCGGCUUCAGUUGUGCAUGCAGUGGCCUAUAUAUAUAGUGCGAGUGCGAACACGCAGGGCUGUGCACGCUGAAACAAACUUGCAUGAUUUGGCAAGCAUGUAUCUCUGCCGCGGCACGAUCGGGGAGAAGAUCGGACAGGGACACGAGGGGAUGGACCCCUUGGAUAUGUAGAUCUGGAACUGGAACCAUUAACGAGCUCCAUCAGUUUUGUCAGAAAUACACACUCAUCAUCAGUGAUCAGGUCUCAUGGCGUGCGCAAGCGCAACGGUGCACACCGCACCUCAGGCCCCAACCCCCAAGUGAUGUCCGAUUCCAACGUGUUCCCCAUGUAGUACUAGUUGUUUUGAGCUGUCGUCACAAGUGUCAUCUGUAACUGUAAAUGGCUAUUGGAAGACGAACCACGAGAUAGGAGGUCUGGAAAUUGUUUAUUGGCAUUGCUGUCCACCACUCAACUACCCAGUCAUAACGAAAGGAGAUCUGAAUUAAAAGCUAGUAUAUGAUAAAUAACUUUUCUACUUCACCGGCACCGGCAUAUGGUUGUUAUGCUCGGUAACGAAACAUAUCUUAAGUCAAAUUUUUAAAUUUUGACCAAAUUUCUAAAAAAUACUAAGAUUUAUAGUAUCAAAUUAGUAUCAUUAGAUUCAUUAUAAAAUAUAUUUUCAUAUAAUGCUCAUUUUAUAUCAUAGAUAUUGCUAUUUUUUUCUAUAAAGUUAGUCAAACUUAAAAAAGUUUGACGGACAUAGUUUCUACGAAUUGAUUCUUUCGUGGACGAGGGAGUAUUAUGAUAGUAUUUUGGUAUUAUGAUAGUAUUUUUUUCGACAAGAUGGCAAAAGUUUUAUAUUCAUUUUUUUAUAAGACGGCAAAAAGUUUUUGUCGUAAAUUUUAUUAGACGAUAGAAAAAAAUAGAACUGUACAAACAAAGUAAAAACAAAAACCUUUUACAACGUGAACACAUGACUUCAAACCUCGACUCUACUUUGCGUAAUUAGAACAAGCUCAAUGUAUACAGCAAAAUCAAACCAGUCCAUAAAAAGAGGCCAAGAAUCAGCAGUCCUUUAAUAGGCCAGUCUCAAUGCAUAGUUUCAUAACACAGUUAUCAAGACUAUAAACUAGGUAACCGAGCCACAUGAGUUUUAUGGGGAUGAAAUUCCUCUCUUAUCUGAUGAAACUCCUUCAUUUAAUGACCCUGCCAAGUCAGCAAUUUUGCUUAUGUGGCACCCUAUUUUAAUGUGCAUGACACUCUCAUGAAACAUGUAUUGAGACUAGCCUAUUGUCUCUUCCACAAUGUAUAGCCGGUAAGGUAGGGCCCAUUUAAAAGUUAAAAAAUCCCUAUCCUCCGUUGCAUCUUCUUCCUCGUUCCUCGCCUGCAUCUUCUUGCUCGGCGGGUGGCGCUAAGGUUGAAAACGGACGGAAACGAACGGAAAAUCGCUCUAUCGUUUUCAUUUUCAUAUUCUUAGACGAAAACGGAAGCGGAAGCCAGACAACCGGGAGCGAAAACGGUAGCGGGAUAAACGGUAAUACGAAAACGGGUAAAUACGAUCGGAAAAUAGACGGAAACGAGCGGUAAGCGAAAAAUUGAACCGGAACAUGUAAAGCUGCAUAUGAUAGCGCAAAUACAGAGACCAAAAUGCAAUACGAAAUAUCAAAUAUGCACUGACCAGUGACUAGUGACCACAAUAAUACAAUACCACAUAUCCAUAUUCCAUAGAUCACAAUUAACAUAAAUAUGAAUUAUUCAUACAUCGCAUAAGAACAUAUCCAUAGUCCAUAGAUCACAAUUCACACAAAUAUGAAUUAUCCAUACAUCACAUAAGACAAGAAACAUUUUAGGUCAUAUUGGGCUUGGGGACUAUGUUGGGCUACUUUCCCGUUUUUAUGAAAAAUGGGAUAGAAAACGGGAUAUCCCGGUAAAAAACGGGAUUCCGCAAAUACGGACGGACAAACGCUCUACCGUUUUCGAUCCUGCUCCCGUUUUAAUCCGUCCCAUUUUUGAUCCCGUUUCCAUUUAUCCCGUAAAAAACGAAAACGAACGAGAAAAUACGGUAUACGGUUGCGGACAAAACGGAAUCUAUCCCGUCGGGCGGCACGGAUGGCCAGACACGCAGUCUCGCGGGCGGCGCGAAUGGCCGAGGCGGACAUGCCAAGCUAAUGGACUGCACAGACGACCAGCCGGUGAGCUACAAGGCGCACGGAGCUAUCGGUGCCGCGAGCGCACGAUGACCUCCCCAUGGCGCAAGGCGUCAGAUGCCGGUCCUCUUCAUCUCGCGGGAUGGGCUAAUGGCCGGCGCGGUGACCUCGCGGGCAGUGCGGUAACAAAGGAAGCACAUGGAGGUGGGUGCUGGUCGGGCUGGUCAGCAAAAGGAGAGAAAACAAAGUCUGUCUAUCUAGCAACCAUGUGUUUCAUACACUUUGAACACAUGAAUUUUUUUUUACCAUAGGGUGAAGAUCCAACAGUCUUCACCUUUCUUCUACCUCCAGCCUCUAGCCUUCUUCUACCUCCGGACAAUCACAAAUCACAGAUUAAAGAUCACAUAUCACACAUCACAUAAAACAAAUUUUUUCUAUGAAAGGACAAAUCACAAAUCACCGAGGAGGAGGAGGAGGAGAGGCCUACUGUGGCCGGAUCUGCCGCCGCCGCCGGCGAAACUGUCGCCACCGCUGCUGCCAUGGCUGGUGCCGGCGGGCGCGGGCACUAGAGGCGUGUCGGGCAUGGACGCUGGGAGACGCGUCGAGCAUGGACGUUGGGAGGCGUGUGCCCGCCGUUGGCGCCGUAGGGAGGCGCGCCGUCGCCGGACGUGGGCGCUGGGUGCUCGCCGACAACGGAGGAGGAAGGAGUGCAGCCGCAUCGGGAGGGAGGCGACAGUCGAGAAGGAGGGAGGAAAGAGGCGCAUGAGGGAGGGAGGGAGAGAAAUUGGACGUGGCCCUAAAGUCAUAGACACAGAAAAAACCAUUAAAAACACAUGGGUGUUGUAUAACAUUACUGUUUUUUAUUACUAUAUAGCCGUCAGUCUAUAAGAGCAAGCGCAAUGUGUUCAGCCGAACCGGUCUAUAAAGAUGGGGCCCACAGCAGGUGGCAGUAACUAAAGUUCUGUAUAAAAAUUAUUUUUAUUGAAUUUUUAUGUAACAUUAGAAUGGGAAAGCUAGUAACAUAAUACAAAAAUAAAUGACCACUGUCAAAACUAAAUAUAUUUAGAGUUGUAAAAUACAAGUAAUAUAUACCAAAUCAAUGCGUAAAAAAUAAGGAGGAAACUGAGAUUACUUUGCUAGCAAAGAUCUAAAGAUCAAAUCCAAGUUUUUAAGGCUAAAUUUAUGGAUUAGUAGAGAUUGGGCGGGUAGAGGAGAGCAAGAACCCGAAAAAGAGGUAUAACAAGAAGACCAUGGUCGAGCAGGGAAGCUGAGGGGUGAUUCUUAAAUCAGAGCUCGGAGCCACAGAUCUUGGCUACGAGCUCGGCGCCAAGAUAUGUGACUCCGAGCUCGGAGCCAAGAUCUGUGGCUCCGAGGUAGUGCCAUGUCAUCGCCACAUAUGCUGCCACUUUGUACGCGAGUAACCACCUUGGAACCAAGAUCUGUGGCGCCGAGAUGUGUAACCUCGGAACCACGAGUCCUGGCGCCGACUCACUGGGUCCAAACAUGAGUUUAAGUUUUAGAGGGGGUUAAAUGUGAAUUUUUUUCAAAAAAGGCUAAAAAGUAAAAAAAAAAAUUGGGUUGCCAUGUUGCAUCCCUAGAACUGAACCUUGCCCCCUCCUUUUAUAGUUGCAAGGAGAGGCAGAGUUUACAUAUAUGUGCAAUGUACCGUUUCUGUUGGAUCUGAGGCCAUGCGGAGGUAUGCCGCAGUACUGUAAAGGGAUGGCAUCCAUCCUUUGGCUGUUGUAGGCAUUCAUGGUAGUAGUAGUGCGAGGCGUGCCCUCCUGUGUAGACGUCGUGACGAGCCAUGCUUAUCCUAUAAGUGAGAUGCCUAGCCCUGUGGUUGGCGUGCCAACCCCCUGUUCUGAGACCCUCUGGAUUGGGAGUCGUGCCCUAAACUCUCACGAGCUCGUGGGUAUAGGGGCUUGGAUUGAUGCUUGUAUGUCUGCAUAGGUCUCUGCCAUACGCAUAGUGAGCACCAUGCCUUGCCCUGUGUAGUUGUAGUCGUGGUGGAGAUUUGACCCCCCCCCCCCUCCCCAUGUCUUGUCCGGCUGUACCACAGUCUCGUUGUGGGAUCGUAGCUGACGUCAUAAGAGGCCUCGAGCGCACCAAUGGAAAGAAAGCGUCCGAGCCCUGGGGUCGGGCGAGUCAGAGAUUUUUGGCUCUUACCUCGCUCGAGGCCCCGUUGUCAGGUCUCUGACAAGACGGACAAUAGAUUAGUCUCGCUUGCGCCCGAGGCCUCGUCAUUGAGUCUAGGGCGGGACAGAGAAUGGAUGUUUAGUUAGCUUGGCCUCUUAUCGAGACAAGUAGAGGGGGGCUUUAGUCCUCUUCUUUGGAUACCUCAGAUUGUAGUAUCCAACAAAUUAUUUGACCCUAUAAGCAAACGACCUUUAUCUUUAGUUAACUCUAACACUAAUGGACUAUCUAGCCAGCCUAGACCUUGGACUAUUAGAUGAAGUUGUUUUACCAAACGGUCCUAGCUACCUGAGCAAAUCUGUCCUAGAGAAUAGAAGUUGUUUUGGUUAGAGCCAGAGCUCUACCAAACGGACCUAGGCGUGCUUCCCAAAUCAUGAACGUUUGUUCCAGCGCGUAUAGCCUGCGUGUUCGCACUAUAUAUAAGCCACUGCAUGCACAGUUCAAGCCGACACAAACACGCCGAAUACAUCAAUUUCUCCAGGAACCUGAAGCUUCUGCCAGAUUAACUUAUCGGCGCUGCGAUGGGCAGCUUGUCACUGGACAUGCCAAUGAAGCCACUGGACCCCCACGCCAUCGCCGGCGACUCGCAGGCGAUUCAAGACUUCUUGGCCGAGUACUACCGCAACGUCGACAAGUACCCGGUCAGGGCGGCGGACCUGGAGCCAGGCCGGGUGCGCAAGCUGCUCCCCGACGCCGCGCCAGAGCACGGCGAGCCGAUGGACCACAUACUGGAAGACGUGAGGCGCGAAAUCCUGCCGGGGCUCACCCACUGGCAGAGUCCUCGCUUCUUCGCUUUCUUCCCGGCUAACGCCAGCUCCGCUGGGCUCGCGGCGGAGAUGCUGUCGGUCGGCCUCAACGUCGUGCCCUUCGUGUGGGCCGCGUCGCCGGCUGCCGCGGAGCUCGAGAGCGUCGUCGUCGACUGGAUGGCGCGGCUGUUCGGCCUGCCGCGCCGGUUCCUCUUCUUCGGCGGCGGCGGUGGCGUCCUGCAGGGGAGCACGUGCGAGGCCGUGGUGUGCACGCUAGCCGCCGCGCGGGACCGCGCGCUGGGUAGGCUCGGGCACGAGGCCAUCGCCAGGCUGGUGGUCUACGCCUCCGACCAGACGCACGCCACGUUCCAGAAGGGCGCCCGGCUCGUCGGGAUCAAGCCGUCGAACUUCCGCGUCAUCAGGACGUCGGCGGCAUCCGGGUACGGUCUCACCGCGGAAGCCGUCCGCGCCGCCGUCGACCGCGACGUCGGCCUCGGGCUGGUGCCGCUCUACCUCUGCGCCACGGUGGGCACGACGGGGCUCGGCGCCGUCGACCCCGUUCGCGAGAUCGGGGAGGAGGCGCGCCGCCACGGCAUGUGGGUGCACCUCGACGCAGCGUACGCCGGCAGCGCGGCCAUCUGCCGGGAGUUCCAGGACUACCUCGACGGCGCGGAGCUCGCCGACUCGGUGAGUAUGAACCCACACAAGUGGUUCCUUACCAACAUGGACUGCUGCUGCCUGUGGGUGGCAAGACCCCGUGACCUGAUCUCGGCGCUGUCCACCGACCCGGAGUACCUCAAGAACGUCGGCGCAGACGACGACGUCGCGGGAAAGCCGGCCGCCAUAGACUAUAAGGACUGGCAGAUCUCCAUGUCGCGCCGGUUCCGUGCCAUCAAGCUCUGGGUCAUACUGCGGCGGUAUGGUGCGGCUGGCAUGCGUGCGCACAUCCGUCGGCACGUCGCAGCAGCCAAGUGGUUCGAGCAGAGGGUGGCGGCCGACGAGCGCUUCGAGGUGGUGGUCCCGAGGACGUUCUCCCUGGUUUGCUUCCGCCUCGCACCACGGGUCGGCCGGGACGACGACGACGCCACGAACCACGUGAACCGGGACCUCCUCGCGGCGGUGAACGCGAGCGGACGGGCGUUCAUGACGCACUUCGUGGUAGACGGCAAGUUCGUGAUCCGGCUAGCUGUCGGCGGCGCCUCGACGGAGCUGCAGCACGUCAUGGAGGUGUGGGACCUGCUGCAGGGCAAGGCCGUUGAGGUUCUACAGCACUAUCAAACCUAAGCUCUAUAGCUCUCUCCAUAUCGUAGCGAGCAGGGAGCUUUGCAUAAGCAUGCUCACGAGCAAGAUUUGCUCGUACUGUUUGUUUCCGGCUCGUACUAUCUCUGGUAGCUAUGUGUUCUCUUCUGUCAAAGUUUCGACGGUUAUUUUGUUCAAUCGAAGCGUGGUGCGCUUAAUAAAUUUUGAAGAUUAUUGUGUGCCGAAGUGGAAUGCUUUUAAGCAAUGUUUAUACUAUAAGUGAAAAAUAUGAAAUUACUCAAGUUCGGACCUUGACUAAUGGUCGGCAUUCUUAUUCUCUAUUACCAAGCAAUAUCACUUUUCAGUCUUAAUUACUGAAGAUUGUUGAGAAUGUCAAAUUCAUGUGGUAGCAAAGAAAAACUGGAGUAUGUAUCUUGAGCUUUUUCUCUUGUGUUUUAGAAAGUGGGGAGUAGAGGCCCCUACGGCCCUAAUUAAAUGUCUAAAUUUCAUUAAAUGUAGACAAAACUAUACAAGCUGAAACCUAUAGAGGAAGAGAGGAGCAAGCAGUAGAAAAGAGAAGUUCCCGAGGAGAAAAGGAGCAAAAAAAAAAAAGAAAUAAUAAGAAAAAGAAAUUUGACAUAAAUUAUUACAAACUGCUAACAGAUAAGCUGCUCCAUAAUAGAAGUCAGAGUCGAAACCCUUUUACAAGUAACCGAAGCCCUGCCAAACUUGUCCUAACUAUCAAAUAAGAUAGAGCCAUUGUUACUACUACGACUCCUGUCUAGGCCUGAAUGUUGCAACGGCAACUAUAUAUACGCACUAUGAUAUGGUAAUCUUGCACUCUAUGGUAUGGUAUACAAAUCUGAAUAUAUUUUGGUGGUCGUAGACGGGCUUGGACAAGGGUGAGCUUGACCCUCUUGGUGAACCAUCAAGCAAGCGAGAUCUCGAGGCUUUGCCACGGUAGCUUUGCCAUGCUCACCACACUGGCUCUUAUGUUCUUCGUCAAGGCCAAAUCAUAUUCGACGACCGUCAGUUCUGCGCCCAGCCGCCAACGAUGACUUUUACCAUGUCCACCACACCACAACCGCAAACAGGAAACCAGACCGGCCAACCAAUCCAAACUUUCUGCAAACAGGUGACCGACCAAUGCAAUCCAAACCUGCUAAUACCUUCUGGUACCAUGAUUUUCUGCCGUAGCAACGCUCACGGACUGCUACUUUUCCCAGAAAUCAUAGUGGGAUUUAAUAGUUCAAUGUUUCCCGCUUUGAUAAUUACAAAUACAUCAGAUUAUAAUAACACCAUUUUAUCCUCUCAUGAACCAACCUUUACCUUUAGUAAGCAGAAAACUAUGAGACCACAUAAUAAGCAAGCAGAAAACAACGAUGGACAUGGUCACAUGGCAGAUACCACCGAACAUCAUGUAGGCCGAGAGGAAAAGGGAAAACGAAGUUCACAUAUAGAAAAGCGUUUCUGAUGGAAUCGAGAAACUUCAUACCACAGAUAAUCCAACCUUGUUCUACAGCACGCACUCACACAUUACAAUAUAUAAACAAAGCGGGCAUAUGAGACAAGAGGCACUACACUGGCAGGAAAGAGUAAUACUUUUAUGUAAACCACCCAUGCAUUCCAGAUACAUCAUCACCACAUACACACACCACCAUACCACAGGCAGAUCGCCAAUCACCACAUGGAUACCUCCAGGCGGAUACCAGGAUUCAUUCCUGGCUGCACAGCAAAAAUAACUUAUGAAGGAAUUUGUCACAAUAAGCUCGAUCAGAUUUUGGAACCUCAGCUGCCUUCCAAGCUUUUAGGCUGCAAGUACUAUUAUCACUAUGAGAAGGACCACUCCGAAAAUAACCAGCAACAAGCAUAUCUGCAGCAAGAAAAUUGGUAACUAAAUCUGAACAGCAAUGAUGGAGGAUGGUGUUCCUAAAUAUGGAUCUAGGAUAUUAACAAACUGUAGAAGGGCUCGAGAAAUUACCAGCGAAGAGUUCGACUUCUGAGUUUUAGCAGCUUUUGAAAGCUGUCCUUUAGCCUGUGAAGUCGCCACAACAGCAUUCUCUAUAUGGGAGUCAAUGUCAUCUGGUUCACAAAAGGAGAUACACAAUUAGAUGGGGAAGCAGGCAGGCCUAUGCUUGAACAUACCGAAAUGUAGAUCCAAUUUGCCAGAAAGGUCACAUACCUAUCAUUGCUCCUUGAUCAUGGACUAGCACAGCAAGAUCUUUGAAGAUUUCGUUUACUUCAGUGAUUUGGUGCUGAAUCUCUUGUAUUCCCUGAUCCCUCUCCUCAAUGAUGGCCUCAUUGAACACGAUUUCAUUAUCCAAGAAGACCAACUCCUGCCUAUGGCAAAUCAAAAGUUUGAAAUUAGCACCUUGAGAUAUUCAGAAAAUUGACCUGUAUAAAGAGGAAAAAGGUCUCAAUCUUGACAUGCAAACAAAGGGUGAUCAGUGAUGUGACUGUUGUCUAAGCAAUUUUAUAAUUUCAAGGAGGUAUAUGGGUCUCCAAAUUAAAACCUGAAUGCAGAGCUAACAAAUCUAUAUAGAACAAGUAGUUCCACAAAAACACAACAGACAAUCAACUUACCUUCUAGAUUCUAGAAGCUGCGUGCGUUGCUCUGCCAACUUAUCAGCACCAUUAUUCACUUCACUUGAGUUGUAGCUGCAAUGUGAACUCCAAGGUUAGGCACUUAAGCAUAUGGUGGCAAUAGACUGAACAAUUUUUGUAACAUACUGUUAACAGAAUUAAAACGAGGGAAGUGAGAAGAAAAGAAGCAAUUAUCAAAAAUCAUCAAAUUAUUAAUGAAUUACAGAAGGGAAACAAUUAUAAAAUGAGGUAUAAUAGCAUGAAGGCAAAAAAUGUCUGAAGAUCAUGCUUUAUUGUUUCUAUUGAAGAGCAAAUGUUUAUAAAAUGAGGCAUGAAGGCAAAAAAAUGUCUGAAGAUUAUACUUUAUUGUUUCUAUUGAAGAGCAAAUGUCACUUAAAUAGACUAUGCUAGAGGAAAUAUGUUAUCAUGUGAAAUCAAGACUAUCACACUUCCCCUCUCUUCUUGCAACAAAAGUGUUCAAAAUAGGACACAAAUCCGAUGACUGAGCCAGGGGCUAGCAAGCCGCAGCAGCAGUCAUGAACUAAAUGCUAGUGCUUGGUUCAAUGUGAACUUUUUUCUGGCAAAAAUGUGGUAGUGAACCAAAUUACUUUAGUAAGAGGCCAAAUAAUACGCAAAUGUACAAUGAUUUAUGAGAUUCAUCUCAGAACAUAACAAAUUUCUGAUAUUUAGUAUCAUGGCGGGGUUAGAUUAGCUUUCAACAGUUGAUAACUUUGUGCUGCCAAAUUAUAAUGCAGUAGAAAUAUAAUGUCGUAGCGUGUAGGUAUGCAAGGAUUGAUGAAACCAAACAAUCAUAAAAUGUAAUAACAUUUCUGGAUACUGAUGGUUGGAAAAGAACAGAUGGUCCUGAAAGGGUGUCAGGUUUGGUUUAUUACAAGUUUUUAUUACACAGUGUGCAGCAAACUCAAUUCCCGAGAUGUAUCUUUGUGACAUUGAUGACCAUCUUAUUGCACUUGGCAACUGGCUGGCAAAAUCUUUUGAGUUUAUUCAUUGCACUUGUAUUAAUAUUCUCAGAGAUUGUACCAUUAGAGGAUUGUUAUGGUCGGGAACGUCUACCAGCGCCGCAACAAGCGGAGCCAUGGCUUAUGGUAGGUGCGGAAAAACAUAGCACGCCAAGUCGUCCAGAUCGUUUGAACUUCAAAUAAUUUAGUUGAUUAACUUGGUUUGUUCUUUUCUUUUUGUUGGAUUAGUUAGAUAAGUUCUUAGGAUUUAGCUAUAAAGCCAAGAACAUUAAUCAUCCAGAUUAAGCAGGAGAUUGAGUUAUUUCUCCGCUUCUUGCUUCCUCGCUCUUGCUCUUCUUCUCUGCUGCGCACAGCGUGGCUCCUCAACGCCAGGGAUUCAAGCCCUUGUCGCCAGUCACCCACUGCUACAGCUAUGCAACGACACAUGUCCUAUCAAGGACUACCAAGAAGGCAGGAGAUGAAUAGCACCAACAAAAAUGUAUACGAAUUCAUUUUGUUUGGAAGAAGAAAAACCCUUGUAGGAUGCAGCAAAAAUACAUAUUGAAGAAAAAAAUAUCUGCCAGCAAAUUACCUCUGUGGCAGGCCCGCUUGAGAAAUAAAAGGUGCAUAUGCAGCUUCUCUCUCUACUGCUAAUCGUUGAGCUUUCUGGAAUUCUUUUAGGACUGCUUGGAAAUCUUUAGCUAGCUUUGCAUCAGCAAUCUUCUUGGUCGCCUGCAAGUCAAUAUGAGAUCAUGACCACAAUUGUAUUAAAAAAAACAACACCACCAACAACAACUGUCAUCCACAAGGAAAAACAAAAUUCCCAGAUAAUAGAGGAAUAGGCAUGGGCACAAAAAUUAUACAGCAGCUGAUACAAGAUUUGUCUUAAAUGCAUGAUGAUAUCUUGCUACAGUUUCCUUUGUCACAGGGAAUGCAACCUUGCCAGAAGAGAAGCAUCGUUGUAAUAAUGAAAGAAAGUUUCUAUAGUUACAUACUUGGCAUCAAAAGUUCCUACUACUUUAUGCAAAACGAAAAUUUGUACAAAACAAAACACAGCACAUUAGGUUUGAUCCUCCCAAUCAGAAUGCAUGAGUUAUCUCUGUUCAAUAACUGCCUUCUUCUGUAAUUGGAACAGAGAGGAUAAAUAUUUGUGUUGCAGGUUCCAGUUCAAAGCACAGCCGCAAAUGUUUUGCAAAAUAAGAUAACAUACUUGCAAAAUUAAUCCCGAACCAGAACCAACACCAAUGCUACAUUAUGAAACAACAAAAGCAAAGGGUGUGGUUCCAAAUUUCAUCACAUCUUGGUGUAGUGGGUGCAAAAAGGAAUGAGGUAAUGCUUUGUACCAUCAAAGAGAACAAGAAAUUUAUACUUAAAAUGAACAAAAUGGCGCAUGGAAAUUUAGUUAAGAAUACCCAUAUAGUUAUAUCGAGAAAUUGAGAUAGGUACAUACGCUGACUUCAACGCGAUGAUCCGCCUCACUAGCUUGUUUAAGCUUGUCUGAUGUAUCCUUCACUAGUUGUGUAAUGUGUUGCCGUGUUUUAUGUCUGCGAUCAAAAGCAAGUGAUAGUUAGUACUUAGUAGUAGACACAUCAAGAUGAUUGGAACUUGCUAGCCUAUAGUAUGGCAUCAUUAGAGUUACUAUUAAUUCAUUCAAUUUCAAAAUAUAACACAAAAUGAGCUAGGACCACAUAAGAACUGAUUCAGAUGACCAAAUGAAUCCAUGUAUGUCGUAUGUCUUGAUUCGCUCAAUUCAAUGACCAAUGACUAUCAGCUAAAGUAAGCAUCAUCAGUCAGGAGCAAAAACGUAUGGAAUUAGCUAAUUGAGUUAAGGACGCAAUCUUCUCUAAAAAAAAUGAGGGAAAAUUAAGCCCCAAGCAACCAUUGGCAACCCUAAUCGAUGUAUCAACCACUUGCGACAGGAAUGGAUGCAUCCACAACAGGGAACGAAACCUAGGCCGUAAUUUUACAGGCGGAUGAAAACCAGAGCGGACCGCGCCCGCGAAAUCGAAACAGAUGGGGGUUAAGGAAAGGCAAUCGAAACAGAUUGUGGGUAAGGUAAGGUAAGGUAAGGUAAGGCGAGGGAGGUAGGCGGACGCACAUCCUGUCGCGGAGGUCGGGGGUGUCCUUGGGCGUGCCGAGCGUGUUGACGAGGCGCUGGAACGUGGCGACCGCGGUGUUGAUCUGGAAGACGCCCGACGCCACGGCCUGCGACGCGCCGGCGCCCCCCGCGGGGCCCCGGCCGUUCCUCCGGCCGCCGCCGAGCGGCGCCCCCCGGACGUGGCCCGCCUCCAGGUCCUGGAAGCUCAUCCUCUUCUCUCCUUCCCCCUGCCUCUCUCCUCUCUCUCUCUCUCUGCCUGGGUAGCUACCGGCCCGGUCGAAUCGCCGCCCCCGCCGCCGCUCGAAUCGAAUCGAAUCGAGGCUCCGGCUCCGAGCAGGAAGGAGAUGGGAUCCGAAUCGGGAGGUCUCUCGCUCGCUCGGCCGGCCGCGAGAGGGGCGAAUUUGGAAUCGGGGGACCGCGUCGUCGCCCUUCGGCUUUCCUCUCUCCCUCUUGUCUUGUGUUUUGUUUCGUUUCGUUUCGUGUGUGGCGUCGGAUUGAAUGGGGAUUCCGGAAUUCACUCGCGGCGGCAGCAAAGCUUUUGUCGCGGGUUCGCGGCGUAAUUAUGCUGUUGGCUUCGGGUCGGGGCCAACAGGCCAAGCCAUUGCCUUGCCCGCCCGGUCGGGCUCCGCUGGAUCGCCUCUAUGCGGUGGUGCGCCUUGGCUGCUGCUGAGGCCUUGUUUAGUUCACUUUAACAAUUAUUUUUUAAGAAAAAUUCUCAAACAUCAAAUCUUACAACAUACAGAGUAUAUAAUAUAUAGAGCAUUAAAUAUAUACGAAAAUAAAAAUUAAUUACAUAGUUUAACUUAAAUCGUAAAAUAUUUUUUUUAAAUCUGAUUAGAUAAUAUUUACUAAAUAAAAACACUAUAGUACUCAAACUCAAAAAAAAAAACGAAACUAACAAGGCCUGACUCUGGCCUCUCGCUGGAAUUGGCCCUCGUGGGUCACGCGCGCCGGCGGCUGUCGCAAGAGACAUGGUCGCGUCUGAAUUGACAGCCAGUUUAAUUUGGCUACGGUGUCAGGAAUCUACAACUCAGAAACGGAUCCGUUCAGGGCGAAACCUGCUACUCCUGCUCCGUGGUCCGUAGUAUAUAUUUUUUUUAUAUAUUUAUAUAAAAGGAGUAGUUUGGAUGAGGCUUGCGACUGCUACCAAGGCGGGCGGCUUGGAAACGAGCAACUUGGCAUGAGGAAUUGAGGAUUAACGCGCCAGCGGGAAGAUUGACACUUGACAGAGUAAUUAACAAUCCAACGCCCACCACCGGUGAAGAGAGGGAAGGAAGGAAGGUUGGGCAAACGGCAGCGUCGCCGUAGGGGCGAAGGAAAAACGGAGGGGGCAGCGAGGUGAGAUUGACAAGGACGGGCAACCUCACCAAGAACCAUUCUCCUAAUGAUCAGCUCUCCGAUCCGCUGUGACGUGAGCCUUUUCAUGCCAAAAGACAUAACUAAAAUGAUUGUUCGUCAAUUUGUUAUAAAAGAAAUAUACUGCUGAAUGACUGGCGAAUUCGGCUGAGAAGCCCAAAUAAAUAAGACCAAUAGCUAAUUAUUAGCUGGACCUCUAGACAAUAAUUAUCUCACUAGUUGAACCAAAUCAGAAAAUAUUAACUAAUAGUUAUCUUAGUAGCAUUUUUCAUUAGUUAUGCACCCUAGCUAAUAUUAGAUAUGAGCUAUUAGCCAGCUAACUAUUACUAGCAUAUUAUGAAUCCAAAACUUUUUCUGAGAGUCAAAAUAUUUUAAGUUUGAUCAAAAUUAUAGAGAGAAUUACAAAUAUUUAUGAUAUUAAAUAGAUAUACUAUGAAUUGUAUAACUAUUAAAUAUUAUGACAUUAUAAAUAUUUAUGACAUUAAAUAGCAUAUUAUGAAUUAUAUAUAUAUAUAUAUAACUAUAUAUUUUUAACAUAGCUCGAUUGAAUUGUACAAUUUAAAAUCCAACAAAUAAACUCACUUUGCGGUGGGAAGUUCAUCGAUCAUCAAAGUACAGCGGACUUAGACUUUGUUUUAGAUCUUCUAAUCUAAUAAAAAAUAAAAUUGAGAUGGAAACUCAUGCACGUAGACCUUUAGAUAUAUGUACGUAUGAUUGUAUAUACUGUAUAGUAAGGAAGUAGUAACUGUGUAGGCAAAGAUGAUGCUACUGCUACGAAUCGAAUUAUGGAAGACUAGCUUCACACGGUGCCCACCCUCCUCUGUCCUCUUUUGUGUCACCUUCGGACCUUCCCAACCUGUACUCUCUGCCGUGAUGAUGGGCACGACUGGGCGGCGGCUCGUGCUCCAGCUGUGUACCAAAACUUUUUUUUCUUUUCUUUUCUUGGUCUUCAUUCAUCGUUUCUCUCUCUCUUUUCUAGGGCGCAUUGGAGAUAUUCCUUAGAUGGUUUCCAUCAUAUACUAUCAUGCAUGUCUCGCUGUGUUUUUGGCGCGUGUCCUUCGCUUCGCUUGUGUCUUUUUUUUAUCUAUUAUUAUUAACUACUACUUCGCUAUUUUCUCCCUUUCUGGAAGAAAACCUCAUGCUACAAAAGUUAUUUUUUUAGAAAAAAUUAUGAUACUAUUUGUUAAUUUAUUAUGAAAGAAAAACAAUGCUACAUAGAUGAUAAAUUUAGAUGAUGAUUACAAACCCAACCACGUUAGUGAGGUACGGAGUACAGUGCUGCACUACUGCUGCUCAUGUGCUGCGACAACCUUCAAGCUCGACCGGUCGACAUCAGGAUUCAGGACGGAGGACACUAAGGCAUGGGUCUUGUUUACUUUCAAAAUUUUUUGAAAAAUGAGCACUGUAGUAACAAAUAUUAUUCAAUCAUAGACUAAAUAGAUUUAAAAAUUUUAUCUCACAAAUUACAGACAAAUUGUGUAAUUAGUUAUUUUUUUAUUUAUAUUUAAUGUUGCACGCAUGUCGCAAGAUUCGAUGUGGCGAUGAAUAUGAAAAGUUUUGCAUAAUUUUUUAGGAAUUAAAUAAGACCCUGGUUUAGUUCCCAUCUUUUAAUUAAUAUUUUCUGUCACAUCGAAUUCUUUGGACGCAUGCAUGAAUCAUUAAAUAUAGACUAAAAUAAAAACUAAUUAUACAGUUUAUCUGUAAUUUAUGAGAUGAAUCUUUUAAGUCUAGUUAGUCCAUGAUUAGACAAUAAUUAUCAAAUACAAACAAAGUGCUACCGUAGUGAAAGCCAAAAUUUUUCGCGAACUAUACAAAAAAAUUCCAAAUUUUUUCAGAUUUCCCGUCGCAUUGAAUCUUACAGCACAUGCACGGAGUAUUAAAUAUAGAUAAAAAUAACUAAUUGUAUAAUUUAUUUGUAAUUUGUAUUUGUCAAAUAAAAAUAAAAGUGCUAUAAUAUCUCUUUUGCAAUUUCGGAAGCCUAACAAUUCGGAGAGAGCCUUUUCUGGUAUGGGAUGGAGGGGAAAACGCAACCAAGGCAGGACACGAGGACCAUCCAUGAACACGCGGCGUCACUUGAUAGUGCCAGCGCGGUGCAGCUGCUGCCUGCAGCUGCGUUGGACUUGGACCCAGUCCAUUCAAUUUAGAUCUCGUGUGGUCAAAUGUGUUUGGGUCACCGACUGAUCGAGUCCGAAUUGACCACUCGUUCAAGAUGCCCAUGCAUCAAUGUGUGGAUUUGGACUUGAUCGAUAAUCCACAGCUGAAGCUGAGGUAUCCAUCCACCAGCUCUGACCAAGCGCGUAUGGCAAGUAAGUGCAUGCUUAGCUUAAUUCUCGUAGUGCCUAGGUGUAGUGAGGGAGGGUAUAAGGUAACAAGUCAGCAUCUGAUCGAUCUUCUGGAUAAACAACCUCACCUAGUCCUAGCACAGUAAGCCCAUGUUUAGUUCUCAAAAUUUUUUAAGAUUUUCCGUCACAUCGAAUCUUUAAACGCAUGCAUAAAGUAUUAAAUAUAGAUAAAAAUAUAAUUAAUUACAAAAUUUAUCUGUAAUUUGUGAGACAAAUCUUUUGAGCCUAGUUAGUUCAUAGUCGGACAAUAAUUAUCAAAUACAAACGAAAAUGGUACAAUGUCAAAAUCAAAAAAAAAUUGCUAACUAAAUAAGACCUAAGAUGAAUCUUUUUUUUUGAGAUUACACAGUACAACGCAGACACUCAACACGCACGCACACUCACCCCUAUGAACACACGUACGCAAACCCUACCCCUAUGAGCACCUUCGAAGGACUGAGCCAGCGAAUCUUGAAGUUCACGAAGUCACCACAGGCGCCUCGCUGUCGACGGGCACGUCGCCUACCAUUUAAUGCAUAGCACCGGAAAAUCCUGAAAUAAAUCCAGAAUAAAGUGCCGCACCCAGGAUUUGAACCCUGGGUGGGAGCCCCCGAACCAAUGGCCUUUGCCAUUGCGAUGAAUCUGGUAAAAAGAUGCAGAGCUCCAUCGAUAUGAUUACCCAUUACCUAACUGAGCUGGAGCAAACUGCUUAGCUGUACCCCCAGACGCCACCUGAUCCAGCUUCAUCGACUCCUUCUCCUUCACAUAGAUUGCCGUCACACUGGCGCUUUGUUCUUGUACCAUAUAUCACUAUAAUUUUGCUUUUGACAUUCUAGGUCUUCUCCGUUUCGUUCCAAAAUAUAGGUGGAUUUAUUUUUUUAUUAAGUAUCUACAACAUCAAAUUAGUUUUAGUGUUUUUCAUGAAAUAUUUCUUGAUAGUAUACUUCUUUGAAAUUUUAGAUGUUAACGCACUUUAAAAAAAUAGUGACUAAUGUUUCACCAAAUCUAUAUAAAAAAUACUAACGCCUAUAAUACUAAAUAACUAUCAUUAAAAUAACUAUAAAAUAUUUUUCUCAGAAUAAAUCUUUUUGAAGACAUAAGUAUUGAUACUACUUUUUUUUGUAAACUUGCUCAAAUUUGAGAAAAUUUAACUUGUUCUAAACCUAGAAUUGUAAGGAGGAGUAGAAAAGUUAGACUUAAAAUCAAACUAAGGUAACAAACGAUUUUGGACUAUAGCGGGUAUGUAGGAGGAGAAAGAUAGUUAGAUACCUCCUCUAUUUGGUGGUUUCAUGUUCUUGUUAUUCCAUUAUUGUUCUUAAUAUUUGCUUUUUGAAAGUUUGAAAGAACGAGUGACCCCCCCUAUCUGUAGGUCUCACUGUAGGCCACAAGCCACCUGAUCCAACUUCAUCGGCUCCUUAAACAUAGAUUUGACGUGACGCCAAUGCUAUGUUCUGAUCCUGCAUUAAUUUUGCUUUUGCUAUUUUAGUUUCUAUACUGUAUUCUAAUUUAACCAAUUUUUUAUAGAAAAAAAUAAACCAACGUUUACCACAUUUUAAAAGUUUUAAAUUAAAUUAUAUAUUUUUGACAGUGCACCUAUUGAGCUCGCAGAUUUUAAAUAGUCUUUUAAAAAUAAUUUAGUUAAAUUUAGAUACAUUUGUUUUGGAACAAAGUUAAUAGCCUAUAGUUUGGAGCGGAGGGGUAAGAUUUUGGGGGGAAAUAUGGUUAGAUACCUUACUAAUUCGAUCAUUUUAUUUUUUCUUAUUCUUUAGUAAAAAUUUAAAAGGGUUAUUCUUCAUAUUUGUUUUUGAAAGUGUAGAAUAUAACCAGGGAAUCUAAAUAUGGCCAUUUUCAAUUGUCACCGUGCCGGCCGUCUGCCAAUGGAGGCCCAUGAGGCCAUGACACGAGUAAGUCGUGGCCCACCAGGAAACCGCUCAGCUCGACCGGUUCGCUGGCUCCGGCUGACGCUACACUGAAAUAGUGGUCACUAGAGACAGUCAGCGACGAUAUUAUGCUCCUAUCUGUUGCAAAUUUGUGUUCCUUAAAAAAAAUCUGUUGCAAACUACUCCCUCCGUUUCAAAUUAUAAUCCAUUUGAAUUUUUUAACAAAUAUUUGACCACUUAUCUUAUUUAAAUUUUUGUAUAAAACAUUGUUUCUUUUGUUGUGACUUGCUUUUUAAUAAAAGUUUUUUAAGUAUGAUUUGAAUUUGGGUAUAUUUACACAUAUUUUUUUAAUAAGAUGAGUGGUUUAACUUUUAGUUGAAAAAGUCAAAUAAAUUAUAAUUUGGAGCUGAGGUAGUAGUAUCCUCCCACAUGCACCUUGUGUUGAUUUUUACCUACAUUUUACAUCUGUUGGAAGAUGACCGGCACGGUGAGUGUAGAGUGGAGACAAUCAGCGACCAACUCGUGUCAUGGCCUUAAAAGAUGGUCUCUUUUCUAUACCACUUGUUGGCAGUGGUCAGUGGAGAGUGGAGACCAUCAACGACGAUUUGAGUCUGUUCGUUUGUCACCUGUACUUUUUUUUAUAUUUUUCUCUCAUAAUAAAUUAGCGAACAAUAUUACUCCUUUUGUUGCAAAUUAGUAUCCUGCCACAUCCACAUACUUCCUCUGUCAAAUGUACCUAUAGUAUUAAAUCAAACAAUAUUUCAUUUAAUCAGAUAUUUAAAAAUAUAUAGAUAUUUAUGAUAUUAAAUAAGUACCAUUAUAGAUUCAUCAUGAAAUAUUUUCAUAGUAUAUCUAUUUAUAGUCACAAUUGGUGAUACUAUUUUUUGUAAAUUUAGUCAAAAAAUAGUUUGACUUGCAUCAGAAAUAGAAGUGUCUCUUUUUUGGAUAGAAAUUAUAUAAUCGAGUUAUUGAAUAUUUGAGUUGAAUCAUGCAAUUCUUUGCCAGAGCAUGGCCUCAGGUCACUCGCUGCCACAUAACAAAUUCUAUAACUGUACUACUCAGAUGAGAGACUUAAAAGGUGCAUCAGCCGUGGCAUACUGGCAUAGGCUACAAGUAGGGAUGGAUUUCAAUCAGAUGUGAAUGGAAUAUUAUUUAUCGUUACUUUAAUUUGAAUUCAAAAAUAAAUGUGGAUGUUACGUAUAAGGAAAAAGACGGAAAGUUUGAAUUUGGACUCGCAUUCAUAUAUCUACUUGAUUUUGAAGGUAACAAAUAUCUAUUUGCUUUACUGAUUGUUUUACCAAAACUAAAUCAUUAUACAAAUAGGGAUUAAACUAUGAGUUAUGACCAGUGAUGGACGUAGAAUUUUUUUUAAGUGGGACGAACUUUAGCUAAAAGUUAAACUUAAGAUGGAAAAAAAAACAACGUGCACAUUGCAAUCGCACAAAUUAUAGUAAAAUAGUGAGCGAACAACAAAUUAUAAGUUUUGUUUUUUUCACAAAACCAUUGAAAAUCCAUCAAAAGAAUAUGAUGAAUAUUAGAAGAUAUACACGCACCCAUGAAUACCCAUGCUCCAUCGACGGUAGAUCAAGAGGCUCGGGUUUGAACAAUCAAGUCGCCAGAACUCCGAUUUGAGGCGUCACCAGUCGGCCAGCACGUCUCCAAGCCAUGCGCCCAAGCGGUCGCUCAGGUGGCCGGCUGGCAUGGCCGCAUGGCUAAGCCACAGCCAAGUCCAAAAGUGAUGCAAGUCACCGUGUUUGGUUGCCGAGCCUUGUGGAGCCGAGUCCAAACGAGAAUAUGACAGUUCACCUAAAAACAAAAAAAAAUUAUCAAGAUUUUUUGUCACAUCAAAUCUUACGGCACAUGCAUAUAACAUUAAAUAUAGAUGAAAAUAAAAACUAAUUGUACAAUUUAUCUGUAAAUCACGAGACAAAUCUUUUAAGUCUAAUUACUAUAUAAUUGGACAAUGUUUGUCAAAUAAAAAUAAAAGUGUUACAGUGUCAAAAUCCAAAAACGUUUCGCACCUAAACAAAGCCUAUGUUUGGUUGCCAAUGCACAAGAAGUCAACAAGUAUUAGUACCUUGCACAGGGUUGUGGUAGCCUUAUCACCAUAGAAGACUUCGCUGGUAUUUCGUCGAGCAGUCGAUGGGCGGUGGCGGCUCUACACCCAUGGUGUUGAGGGGGUUUGGCGCCGGUGCGGUGAAGAUCGGACGACGCAAGUCGAUGCCCGAGGUCACGGCCAGCUCAAUGAGGCAAAGGUGGCGCAGAGGAAGCAGAUGACUGGCGGCAAAUGGCGUGGCCGCGGCACGACGACGAGGUGAGGACGAGGCUGCUCGGUUCGGCGAAGGAAACGACGACGGUUGGUGGGGAAUCCGGCAUCCCCGAGCCCACACCUAAAGUUGAGCAUGCAGCCCGCGGGCCAAAGGCACGGUCAUUUGGCCCGGCCCGAGCACGGCACGGUCCGAUCCUAACUGGGCCCGGGCCGGCCCGAAGCACGUUGCGGGCCGUGCUUGGGCCGACCCCUCGGCCCGCUGGGCGGCACGGCACGCUUUUAACAGCAGGCACGGUGUCGGCACGGUAUGAGAAAAUUUGUGAAACUUGAAGUAUCAGGUUCUAUGACUUGUGAAAUUUGUGACUUUUGGCAAGUAAAAUAUAAUAUGAGAGUAUAUUGUGUUAUGUGAAUUGUGAAGUAUUAAUGUAUGUGACUUGAAUGUAAUAUAUUUAUGCUUUGUUAAAUUCUGUAUUAAAUUUGAUGUUUUUCAUAUAUCGGGCCAUGGGCCGGCUCGAAGGACUAUUGGGCCUCGUGCCUUUCGGCCCGGCCCGGCACGAAAAUCGGCCCACGGGCCGUGCCUGGGCCGUCAGGCAGGCACGGCCAUACGGGCCCGUGCCCUUUUGGCCCGUGCCAGGCCGUGCCGGGCCGGUCCGUUGCUCAUCUUUACCCACACCGCACCCGCUUGGGCGGCAGUGCCGGAGUGGACGCCCGCUGAGACGCUGGAGCUAGUCACCGAGGUCAUGGCCAUAGACGACGGCAGGUCCCGCUCUGUCUCUGUGUUCCAGAAGUGGGCUACCCCUUUACCUGCUGUUGCUGCGAGAGGUGGUGGCGCGUGUCUGUGGAGGCGUCCGAGUCGUCCAUCUUGGCGCUACCUUCUUGAAGGCCGAGCCGCCGAGGUGCUUGCAUUGCCUGCAGCUGGUGGAGGGUGAAGUAGAUGAAGGAGGCAGGCGCACCGAAGACACGGACGAGGCAAAGGAGAUGCCUAGCAGCAGAAGGGGAGACGGAGGGAGGUGACCGCAUCGGUCCAGUGAGGCCACGAAGCCCUCGAACAAGCCAGACUCCAUAAAAAUAAAGCCCCCCCAUCGUUUCUCCAAGGCCUUGUUUAGUUCACCCUGAAAACCAAAAAAAUUUCAAGAUUUCCCGUCACAUCGAAUCUUGUGGCAUAUGCAUGAAAUAUUAAAUAUAGACAAAAACAAAAACUAAUUACACAGUUUAGCUGUAAAUCACGAGACGAAUCUUUUGAUCCUAGUUAGUCCAUGAUUAGAUAAUAUUUAUCACAAACAAACGAAAGUGCUACAGUACCGAAAAGUUUUCACUUUUCGGAACUAAACAAGGCCCAAGGCCUGACCCAACAUGCUUUAGGGUGUGUUUGGUUGGGCUGUGACUUUUGGAAAAGCUACUGUGAGCUUUGAGCUUUUGAAAAGCUGCUGUGGAAUGUGGGCUUUGAGAAACCCAAAAGUCAUUUCGUUGGUCACUCGUGGCUUUUGGAAAAAAAACUGAACGGAUUCCAAAAGUCAGUGAAAGCAGGGGGUGAGGUGCUUUUGGAUUUGUACUACGAGAAAAGCUGCUUUUGGGCAAAAGCACUUGUGGCUUUUGGGCCCUUUGGUUGGCUUUUGGCUUUUACAAAAGUAAAAGCAGGUUCAAAAGCCCAGCAAAGGGACCUUUAAGUUCCGUGUGGAACAGCCUCCGAGGCUGGAUCAAUUGCACCAAACACGAUAUGUUGUAGCUGGGGAGCUCGAGCCACCCUUCCGGCCUGAUAUCAAAUACGCCCUCAAUGUUCCGUGGAGAGAAACACUAUCUGAGCAUAACGAGGGCAGCAGACGUGGCGCGCCUCAUAUCGUCUGGACUAGAGUUAACUGGGCUACAAUCGCAAAAAAAAAAUUAAAAAUAGAGAGCUAACUGGGCUACCAGCUAAUUGGACUAUUCACUGUCUACUUGUCUUUAAUUUGCUUGGCCCAUAAACAGACCAUUACCACCUACGUCAACAGCAAGCCCAGGAGGAGGCUAUUUUCUCCAAGGAAAAAGUCCACUUUAGGUCCCUUAACUUUCACGAAAGUCUAAUUUUUAUCCCUGAACUCUAAAAUCAGAUAAGUUACAUCCCUCAACUUUUAAAACCGUGCACAUUACAUCCUUGGCCUAGUUUUGAAAGCGGUUUUGUCCUUUUCUUUUUAUUUAAUUUAGCUGACUUUUUUUUGAAAAAUCACAGUAAAUCACAUAAAAAUCAUAAAAUAGAAAACUCAAUUUUGUUGAACUUCUGAUGAGUAGAUCUACAUAUUAAAUAUAUAAUAUAGUAUAUUUUAGUAUAAUUUUUUUUGAUGCAGCUUUAGAUCUAUGCUUUUCUGUAAUUAAUUAGACUAAUUAUAGCUACAGUUUAUAUGGUCCAAUUGUGAUGAAAUUUAUAUGGUGGGCUAUUAUUCUAUGAUUGAGUUGUAGUAAAAAUUUCAUACUCAUUGGAACAUGUAUUACUUAGUUAUAGAUUUAUUUAGGUUUAUGCUUGUUAAAUCUUAAUAAAUCUAUAACUAAGUUAUACAUGAUCUAAUGAGUAUUAAAUUUUUACCACAAUUUAAACAUAUAAUAAUUAGCCCAACAUAAAAAAUUCAUCAUAAUUGGACCAUAUAAACUAUAGCUAUGAACUAUUCUAAUUAAUUAUAGAAAAACACAGAUCUAAAGCUACAACAAAAACUUUCUACUAAAGCAUACCAUAUUAUAUGUUCAUUGUGUAGAUCUACUUAUUUGGAGUCCAACAAAUUCAGAUUUACUAUUUUAUGAAUUUAAUGUGAUUUACUAUAAUUUUACAAAUAUUCAGCCAAAAUAAAUAAAAAUGAAAAAAACAAAACUGCCUUCAAAACCGCUCAUAAUCAUGUUAGGGACGUAAUAUGCAUGGUUUCAAAAAUUGAGGGAUGUAUUUUACCCGAUUUUGAAAUUCAAAGAUGAAAAACAGACUUUUGCGAAAGUUGAGGGACCGACUUUUUCCUUUCUCUGGCCCACGAGGAGGCUUUCUUCUCCGAUCCGAUCGGCUGGAGCAGCCGCCGCCCGCCGCCGUUUCUUCAAGCCAAAAGAAGAAAAAAACGCAGGCUAGGGGAAAAAACCGGGAGGUCUCUUGAGGUUCGACGGCCGCCCCACCUACACUAGUCCGCCCCUAGUACACCUUCAAAAUAUGUAGAGGCAAAGUAGUACCGCCCCGCUAUGCUCAACUCGUCCCCAGAUUGUUUUUUUCACUCACUACUCGCAAUCAGAAUAGAUAUCAAACAAAAUCAAAUUAAAUCGUUCUAAAUCUAAAUCGCCCUCAUGUCCAGAUUCUUUUUGCCUCGCUUCUCCAAAUCAGAAUUGAAUAUCAGAAUUGAAUAUCAAAUCAGAUCAAAUCGUUCGAAAUGUAAAUCGGAAAAAAUAUCAAACUAAAUUAAAUGAAAUCGAAAAAACACAAGUCGUCGGUAGUGCUUGGUGCGUGGAACCGAGGAGGCUAAGGUCUUCACCCGACACGGACAACGACUCGAACUCAACCUCGCGUCACCUGCACGAGCGCUCAUGGACCACCAAACUUAGGCCCAGCGUCACUAUAAAAAUAAUAAGAGUAGGUACAAUAACACUCUGAUUUCAUCGAUCAGCUCGUCAUGCAUACAUAUACACUUUCUUAUGCAAAGGUUAACUCUUUCUUUCUUAUCCUUACAUAUUAAAAAAAUAGACUAUAAAAGAUAAUUGUUGUAUGAGCUAGACUCUAAACUUGUCUAUUGAUGAUUUAGCUUGGCUUAUAGACAUGUUUUAUUAAGCUUGCUCUAAAACCCGCUCUCACGUGACCUCGAUCCAGUCCCAAACUCGAGACAAAACCUGUGCUGUACUUAGCAGACAAUUAAGUCUUACCGCUAUCAAUGUAAAGUGAAACUAUUAUGUAUGUUUAAUAUGUUUAUCUAAAUCGUAAACUAUUAUGUAUGGCUAGAGGAAGGUGGAGACGGCUUUAUAUUUUCUAUAUAACUAGAUUUAUAGAUUUUUUUAAUAUGUUUAUCUAAAUCGUAACUCACGAACGGACUCUGAUCAGCUAUUAUCAUCGCUGGAGAAUGUCAUCACCAAAUAACUUAUUGCUGAAACUGAAAAACGUUUGUGAUGGCCUUUUACGAACCGCUUAUGAUAGGUUUGAAUAUAUAUAGUAGUUCUUCACCAUAUAUAUAUGGCACACUUGCUCAUGAAAAUUCUUGGUUCAUGUGUCUAAACUGGUUGUAAACUUACAACUCAUUUCUCCUCUCUCUUUUUUUUUUCUCUCCUCUCCACUUUAGUAUUUAGUUAGUUUAUGACGUGUUAUUAUACUUGCUCUAAGAACAGCUACAACGUGUGCUAAAAACGAUGCUUUAACUCUCAAUGCAUGUUUCAUGAAAGUGUCAUGCACAUUAAAUAGGGUGCCACAUAAGCAAAUUUGCUGACUUGACAGGGUCAUUAAAUGAAGGAGUUUCAUCAGAUGAGAGAGGAGUUUCAUCCUCAUGAAACUUUUAUGGCUCGGUUACAUAAUUUAUAGUUUUGAUAACUGUGUCAUAAAACUAUGCAUCGAGACUGACCUAAGCCUCGGUAUGCACAUGGCGAAGCGAUGCCGGAACUAUAGAGCGGCUAACAUUGAUGACUCUACUCACCUCGAUGCUUCAUCGAUAAAAUAUUUUUCUGUCCCGAUAGUAUUCAAGUUGAUGUAGCUCGUCGCACUCAAAGCCACUAUGAUAUGAUAGAGCUCCACUUCUUGAUUCUAUUAAGAAGGGAUUCUGGUGCGAAGUAAGUGAGAAUUAAUUCUAAAAUAAUUCCUGUGGCAAAUAAAUAAAGACUAGCGAAAAAUGGUGGAGAGUGUUUUUUUUAAAGCUUUUAGAUAGUGUAAAUAGAGAAGUGAUUUUUAUCAACUAUCCUACGGAAUAUAGUUACAUUUUAAGUAUUUGCACGGCUCCAUAGAAGCUAAAGGAAGAUGAGUUCAGGAGCUAUGCUAAAGAAGCUUUUUUGUGUUAUGGAGAGAAAUACAAGAGGUUUUCCGUUUUUCAUUAAAAGAAAGGUAAUCAAAUAUUACAAGAGCAGGACUAAAUGAGCCUCGAAUGUUAUUAACUUCUUGUGUUAUGGAGAGAAAUACUCUAUUUAUUUGAUAGUGGCCCUACAUGUGAAGCAUCGUUUUUUUUUUGACAAGUCAAGCAUCGUUGUUGACGUUUUUUCUAGAUUGUUGUUUUUUUUAUGUGGUUAUGAAAUGACAUUUCAACCUCGACUACAUCGCGGGUGUUACACACGAUGGCUGGCAAUUGGCCCCACUCAUCAUAGACACACACAGACACAGGAAUACGUGUGAUGUGAACGAAAUCAUGUCUCUUUCUCGGGUCUUGUUUAGAUCCAAAAACUUUUUAGAUUUUAACACUGUAUCACUUUCGUUUUAUUUGACAAAUAUUAUUUAAUCAUAGAGCAACUAGACUUAAAAGAUUCGUCUCGUGAUUUACAAGUAAACUUUGCAAUUAGUUAUCUUUUUUAUUUAUAUUUAAUGUUCCAUACAUGUGCCGUAAGAUUCUGUGACGAGGAAUCUUGUAAAGUUUUGGAUAAACAAGACCUGAUUCGAAGGCGCAUUCCUGCCAGAGCGCUUCCCUUACUUCAUCGCAGCGUAACGUGUGACACCGUCCGUUCGGCACUUCGGCCUCCUCGCACGCCCCCAAAUCCCCCAGCUGCGCUUCCAAAGCCAGCAGCCGGCGGGCCCCUCUACAAAAGCAGGCGGCUUGCGCGUGCGCGACGGGCAGCAGCACCUGCCUCUGCCUGAGCCAGUACGCCUCGGUGAGCAGACAAGCGAUGGCGGCCACGGUGGAGGGGGUGCGGCACCGGACGGUGGAGGCGAACGGAGUGCGCCUGCACGUGGCGGAGGCUGGGCCCGAGGAGGCCGGCGCCCCCGUGGUGCUGCUCGUUCACGGCUUCCCGGACCUCUGGUACGGCUGGCGCCACCAGAUGGCCGCCCUGGCGGCGCGCGGCUACCGCGCCGUGGCCCCGGACCUCCGCGGCUACGGCGACUCCGACUCCCCGCCCGACGCGUCCAGCUACACCACCUUCCAUGUCGUCGGGGACCUCGUCGCGCUCAUCUCCGACCUCGGCCAGCCCCGGGUCCGUUCGAUUCGUUGCACACCAAUCCAAGCUGCGACGCAGAAACGCGACGUUGACUUCUUUUUUUCUUUCUUUUUGAUUUGAUCGGGUUAUCUUCUCGCAAUCUCGCUGCAGGUGUUCGUGGUGGGGCACGACUGGGGCGCCAUCGUGGCGUGGCAGCUGUGUCUGCUCCGGCCGGACCUGGUGCGGGCGCUCGUGAACCUCAGCGUCGUGUACCACCCGCGGCGGCCGGAGAUGAGCCCGCUCCAGACCAUCAGGGCUGCCUGCGGCGAAGACCACUACAUGUGCCGCUUCCAGGUAAACAAAGGCCUUGUUUACUUCCCAAAAAAUUUUGCAAAUUUUUUCACAUUCUCCGUCACAUCAAAUCUUUAAACGCAUGCAUGAGGUAUUAAAUAUAAACGAAAAUAAAAACUAAUUGCACAGUUUGGUCGGAAUUGACGAGACGAAUCUUUUGAGCCUAGUUAGUAUAUGAUUGGACAAUGUUUGUCAAAUAUAAACGAAAAUGCUACAGUGUCAAUUUUCUAAAAUUUUUGGGAACUAAACAAGGCCAAAGUGGAGUACUCUGCUUCCAUUCCUAUUGCAUACUGCUAUUGCAGUCUCCUAUCGGCAGACAGGAUCAAUCAAUGCUCUUUAUUUAUGAUGAGUAGCCAUGUUCCGUCCUCUGCCCUGAUAACCAUUGGUUCGGGCGUUUGGCACUUUUCGUUAAUUUGGCAGAUUCGAUGGAUGCUAGAAUGAUUACUUGGUGCCUUAAUUUGUUUCUCCUAGCGGUUAAGGAUUGGAUUUGGCACCCCGCACAGAUAAUGCUGGGAGUGAUGAUAAACAGAAACAGCUAGAAGUAUCCACAGUUGCAGUCUUGCAGAUAGAUAAGGGUGACGAAAUAAAUGCUACUGGGAACUUCUAAUUUAAAAAAUGAAGCACAGCCCAUAGAUUGAACUGGGAGGAGGUUAGCAGAUCAUUUGAUAGAAACUUGAAUACUUAGUCCUGUGGUUUAUUUUUUUAGACAAUAGGCUUCCCUACAACAAAUUAAUAUCAACAGAGUAACAGUUGUGUGCAAGUUUCUUAAUAUAGGCCUUGUUUAGUUCCCAAAUAAUUUUGCAAAAUUUUUCGGAUUUCCCGUCACAUUGAAUCUUUAGAUACAUGCAUGGAAUAUUAAAUAUAGAUGAAAAUAAAAACUAAUUGCACAGUUUGGUCGGAAUUGACGAGACGAGUCUUUUAAGCCUAGUUAGUCCAUGAUUGGACAAUAUUUGUCAAAUACAAACGAAAGUGCUACAGUGUCGAUUUCUCAAAGUUUUUUGGAACUAAACAAGGCCAUAAUGAUAUGUGUUUGAGAAAAAAAAAAUUUGUGCAAGGGUCCAAACAAAAGCAUAGUUUAUAGGAAAUAUCAGGUCUUCUUUGGAGCUCUAUCAAUGAAUAUCAGCAUGCAGCACCAGGUCUUUUAGAGCUGCAAAACUUACCUAACUAUUCAGAUUGUCUCACUGCUUUUAGUUCAUUUGAAUCUUCAAGGGAAUACUCUUUGAUGUCACUGUCUUGAAAUCAUCUACUUUGUUGCAUUUCCAUAGUGCGGUUAUGUGGAACUAGCUAUUUUAAUUCUACAUUGUGAUAUAUUUUGUGCAUAUCAAUGUCCCUUUAUACUUUUUUUUUAAUUUUUUUUUUGAAAAAUACUGUACAUAUCGAAUUACAUAAGAAUGCAUACAGGAACCUGGUGUUGCUGAAGCUGAGUUUGCUCUGUAUGACACCAAGUAUGUGUUUAAGAAGACAUUCGGCAUGCGCAAGCCAGCUCCUCUUGUUCUACCUAAGGACAAGAGCUUCUUUGAUUCACUUGAUUCAGAUGGAACUUGUCCUCCAUGGCUAUCAGAGGAAGAUAUUUCCUACUAUGCAGAAAAAUUUGCGAAAACAGGCUUUACUGGAGGACUUAACUACUACAGAUGCAUGGACAGGUAUGUGUCUUAUGGUCAGUCAACAGUUUUGAUUUUGCAAUUUACUUCUUUAUUGAUGCUAUCAAUCAUUUGCCAUUCAACAAUUUCCCGUUUUUUAUUUGCCAUGGGAUAACUGAAAGUAUCAAUUCAUGAUUGAUUAGACCAUUCAAAUGUGCAAGUUGAUUUUAUUUUGAAUUUACACCUUUUUUCAUGCGGUUUGGGUGUGUGUGGGGUCGGGGGUCACGUAUACUACCUCUGUUCUAAGAAACAUGUCGUUUUAGCUUUGUCUGAAGCAAAACUUUUCAAAUUUGACCAGUCUUAUAUACAGAGAAGAUUGUCAACAUUUAUUAUAGCAAGUAUGUGUAAUAUGAAAACAUGUUCCGCGUCAUACUUAUUUGGUGACACAAAUAUAAAUAUUGUCUUAGACUUGGUUAAAUGUAAGAUAGUUUGACUUAAAAUUCUUAUAGAAGAACUAGAAUCUCAAUUUUUCUUAGACGGAGCUAGUAUAAUGUUUGAAAAGGAGAGGAAUUAAUGACAAAUAUAAGUUUUACGAAUUACUGAACUCGAUUUCAUUUGGUGCCAACUGCCAACCAAUGUAAAUUCGACCUUUAUGUACAGAAGAGGCUUUAUUUAGAGCUGACAGAGGCAUUUGUAAGGUCUCACGAGAUCCAUUUCGUGGUCAUGCAGGAGCUGGGAGCUUUCUGCACCAUGGACUGGAGCUCAGAUAAAAGUUCCGUCAAAAUUCAUUGUUGGGGACCUAGACAUUACAUACAACGCCCCCGGGGUACCAGACUACAUUCACAAGGGUGGCUUCAAGGCAAGCGUGCCAAAUCUAGAGGACGUGGUUAUUAUGGAGGGAGUGAGCCACUUCCUCAACCAGGAGAAGCCUAAUGAGGUCUCUGAUCACAUCUGCGAGUUCUUUAGCAAGUUCUGAUAUGUAUGUAUAAGGAAAAAUGUCAAGGAGCAAUUAUAUGCUUCUGAGCUACUUUUAUGUCAAAUGCGGUUGCCAGUGUCACCAUACAAAUAUAUAUGAAUCUAAAUAAAAUUCGUCUGUCUCUGAUCAAAAUUUUGAAGAUCUUCACUUGUCACAGAGUGUUUGCCUUCUUACUGCAUUGAAGUUUUAACAUGUGUUUAUAAACCGUUCGCUUGUCUUAUAAGCCGUACUUUUUCUACCAGUCAACAAUGUUUUUCUCUCACGAUAAAUCAAUGAACAAUAUUUUUAGCUAUGACUUGACUUUUCAGACCGACGAACAGAAUUAGGAUACAACUUUGAACCCAAUGGGCCGGGCCAGCAAUUGAGAUGACAUUCUGCGCGACGAGAUGAGCGGCCUGCGGCAAGUGGUUGGCUGCUACAGUGCUACCUCUCCCACCAGAUCACCAGAGACUUGCCGUCAUCGACCCGGCCAGCCAAUGCAUUGCUUAUAUGUGGAGACAUGCACGAAAAAAAAAUAUUAAAAGAAAAAAAUAUUCAAGUUCUGAUGACAUAUAAUAUUAACAGCAUGUAUCAUGUGGUUUAACUUUGUAGCACCACUAGGACAUCACGACGAUGACUUGAGCAGACUCAUUGGACCAUCAGCGGCAACCAAAACAUGAGACUUCUUAGACUCUCAAUCCAAUGUCUGCGAACAAGCAACAUCUAGAUGGACGCGAUGUCAUCAUCGGUUUGCGUACGAUCGAGAGCGCAUGAUCGAGCAGAAAGGCAGUUUAGACAUGCUCACGAUGCCAGACUAAACACGUUUUCUAAAAUCAUGUUCUGUAUUAUGGUGCGCGGCUCACAGAAAAUAGAGCAUGAUUUUAGUGAAAGUAUGAAAUUAGUUUUAUAUUUUUUUGAGUUAUAUGAAAUUUCUAUAAACUUUCAAUAUUAACUAGUAUUUUUAAAUGCAUAUUUACUGAAAAAACAAGACUUGUUUUUUUGAAGUUAUUUCUAAACUUUAUUUUUUGAUAAAUUCUAGGCUCCCUGAAUGACAUGGCGCCCAGGCUAAUGUUUUUUUUUCACGAUUGGGCUACACCUAUAGGACGGCUAACGUGGCAUCAUAUCAACCAAAACUGCUCCAAAAUUAUUCAAGAGAGGUAAAUUGGAUGGCUUCAAAAGUUAGAUGAGUGUAAAAAUCUAGUUUCCUGAUUGAAGGAGGCAAAUUGGACUUAUAAAUAAUUGAGGGAGAUGAGAUGGCCUUAAUUUUUUUUCAUGAACCUAGCUAGUCGCCUGAACACAGACAACAGUUUUGUGUCUUGGACAAUGGUUGCUUGUAUUGGAAUUCUGAGCAUUUCAAUAGCGAUUCUUUGAGUAACAUGAAGAACGGAGCAGAUCUCAUGCAUCUAUAAGAAUUGCAUAAUCGGUGCUUUACUGCUUUUGGUACAUUCUCUAGCAAUUUUCUUUUCUUUUUGAACCUCUUGGUAUCUUUAAGGAAUGAUAAAAAUCUCUUGAUCAGUUGUAUCCAAGAUGAAGCUUGGACUCAAAGGUAGGGUAUUUUUUUUCAUAAAUACACAGGGACUUUUGUACGAGACGCAAUAGUAUCUCUAGUUAUAGUAACUCUAGUAUGCAAUCAUGUAAAUAUCUCUUCUCGCCAUCCCCAUAUAGCAUAUUAGAAAAAUGCAUGCAUUUUGAGAAGGGUCGUAUUCUAUUGUUACAAUUCUACUGAAUAUACCUUUUUAUUCUGUUCAGAAUUGGUUUUACAGUAUUGGUGCUUAUGAUUUGGGGGCAAUGACUCCUUUGGCAUUACGGUCUUCCCACAAUGGUGUUGUCCAUGAACCGAUUUAUCUGCGGAUUAAAUUUUGAUUAUUUUGACAAAAGCAAGGAAAUGUGCUUAAGCAGGUCCACUUGAGAACACUUGGUGACAACAUAGUGCCGUUGUCGUAUGUUUGUUUAAUAGGGAAUUUAACUAUUGAUUUCAGUUAUAAACAAACUGAGUACUUGUGUGCUUGGACAUUAUAUUGUGAUAUACCGAUACUGAAGGAUAAGUUUUGAGAAAUAAGUAAUAUAUGAACACCAACUACUUUCAAAAAAUGAUAUUGAACACUAGCUUCAAGUUUGCCUUUUAUUUAUUGAACUAUUUGAGUGGUUAUUCACUUUAGGAACUGUCUUUUCCGGUUCAUACAUAGUCCAAGUAUACCAACUAAGGCAUUUCCAAGACCAGCUUCAAGCUUGCCUUUAUUUAUUGAACUAUUUGAGUGGUUAUUCACUUUAGGAAUCGUCAGGUUCAUACGUAGUCCAAGUAUACCAACUAAGGCAUUUCCACCAUCUUGUUGAAAUCCAUUUUUUAUAUCCUUGUUUCUCACAGGGAUGACUUAUGUAGCAGUAAUGGGAUAUGACCAUUCUCCUGUAGGCUGACCACUGUGUUGUAUAAACUCUCUUUCAAAGGAGUGAACUUCAUACCCAAAGCAACGAGCCUUUGUGUGGAGAACUUGUAAGGCUUGAUCAUUGGCUUGUUUUCAUCCUUGCAUCUAAUUAAAUGGUUAGACAAACAAAGGAAAAGUUAAAAUCCGCAAAGCCAAAUACUAAAUGAUGACGUAUAUAAUCUAUUCUUUGUGGGAAAGAGGAGCAAAUUAAGUUUCCCUGGUGACAUUAUCUUUAGAUACAUUUUGGUGGUGGUGGGUGGCGGGUAGGGGGCAAGGGAAUCCCCACACCUUGUUUUAAUGUUUAACCAGUUAGUUUUGAGAUCAACAAUAUUUCUAAAAGAGUAGCAUAAAUUAGACAAACAUGCAUUGCAAAUGAAGGAUCCACUAUUUGAAAUCAUAAUAAGAAUUGCAGAUAACUAUACUUGGUGGUGAUCGGGUACUGUGGGAAGAGCUCUCUCAUCAUUUGAAGAAAUUCCGAUUGAUGUAGCAUGUCACCUAUGCAGAGGUACCGCCCAUGUGUGCUCAAAUCUUCAUACACGAAAAUAUGGGCAAGGGCAACAUCCCGCACAUCGACAUAUGCUCCAACUGCGUUCGAGUAUGCCUUCUUUGUGCCGUUCAUGUAGGUGGCAACUGCAGAUAAAGUUAAGUUUAAUGUUGGUUGUAGCAUUCUGCCUAUUGUCACUGAUGGGACAACUAUUAGUAGUUGUAUCCCUCUCUUUGAUGCCUCUUCCAUUGCAGUCUUCUCAGCAACCGUCUUCGCGUAGCAAUACCAAUUCUGUAUUUUGAUCAUACAUACUAAGUCAAUAAAAACGAUGCAUGCUAAACAUGCUAGGUCAGGUGGCCCAGUAUGUAUGACAAUUGUGUAUUUUGUUUGAGGUUUUAUGAUGAGCCAUAUAUACUAUUAUCCAUAAUAGUAGAAGUGGUGGAUGACCUGUGUUUGCUUGCAGAAGUCAAGAUCACUCCAACAACUCUCGUCCACAGUCCGAUCAGGGUUCCUGUUAGGGUUCAUGUGGACAGCCCCAUAAGAUGAGGUGAACACCACACGUUGCACCCCCAUGUCUGCUGCAGCGUUCAUAACGUUCUUUGUUCCCUCAAUAGCAACCGGCACAAGGUCCUGCAUGCAUCAUUAUUGCAUUGUGCAUCAUAAGCAUAUAUGUGACGCUUGAAUUGGAAUAUGAAAUCAAUGGAAAAAUGAAGCCUAACAACGUAUAGAGAAGAGGAAGCAGUGAGAAUACUGACAGGAUCAUUGGAUAUCGGGGAGGCAACAUGGAAGACACCAUCACAUAAGCUGAAGGCACGACGAAGUGACAUGUAGUCCAGCACAUCAGCAUGGUACAGAGAUAGCCGUUCUUGAGCUCCAUCCAGUGCCCGCAGAUGGGAAUUCUUCGAGUCCUCUGGCAGGCACCAUGCAUAACAAGAAAUUGGAAGUAUAUAUAAACGAUUUGCUGGAACGAGAAUAAACACACCAGCAUGAUAAUGAUAAUACUGAAUUUGAAUAACGUAGUACGUGCUGACUCACUCACUCACCAGGGUCCCUGGCGGUGCCCCUGACAGCGUAGCCGCGUUGGAGCAGCUCCUUGACCAGCCAUGACCCAAUGAAGCCUCCAGCUCCGGUCACGCACACCAGCUGCUCAGCAGCUGCCUCCACCAUGGUCGAUCCAACCGAGAUCGGCUGAUGAUGCUGUGAACACUGCCUAUCGCGAUCUCUUGCGAGGCUAAACUACUGGCGCACUAACGAAGCUCUAGCUGGUCCUGGAUUAGACUCUCUUAUAUACUUAUAUAUAUAGGCUGGUCCAUCUCUGCUUCUAUCUAUCUAAUACUACUACGUUUUUUUACCUUUUUUUUUGUGCGAAAUCUAGCACAAGGUAAAAAUCGAGGAAGUUCGCAAUCGCACCCGGGUUCCACGUGGGUGUGAAUUAAUUAAUGUCCAGCGCAAAGCAUUUGUGGAGAGUAGGCUUUCGUUUUAGAGAAGUAAGCAACUUGAGCGGAUGAGACAAAACAAACUGAUCUAAUAUAAUCAGCUAUUAAUUUUUAAUUCCACAAUUAAAUGCAUACCUACAACAUGGUGAUCAUGUUUGGGGGGAGAGGUGUCAUUAGACGCGCUAGGAAAUAAUCAGCUAUUAAUUUUUUUUGAAACUGAGCUAUCCGUAUACUAAUAUAGCUUCAUUGGUUAAGGUUAAUGUCAUGGGAGUUCCAUAGCACGUUUUUCACUAAGAAGAAAUGAGUGUUACAACAACGUAUGCGAUCUAUAGCGCUAAUCAUGAGUGUUCUUAUUUUCUUUCCAUGUACUAAACCGAGAGAAGAAAUUUAUGGUACUCUGACAUGAUUAAUCCGUGAUUCUACUAUUCGUGCAUGUAUGCUAUUUCUCCACGGAAGAAUGAAACUCGUGGAGGAAGAAAAAGGACAGGAGAUUCAAAUUCCGAAGAUAUGUCGAGCUCUCUCUCCCCACCUCAAAAAGUAGUAUCGAUAUAGAUUUUCUCCUCAAUUAUUUCUAGCUUUGACUUAGGGCAGUUUCAAUAGAACAUUAAUGAAAGUUUCUAUCUAUGCUAACAGGUCUGUUUAGUUCUAAAUUUUUUUGGGCCAAAAGCAAACUAAUUUGCGUUUUCGCAAUUUAGAAGUACUAGCAAAUAUGGCCGUGCGUUGCAACGGGAGAAAAACAUUAAAUAGCCAUAGAAAGUGAUGGCAUAAUAUUACAUAUCUAUUUAUAUUUAUCUUUUUUAUAAAAUUUAAAGUCCAUAAUUUAUUUUAUUGAUAACCAUGACAUCUAUGGUAUUGAUAGUUAAUAUUUACAAUAAUAUAUAGCUUGGAAACAUAUUUAUUUAAUACUAAUAAUAAUAAUAGAAAUUAGUCAAACCUUACCUCUUAAUAUACCUUAGUAUUAUACUAAAACAUGAGAAGUUUGUUGGUAGCUUUUUUUAUUUAGGUUAGGAUUCCUAUGAAAUAUGAUAUAUCAGUUAAAUGUAUGUAGAUUAUGAAUAUAUGAGCUUAUGAAGUGUUCAUAUGACAUAACAACACAUCGUGCAAAGAUAAUGUAAGCAUCCUCAAGCAUAAAUUUAGAUAAAUUAGUAAAUUAGUGAGAUAUGCAAGAAUAAUGCUAAAACUUUUACCACAAAUCAAGCAUCACAUUAAAUAGACUACCAUAAAAUUUUCAUAAUAAUUGGAGCAAGAUAACUACAAUUUCAAUUUUACACUAAAAAGCAUAGGCAAACAUCUUUAGCAAAAAAUAAAUAUAGUAAAAUUUGUGAUAUUUUUUGUUUAAUGCAUGGAUCUACAUAUAUGGAGCUGAACAAAUUUUGUUUUAUAAUUUUUAGAUUUUCUUAUGAUUUACUACGUAUUUAUCAAUUUCUAGCCGAUCAAUUUUGCACUAAAAAGCAUAGUCAAGCAUCUCUAGUAAAGAAAAUAUAAUAAAAUUUGUGAUAUUUUUUGUUUACUGCAUGGAUGUACAUAUGUGGAGCUGAACAAAAUUUGUUUUGUAAUUUUUAGAUUUUUCUAUGAAUUACUAUGUAUUUAUCAAUCGAUUUAAAUAAUAAAAGAAAAGUAAACUAAUAGGAUAAACACUUUGCAUCUAAGCCUCUAUAAUUUCUUUAUUUUCAAUGUGCUGUAAUUAAUGUAUAAAAGAGAUUUUGAAUUGGAAACCUUUUUUCUUUGCCGGCGUUGAAGCCAACCAUUGAUUGGAACCGACGUCUGGCCCGUCUCGGAUAAGGACGGCAGAAAAUCAUUGGACAGACUGAAAUUUUUAUAAUUUAGUAGUAGGGAUAGAAAUAGGGUUUAAUUUUUUCACUCCCAAACUGUGCAGGCCGAAAUCGGCCUCGUAUUGGCCCACGGCCUGCGUGGACUCUGUCCUCCACUCCCGCAGGUCGUGCCUUAUCCAUUCACGGCGCCGCACACUCGUCCUCUCGGCCUCUCAUCCGCGUCGGCAACCAUAACACGACGCUCUCCUCCACUCCAUCCCUCCACCGCCGCAGCUACCACAACCCCUAGCUAGAGUUGGAUCAGCUUGAUCUCAACGUCGGCGAGCCUCGGAGAGGAGACGACGUUCAGUAGUACGUGGGCCACCUUCGCAAAGAGGAGCACCUGUUGUCGGCUCCCGUUCGCGUGCCAAAAGGGGCGGUGUGUCGCGCAACCUCACCUUCUGCAUCGUCGCCUCGCCACAUCGGCGGAGCAGGAGGAGCAUCAUUCGACAUGAGAUCUGCAUCCGUUGAAGGUGGCUUCGUCAAUCCUCCGCAGCGUCCAAGGAGCGGUGCAGCAGCCGCUUCAAGCUGUCGGACGCCGCGUGCCCUAAAGCGGCAUCAUAUAUAUCGCGCGGCCACGACCACGACAUGGUGCGAGGUAGCCAAGCGCAGCGCAUGCAGACGAGCUAGCUGGGCGUGACUAGCUAGGACCUUGUAGCGCGGGUGGCAACGAUCAGGCAUAGGAAAUUAAAAGCUGAGCAAGCACAGAUGAGCCGGUGCGGGCGUGCGGCAACGGUCGGUGUGUUUCUUUUUUUUUUAACCAUUUUUAGGGGUGUUUAGAACUGGUCCACAAAUUUCACCAUAAGCGGCUCUAAAAAAAUUUGGAGUUUGUGAAGUACAUGCUCUCACAACUCCACCAUUUUUCCUUAAACUAAGGAAGCAUUUGAGACUGCUCUGCUCUACGUAUUUUAGCCAAACGGUUCAGCUCCACUCAUUCAGUUUGAGAAAAAAAGGUGGAGUUGUGAGAGCACCUAAACUGUUACUCCACAAACUCCAGUUUUUUGUGGAGCUGCUCCAUGGUGGAGUUUGUGGAGCAGAGUUUGUGGAGCAGUCCCAAACACCCCCUGAGUGCGUGGAGCUGAAACUGUUUGGCUAAAAAACGUAGAGCAGAGUAGUCCCAAACACUUUAUUAAGGCUUAAGCCAACCAAGUCUAGAGGUACAUAUGUAAGAGCAGGCUACCUUUGAAUUAGAGGUGCAUUUUUAGGGUCAGCCACCAGUCCUUCAUUGGAAAUAAUUAAACUACUUUAUAAACAAAAAAACGCGAUCGAAGGAGGAGAGGCCCCCCACCGUAUUUCAAUAAGAAGAAAGUGAUUUUUCGCUAUCGUGAAAAAAUCUCCGAACCCUAGCGUAAAGCUAGGCAAGUGAGGGGAUUUUUAUUUGCAUCCAACUUAAAAUUUACUUCCACGGAGAUUCGAACUCAGAACCUGAGGGGUGCUGCUAGAAAGCUCUAACCGAUUGAGCUAGAAUCCUUUGGCUACUUUAUAACCGUAUACUACUUUAUAACUUUAUAAUCAAUGGAUAGUGUCGGCUUCAAAAACCAUCUCUAGAGAUUGAAUUUGCCCAUAUUUUAAAAUUGUGUCAAGUAUUUAACAAAGAAAACGGUAAGUGCAUCGAAAUAGACUCCACACAUGUGUAAGAAAUAUGUUAUGAGGCUAAAUCAAGGAGAGCCUUUCUCUAGUUUAAACAAGCACUUAAGCCACUCAACAUGUUACCUUAUUCCUUAAGCACAUACUACUAAGUGGAAAUUUACCGCUUUUCUCUUUAGGGACCAAACCAUCACCACGAAUCCUCCAAGUACCCAACCAACCCAGAAUCACUUAAGAAACCAAACAAGCUCCCGUAGAUCAUGGCCCAUCUAAUCAUGAAUAAGUCCAAGUUGUUCUUGAUCAUAGCCACGACUUAUUUAUCAGUUCUACACUGUGCAGAGAUUUUUUUUAACGAAACAUGAGAGGUUUAACCCCCUUUUGGAAUUUUAUUAAAUGAAAGAUCAACAAUACAGAAUCUCAUGAAACAAAGAAAGAAAGAAAAAAAUUAAGAUUACACAUAAGCUUGUAGCCAUUUUAACUAAAUGGGGAUGUAACUGUGUUUUCGCCAUUAAAAUAUAACUAGAGCGAGCUCCUUCUUGAAGACGAAUUUACACCCUUGAACUGAGGGAGGCACACGCUCACCAUUGAAAAUAGCGUUAUUUCUGUUCAUCCAAAUUGACCAACACAUAGUAACAAUAACCUCCAUGAAGAAAGGCAGCUUUAGCUGAAUCUUUUUUUUUUCGUGUGACUGGUUUAGCUGAAUCUUGUAGGAUUCCAAUAUAGUCUCAAUCUCCAAAGAAUUGGGCAGCAAGAGGUGGAGACUGUACCUGCAGGCCAUCGCAAAAGGGCGAUGAAAGAAGAGACGAAGGAAGCCCUCCUUAACAGCAUGGGAGCAUAAAACGCAGUUAUAGUCAUCCAAAUACAUGUCUUUUCUUCUCAGGAGUUGUCUGGUGCUGAUUCUGUCAUUAAGCAGUAGCCAAAAGAAAAAUUUGCGUUUGUUUUGGCAAGCAGAACGCCAAAGCCAUGAAAACCCUCUAUGGAUCUGACGGUGAUGAACCAAAUGCCUGUAAGCAGCGCUAGAGGUAAAAGUCAAGGUACCCCAAAUGUAAGCCCAGAAAUCAUUCAUCGUCUAAAAUUCAAAAGUUUGGAAGAGGGCCACAAGCUGAACAAACUGAUUGUAAGCCUCUGUAGACAGUGGCAAAUGAAACAUACUCUAAGGUAGCAGUAGAGAGGCUGCAGUUUUCAGUGUAAUAUAUUCAUUCCUACAGAAGGAGAACAAUUCUGGGAAACGUUGACUUAGGACACUCAUAAUGCAGACUCUAUUAUAAAGUCUAAAGUUAUUUAUUACCUCGAACAAUGUGGACUUAGAGUCUAAAGUUAUUUUUUCUACCUCUUUCUUCAAUAAAUAUGCUGCCACAUCAACAACAUACUAUAAAUAAUAUGUAAUUAAUUGUCUUGGACUCUAUGAUAGAGUCUUGCAUUAGGAGUGCCCUUAGAGUGCUUCCUUCCGAGUUAUCAUGCCAAAGGAGACAUGUAGCACCAUCUUUAACUGUGACCACUGCUAGACUUUUGAACUUACUCAGCAAUUUUAAAAUGUCACGCCACCUUUAACUGUGACCACUGCAGAGAUGUAGCACCAUCUUUAACUGUGACCACCGCUAGACAUGUACUCCAUCCGUCCCAAAAAGAGUGUCGUUUUAGAAUUUCAGGCAUUUUGUUUGAUCAUUCGUCUUAUUCAAAAUUUUUACAUAAAUAUUAUAUAUUUUGUUAAGACCUAUUUUAUCAUUAGAGAUACUUUUUAAUGAUUUAUUUAUUUUAUAAUUUAUAUAAAUUUUUUGAAUAAGACGAACGGUCAAACACGAUUUCUAAAGUAAAAAACGUCACUCUUUUUGGGACGGAGGGAGUAGCUGGCAUUUUGGACCGCUUUAAUGAUGUUCAUCUGACGCAACAUCGCCUUCAUCCUUGGCAUCACGGCAGAGAAAUCAGCCACCUCAAUCAUAGCUUAAUCAAUUUGAGGAUAAAUUUAGGGCUCCCCAAAUUGAAGGCUCUGAUUACAAAUUUUCAAGGUCCUAGACUGCCAAUCUCAACACUAUGAACAAUUGAUAGUUCAGGCACACAAUUAUUUUUUGAGAAUUAAGGGGUGUAUGGACAGGAGGUCAGCAAAAACGGUAGGGACAUGUUCUUAGACAGAGGAGGAAGACGACUGGUCGUCUGUCAGUUCUGUUUGCCCCUCUCCAAAUGCCGGCUCAAAUCUCUUUAUCUUUUUUUUUGAGGGGAUGAAACCUCUCCUGUCCUCACAAAGGCCUUUGAAAUCAGCCCAUGAAUCCAUCCCAAAAGCCUAGCAUCAAAGCCCAUGUUCAUGACAACUGCCCAGUGGUAAUCGUUCGUUGUAUGCACUUGUGGAAUAUAUGACUUCAUAAAACGAACCGAAAUACAUUUGUUCUAGAGUUAGAUAUACAUGAUCAGUCCUUGUAUUGUAUAUAUUUAAUUUAACUUUAGGAUAGAUUUGGAAUGUGAAUUCGUUGUUUCUUAUCUUAAAAACUGAAACGAUUGAAACCGCUCCACUCAAAAUUUCUACAACUAUUUGGGAAAAAAUGGGAAAAAGUUCACAUUACCUUCCUCAACUUUUGCGAAAAUCCGUUUUCCUUCCCGAACUCUAAAAUCGGGGAAAACAUCUCCUUCAACUUUUAAAACCGAUCAUCUUAUCUCUCUGGCCCUUAUAAGCAGUUUUGAGGGCGGUUUUGUUUUUUGUAUUAUUUAUUUCGGCUGAAUCUUUAAAAAUUAUAGUAAAUCACAGAGAAAUCAUGAAAUAGAAAAUCUAGUUUUCUUGGACCUCACAUGAGUAUAUCUAUAUAAUGAACAUAUAAUAUGGUAUGAUUUAGUACAAAGCUUUGUUGUGGUUUUAGAUAUAUGGUUUUCUGUAAUUAGUUAGAAUAAUUCAUAGUUGUAUUUUUUAUGGUUCAAUUGUGAUGAAGUUUUUAUUAUGGGCUAAUUAUUUGUAUGAUUAAACUGUAGUAAAAAUUUCAUACUCAUUAAAUCAUGUAUAGCUUAGUUAUAGAUCUAAACUUUUAACACAAAAUUUGUACUAAAGCAUAUCAUAUUAUAUAUUCACUAUGUGAUUUACUUACGUAGAGUGUAACAAAGUUAGAUUUUCUAUUUUAUGACUGUUUGUGAUUUACAAUGAUUUUUUAAAGAUUCAGUCGAGUUAAAUAAACAAGAUAAAGAUAAAACGUCUUCGAAACCGCUUAUAAUAGGACCUGAGAGGUAAGAUGAGGGGUUUUAAAGUUGAGGUAGAUGUUUUAUCCGUUUUUGGAGUUCAGAGAGAAAUAACAGACUUUUGCGAAAGUUGAUAGAGGUAAUAUGGACUCUUUAAAAAACCCCUGUAUUUGUUUUUUUUUUUUACCAACCUCAUAGCGGCCGGGCUUUAGCCCUAGGCCCACGGCCACCAGCCCACUACAACGCUUCCAGCUUCACCUUCUUCAGUCCUCUCUGCUGUAGUUGUCUGUAAACACUAGACAGAUUCCGCUCCAACGCCCUCGCCCCCCGUCGCCUUUCAAAAAGCUAGAGAGAUUCCUCGAGAGGGAGAAGCGUGCCCGGCAGCUCCGCUCCAUCCGCCCCCAAGAAUGUCCGACGAGGCCAGGCGCGGCGGGCCCGCGGGCGCCGCGCAGGCGGUGGUCCGGGCCUCCUCCGAGGACCGCAAGCCGGUGGGCGCGGGGUCCCCGCCGCCGGCCGCGGCCGCGGCGGCGGUGGCGGCGCACAAGAUCCAGCUCAAGAGCGCCGACAUGAAGGAGGAGAUGCGGCAGGAGGCCUUCGAAAUUGCCCGCGUCGUAAGAGCCUUACGCCCUCGCUCUCGCUCUGCCAUCUCUCUUCCUGCGCUCGAUUUGGGGUUUUCGUCGCUCCGCCCUUUUUGACGGGUUGUUCGUUAGGAUUUGGGGAUUUAUUUGUUUUUUUUUCUGUCGAUUCCUUCCCUGUCGGUCAGGCGUUCGAGAAGCACAGCAUGGAGAAGGACAUCGCGGAGUACAUAAAGAAGGAGUUCGACAAGAACCACGGCCCAACCUGGCACUGCAUCGUCGGCCGCAACUUCGGUAAUAUUCUCCUCCCAACCCCCUUAUGGGAACUGCUCCUUAAUUAGUAUGGAUAUUGAAUGAUUGCGUCAGUUGUGGUUGAUGUCUAGUCUGAUUUGCUUGCGUGGUUGGAUAUUCUGUGGUUGAUUUCAUACGUGCUAGCUCAUAGAGGUUGUCACAUGAUGCCAAUAGUAGCCACAGGAAACUCUUUUUCCUAAAAUAUAUUAAAAAGGAAAUGAACUUGGGAAAGCGAAGAAGUUGAAAUGGUUACUGGUCAACUGAAGUUAUUCUUCAGAUGAUCUGUGGAGUACAGUAUAUACUUAGUCCAAUAGAGCCCCCAUACAGCUCUGGAUGAAGUAUAGUUUCAGGGAGUGUGGACAGGGUAUGCAAGACCAUGUCUAAUUGCUCUAUUGUGAGUUUUACCUCCUUGCUUCCGGCUUGGCGUAAAUUCUGAAAUUUACUCUUGGUAUCAACCAAAUCCAACUUAGCAAGCUAUCAUUCAAUUUAUUGCAUUUCUAAUUGACAUAUUUCAACUUUCUAUUCACUCUUUGCUGUAUAACCUAAGCUGUUUGGUUAAGUUAGUAACACAUACUUUACGUUGAUAGCUCCUUAGCUUGCUGUCACCUUACUAUAUCUGUAAUCAGAUGCAUUGAAGAAAUGGUAUGACAUUUUAUCUAGACUCCCAAUUGACUGGGUAUGCCAUGUCACCCAAUACUUUGAACUGUCUUGUCCUCUCAACAUCACUUAUUCACUUCAAAAACACCCCAGCAAUUGGUGUACAAUGAGGGAAGUUUAGCAACCUCUACUGCAAUCUGCAUUUGGCAUGGCCAAGUUGUGAACAUGGAUCUAAGAGAACAAUUGUCAGUACUAGAUUGGGGGAAAAACACUUUGAACUUGAAGCAAGUUUAUCUCUGAUGUGAUUAUAUGGGUCUAAGUUCUUAUCAAACAGAACCUUUUGCUGUCUAUGUUUGUAUUCUUUUUUCUACAAAAUGUUAUAUCUUGGACUUUUUCUAUUUAAUUCCUUUUCACUAAAUUUCCUGUGAUUUUCUUAUUAUUAUUUGUAUUUAUAAGGCAGCCUAUUUUAUGAAUAGAAGUCGUGUUAGGCAUAUGUUAACAAUUUGAGACCAGCGAAAUUCUCCCUGCUAUGUCAUGCCACCUGUAUUCAUAUUCUUCUAUAGGCAAUAGAUGUAUAUGUGUAGCAUUCGAUUGUUUAUAGCUUCUUCUUUGUCAUGAUAACAUGUAUUUUUUGUAUUAUUGUAAAUGUUUAAGAAUGCCUAGACACCUAAUAGGGCCUUUCCCUGCAACUUCUAUGUCGUGCAAAGCAAAUAAGACAUAUCUUAUUCUGAACCAUGGUUCAUCAAUGGUAAACAUAGCCCCGAAGAUAGCCAGGCAGAGUCAGCUUAGACGAAGAUUAUGGAUUGGAAAGGUACUUAUUUACAUAUUUGUUGAUUGAUUCUCAUGUGUUACAGGCUGCCUCUUUUAGUGGCAAGUCACGACCCUAGCAAACUCACCUAGCUUAGUAUCUAAGCAACAUGAUCCUAAUAAUCCAUAUCUAAUCAUAUCUCUGGCUAAUUCUAUCUUCCUCUGUUGCAUGUGAUAAAAGGGCUAGGACGGCAUCCUGGUUGCCCAUCACAUAUCACUUCUCCCUCCCUCUAUGAGGGCUACAUCAAUUUGUUAUAGAGCCAUCACCGCAAAUCAUUUAUGGUAGGAUUUUUCGUUCCGUACCAGCAGCUGCUAGUGGCAUUUAAUUGUGCCAGUGGGCUUCUCAUGAUUGGAUUAGUGCCACAUGUUACCCAUUCCGAUGAGUGUUGCGGCUCGGACAAGGCUAGAAAUUUUCAACCAAAGGAAAACGCCUAAAUGCCCCUCUUAAAUUGAAACAUGUUUUAACACUGAAAGUAGUGGCGAUAUUAGAAAAAGGUUUUCUUGAUUAAUGGCAUAGAAACAAAAGGAUGUUGUUGGCUUGUUGCAGUAUUGGAAUUCCCAACCAUUUAUUAUUCUGAGAUUUAGCAAACAUUUCAGUUUUAUUUUAUGCAUUAAAAAUGGGAGGACCGACAAGUACAGAGAAUGCCAUACACUCACAACUGGCUCAUUCUGUGUCACAAGCUAAUCCUAUGAUUCAAUGGCUGUUUUCUUAACUUCCAGUUCUUUCUAUUGGACUUGACUAAUUCUAUUUCACAAACUACUGAGCUGUUUUAAUUUCUAGAUGUUCCUAUUUGACUUGAUUGAUUCUACCUCAAACUAAUUAUAAGACUCAAAUGAAGAGCUGUCUUAAGUUCCAGAUGUUUCUGUUCAAAAAUAUUAUAAUUUUUAAGGCACAGUCACACAUGGCAUGGUCUUCCAAAUUUCAAUUUAACCAAUGACCAUUUAUUUAUUGUAUAUUAUAUUUUGCAUGAUUAUAAAAUUAUAAUCAUUGGAUAGUAUAUUUUAUUAUAAAUUUAAUUGUAUCAAGUUUGUAUUACAACAGUUAAAAACGGUUGGCCAAAUUAUUGGUCAAAGGCUAAUUUGGAUCUUGAUAUGCUUGUGCGCCUUAUAAACUGGCCCAGGGAGACUUAGGAUAUAACUAUAGGAGAAAUAUUAUCUUUAGUUGCGUCUUGUAGUUCAGAGAUAAUCAAUUAUCCAGUUAGAUGAUAGUUAAGAUCCAUAGAGUGACAGCCACACUAGUUAAGAUCCAUAGAGUGACAGCCACACUAUCCUCUUCUGUCUUUGGUAAAUAUUUAUCCGCCAUCUUGUUUACAAUGUCUACAUCCCAUGUCUCUAACAAUGGCCAGUGCUGCCGGAGUUUCUGUGAAACUGUUUUGAUUAGUUAAUCUACAUUCACAACAUGUUCCUUUAUUUUCAGUUUGUCUCGUAUGAGCCCAUGGGUGGCCCUCCAAACAAGCUCUAUCCUCCUAGAAUGCUUUUGUUUUGGUUAUGAUGAUUACUGAACUUCAGUGCCAUAUGCAUUAUCUUUGGAAUGAAAAACUGAGCUCAAGGAAAGCAUGUGCGAUUGGAAUUAACUCAUGAUUCAUGAACCCCUUCCAUUUAUCAUCACCUCUGAUAUACAUAUUGAUUGUAAACAAUUUUGCUAAGCAUUUUUUGUCUGUGAUGCAGGUUCUUAUGUGACGCAUGAGACAAACUACUUUGUAUAUUUCUACAUCGACUCUAAAGCUGUCUUGCUAUUCAAGUCUGGGUGAUUGGCGCAGCCGAUGCAAUCAACCUUGCAUGGCUACAUCUCAUUGCUCUCAUGUAUGCCUCCCUUCCCUCCGAGUCAUCUGCAGCCAAGCUGGAAGCCGGUAAUCUUAUGAGCCUGCAUAUUGAUGUAUCAGCAAUGGAUUAUUCUCCGUAUGCCGGUAGUGUGAGAUCAGAUUGCAUCUUAUUUAUGUCUGAUAUAUCUAGGUGUUGUGAGGACAUUAUCUUGUUGCAAUAUGAUUGCCGGACAAUUGGACGAACUGCCUCUCGUCUGUUUGUGAUUGUUUCGGAAGAAGCCUCAUGCGCAAUAUUCAUGGUUCUUACUGUGGAGUAUUAGUGGGUGUCAUGGUCGAUAUGUGGGUCAUCUGUAUAUAUAUUUGAAUUGUUCGUUGAGAUGCCUGUGGUCCAGAUAACGAGGCCUCCUUUGGAACUCGGGAAAUUUUCAUGUUUCCUGUGUUUUUCAUGUGAAAAUGAACGGAUUCCUGUGAAAAUCAUAUACAAUUCCUGUGUUCCAAAGGGGCCUAAUAUUUUUUUUUAUAUGUACCAAUCGGGCUUAGGCCUUGUUUGAUCCAUUAGAGCACUUUGAGGUAUUGGAGUAGCCUAAUAUUAUUUGUAUGAUUUAUUAGAGUUGCUGCAUUAGUUCCUCAACAAUAUAUCCACACCCAUUGGGCAUGUAGGGUUGCCUUCACUUUUUUUUUCUUCCCUCUUCCGUAGGCUAGUAUCAAUGUUAAACUCCCAGAGCGUAUGUUUCAUCCAUUUUCAUUUCAUUCUACAUGGUAUAACAGUAUUGGAAACAAUAUAAAACUCUCCACUGGUAUUGGUCUUACCAACACUGCCUUUUGCACGAUCAUGCUGCAAGAGAGAUUGCAAUGGCCUCAGUUCCAUAAUAAUUACACAGUUAUUCAUUGUAUUUUAUUUUCAAAAGGUUAAAUUUUUAAAAUUUGACAAGACAUAUUAAAGACAAUAUAUUAUUCAUAUCACAAAAUAAAUUUAUUAUAAAAAUAUAUUAUAUUAUAGUUAAUUUAAUAAAAUUUAUUGAAUAAAUAUUAGUGUUUUAAUGUUUAAUUAAAUUUUAAAAAAUAACUUGUCGAGGGGUAAAAAUGUACUGUACUCCGUACUCUUUAGCAACCAUCGUCGUCAUGCGGCCCAUCAACACACGUGAUAUCUUAUCUUCUCGGGAAUUGAGUGCACGCGAGGCGGCCCAUUCCCAACAGCUUUUGUUUCGCUGGAGUAUCUUGGCGUGCCAGACUGCCAGUGCGUCAUGUGAUGACCGGUGCAGUGCCCUAAAUUAUCUUCGCGAUCCUUCGGUCCCGUGCCGACGUGCCUCGGGCCCGCGCAUGCACAUCUCGGGUUUUUUUCCUCUGAAUUUAAAUUCUUAUAAUUGUUAUUAGAUUUAUAAAAAGUACUCCCUCCAUUCAUUUAUCUCCUUCAUCUAAGCAAAAAUAUUUUAUUCAAAAAUCUCCUUCAUAUUACCUUGGGACUUGCCUACAUUUAUUGUCUUUUUGCUGCUCAUUGGUUACCACUUCUCUGCAUUUAUUGUCUCUUUGCUGCUCAUUGGUUGUUCCUUGCCUCUGACUCCUCAUAUGCGCUCAGCCCGAGAUGAUUAAAUGUAAAGUGAGUGCUUUUGCGAUGCUUCUUGGUCAUUGUGUCGAAGGCUAAAACGAAGGAGAUAAAUGAACGGAGGGAGUACUCCCUCCGUCCACAAAAGAAUCAAUUUCUAGAGUUGUCCUAAGUCAAACUUUUUAAACUUUGACCAAAUUUCUAGAAAAAAAUGCUAAGAUUUAUAGUAUCAAAUUAGUAUUAUUAGAUUCAUCAUAGAAUAUAUUUUCAUAUAAUGUGUAUUUUAUAUUAUAGAUGUUGUUACUCUUUUUCUAUAAAGUUAGUCAAACUUUAAAGUUUGACUGGCACGGAUCCUAGAAAUUGAUUCUUUUAGGGACGGAGGGAGUACUAUUUAAUAUUUAUAUAUUUUGUAAUAUGUUUAUGAGAGAAAUGUAUCUAAUCUUACAUUAUAAACAUUAGUUUUUUCAUUUAAUAUCAUUAGAUUGUAGUUUUUUCAUUUAGUAGAGUAUCAUUAGAUUGACCGGUCACCGCGAAGGCGACGACUAUCUGAAUCUAAUGUCGUGGGACACGCGGCUUGUGCGGUUGUGCCAGUCACCGCGCAGGCGACGAGUGCAUGCCGGCAGCACAAGGCACAACCAAUGCAAGGCCUUGUUUAGUUCUCCAAAAAUUUUGCAAAAUUUUUCAGAUUCCCCGUCACAUCAAAUCUUUAGAUGUAUGCAUGAAGUAUUAAAUAUAGAUAAAAAUAAAAACUAAUUGCACAGUUUGGUCGAAAUUGACGAGACGAAUCUUUUGAGCCUAAUUAGUCCAUGAUUGGACAAUAUUUGUCAAAUACAAACGAAAUUGCUACAGUGCUUAUUUUGCCAAAAAUUUUGGAACUAAACAAGGCCCAAAUCGGCUGACGGCUGGAGAGCGACGAGAUCAGCGGGGCGCUGAAGCAAAGCGCAUCGACUUGUUUUUUUCCAAGCACCGUGCAACGUACCCUGGCCUGUGAACGCACGACAGAAUGGAAGGGAGUGGGAAAAAAAAAAACUGCGCAGUCGCCACUCGAGCAAUUCGGUCAGUCGUCCACAUGAAAUCAUUUUUUACCGUCAGUGGCGCUGAGCAACUGUUGUGAGUCUGUGAACAUGGGAGGUGAUGGUGGUGCUGGGUUCUCUGCACCGGACGGACAGGUACGUCGAGUCGAUUUGCUACAGGGAGAUUUUUCGUAGAGAUUCUCGCGGCGCACAGAAUGCGCCGUUUCGCAUCUCAGACCGCAUGUACAACAGUAGUAGUGCAUCCCUACUUUUGCCAUACUGCCUCUCAUUGAGGCCUUGUUUACUUCUAACCGGAACCUAAAAUUUUUUAAUCUUUAAACACAUACAUAAAAUAUUAAAUAAAAAUAAAAAUAAAACUAAUUAUAUAGUUUAGUUAAAAUUUACGAGACGAAUCUUUUGAGCCUAGUUAGUUCAUGGUUGAUAAUAAUUAUUAAAAAUAACAAAAGUGCUAGGGAAAUUUUUUCCUCACUAAUUAAACAUGGCCCGAUUGGAAGCGUUCGCACCACGUUUCAUUUCUUUUUUUUUGUUUAUAUAUACUCUAUCGUUCGGUUCGUUCAUGUUGAUGGUUCUGCUUACUUGAGAAGAUUAUUUUAACAGUAUUUUUUUUAUAAUAAAUCGGCGACUUUUAACCAUAGCUUUUCUGCUAAGCGAACAAGCCAUAUCCAACAAAGAUAGACACAAGUUUUGUUAUCAGAUGAAAAAAGAAGAGAAAGAGCCUACAAGUUCAUUUGGCGAGAGGACGUGAAAGGUAGGGUAGGAAUUGGAAGAAACUGCAACUUUAUUACGUGAUAAUAGCUCUGUAGCGAGUACAAAACGAACGUAAAACAGCAGCAAGAGUGCAGAACCCUGCUCCUUGGAGGAAGUACAUCUGAUCUGAAUCUCACUAGAGCAGAGCAGAGCAUCCAGCCCACACACCCAAACACACGGCGGCGACCACAGGCCGCUCUAUCUCCUUGUUUGUAAUGGCAAUCUCCCGUCGGUCGUCCGACCCCAGAGGAUCCAGCUUCACAAUCACAACACAUCGCACAGCGACCAACCGAGAGAAAGACCACCCUGCUGCUCUCCACGACCAUGCCGGGCGUCACAGAGCGCGCGCGGCGCGACGACGCCGUUCGCCAGACGACGAACCCUGACACCCCCCUGCACCUCUUCCCACCCUGGUACUGGUAGGUAUACAUACGGUACGUCAUACGAGACGAGGCGGCGGAGCGGGGGGGUCAGGGAGGCGGGGGCCGUUCAGGCCCGGGCGUAGGAGCGGGCGAGGUGCGCGGCGCGGAGGUCGGCGGGGUCGACGGCGGCGGCCCAGUUGGCGGGGCGGUAGUGGCCCGUGACGGGGUCGGGCACCCACGAGAUCUCGGAGCUGGCAGCGGCGCGCCCGCCGGCCUCCCUGGCCUCGCCCGCACCAGCCGCGCCCUCCGCCGCGGCCGCCGCGCGCCUCAUGGCCCCGGACGCCGCCGACGCCGCGUAGCCCCUGAUGCUGGCUGCCCUGGGUGCCAGCGACGCGAGCACGGCGCGCGCGGAGGAGAGAGCGACGAGAGCCAUCGGACCAGCUGCUGGCCUUUCUGCUGCUUGGGCAGGCAAGCAAAAGGAUCGGACGGCUGGCUGUGGCUGGCUGGUGGCGCUCUGCUGCUCUCUCCCGUGCUCUGCUUUGCGGCUGCUGUUGUGGUGGGGAGGAGACGAGCGGAGGGGGCGGGGUUUAUAAUGAGCCUCAGGAGGCGGAGGAGGAGGAGGGGAGCUGCUGGGCUGGUGCGAGCGGCAAACCGCGAACGGGCCUUGCCGGGUUCCCUGCGCUUUUUCUUGGAUCGCGACGGGCCUCGGGACCCGGAGCCGUCAAAGCUGGCGGAGCCGGCCGGCACGUGCGCAGCAGGAAACGGGCUCUGCGGGUUCACUGCUUGCUUGAGUAGUCGACUAGCCGUCGUCGUCGUCGUCGUCCAUUUGAUAUGGUCGCCUGGUUUGGAAAGUUUCGCCGAGGCGUUCGGCGUUGGGUUUCGCGGGAACGGAUCGUAGGGCGGGCCGUAGGAACGACGACGGCACGACGCCGACGGGUCCGGUGGGGAAGAGGGAGCGAAGUUGCCUACUCCUCCAAUCCUCCCCGCCGUCUCUGUUUAGUUUUGUUUUCUUCUACUGUAAUAUCUAAUACUGUAUAAAGCAACAAGACGGUGGCAGUGGAGGAGCAGUCCGAAUUCUCCACUCGUUGCUCAAGGAAAUGAUGAUAUCGAUUUGUUGUCAAAAGAAAAAAAUUGAUGAUAUUGACUGUAUAAUUUGAUAUGGCAGCCCUCAGCCGCUGGAUAACGUCUGUGUUUUGUGGUGGCUGGGCACGAGGGGAUAGAUACUACAAGUUGACAACUGCGUACGUAGGCUGAUCCACUGGUGCCAAGAUUCCGAGUUUUUUUUUCACUCAGAGUGGACUAGUUUAUUUGUCUUUUUUUUUUCUAAAGAGAAAUCCCAUUGUCCGCACCGAUUGCGCCGUCUGUCCGCCACGAGCCAAGCCACGCCGCCUCACGCGUCACUUGCAAAGCGAGUGCGCGGCUCGACUUGACCUCGAGGUCGAGGGAGCGAGCUCACUGCGUGAUGCGUGUGCGUGACGUUCCAGCGCGCGCGGCGUCGCCGAUGCAGGUUUCCACUGCGUCGCCUUUUCCCGGCGCGCGGCGGUUCUGCGCGUCGCUCUCGGCUCGGACCAGACGCCCCGCGCGGCGAACCUCGCGCGCCGGCCUCGGUUUUCCAAGGAAAGUAGCGGUGGGGUGGGGGGUUGAAAAUAAUUGGCAGCCCAGCAGGCGGGCCAACACUCCAGACACGCCGGGCGGGACCCGCGGAUCAGCCUGGUUCCGCCGAAAGGGCAAGGCAAUGGCAAACCCCCCCGUUCCCGUUGUCCCUUGGCGCGGCGGGAAGGCGCCGACUGGUGGAGGCGGCCGACGGAGCGCGCAAGGCGUCAGCUGGCCAGGUCGUAUCCGCCUCUGGAUCGCCUUUGGCCGACCACCGACGGCGUCAUCCGCAGGGGGCAUCAGUACAUGUACCUGUCGCCCAGCCGCGAAUGCGGGUGUGACGCGCGGCGUGUGGUGGGUGCCGGGCGGCAGCCGGCCGCAACUCGCUGCGCUGGAUCGUCGCCGCGCGCCGUGGCACGACUUUUCUUUUUUUUUUUAGCGUGGCGUUCCUUUUACAAACUUAUCCUCGCGUAUAGAGUUUGAUAUAUAAAAUUUCUAAUGAAAGUUAAUUAAUUUAGGAACGAAUGGGAGUAAAUCGGCUGCCGCACAGGCGAUUAAGAACCGGAAGACGUGCACAGACUGUUUUUGUUCGUAAUUACUACAUGCUCGUUGCAAAUUAUAAGUCCUACAUGCUCGUAGGCUAGGCGGUGUUGUUUCAUUUUUUUUGGACGUUGUGAAUUAUAUGUCAUUUGUGUUUCAAAUAUAGAUUUUUGUUAUCAAAAUAAGUUUUCUUCAAGUGAUAACGGAUAUUUAGUUUUUCAACUACACGACUUGUUACAGUCUUAUCGUAAAAGGCGUACGUAUUUGAUCUGUUCAUCCGACCGUGAUAACAUGUACUCCCUCCUCUAUCCCCAAAGUUUGUCUAGAUUCAUAGGUAAAGUGUCAGCUAUUUUGAGGUAGAGGGAGUACAUUGAAAGGGAGGAGUUUGAGGUUCCCGUUGAAUUUUGCUUUUAGGUAAAUUGAUUAAUCAUGCUUUUUGUUCAAUAUGUGAUGCUGCUUUAGUGACUAAGUAGUUUUUUUUGUCCACACUGGUUGUGUAUAAAACUCAUACAUACUCAGCAUUUUUCUUGAACCUCCAAACGUCUAGUUCGCCUGUUCGCCUGCCAACGUGCAAACUGCAAAGGUCUGGAGGCCAGCAGCAGUGCAGCACACAGAAAAUCGCUGUUCGCCUGUGUCCAUGCGCUGCUGGGCCGGUCCAUCAGCAACUGCUGUGCGGAGCGAGUGACACUCACGUUCUCACGGAGUAACGGCGGCCUGGCCCAAUUAUUGUUGCGCAGCCACGGCCGCGCGGCAGAGCGCAUGAGACGUUUAGUUCGCUGAGUGUUAGUACCACCUCGCUUGAGUAGCAUCGUCGCAGUGCAAGGGAAGAGCAUAUAAGGACAGCCAGGGCGACCUGGGAAUGACACGCAGCUGCGCGGUGCACCCAAAGCGAACUAUUCUUUCGCCUUUUACUAAAGAAUACCGUGUGUGCGCCGCAAAUAGCAGCAUACGCUAAUUUUUGAAGGGGAAUCUCUUAUUUGGAGGGCCCCAACAAUUCAAAUAUAAGAUUUUUAAAAAUUUUGAAAAAUAAAGGUUUUAAAAUUUUAAAAUGUAUAUAAUUUCUAAUUAAAUUUGAAACAAUUUUAAAAUUUUGCUUUGUAAUCUCUGUUUUGUAGGUCAUUAAAUUUUGGCUUGUAAUCUCUCGUUGUGUCAAAAUAAUUCUAAAUUUGGACCAAGGCGGGAUUCUCUGUUUAGGAGGGCCCUAACAAUUCAAAUCAAAAGUUCUCUUUGAAUUGUUAAAAUAUUUUUAAGUUGGAACUGGAAUGUUCUUUUGGAGGGACCAAACUAUUCAAAUCAAAAGAACUUCUCUUUUAAGUGUUCAAACAUUACUGAAUUUAUCAUAGUUUUAUAAAGGAAGUAGUAAGAUUUUCUACUUUCAAAAGGAUUGUGUGAUUUAUGAAAAAAAAAGUUCUUUUAAUGCUGUGGUGCAAGAAGCUCUCCUAUUUUCUAUGGAGUCUGCAAUUCAAAACUUUAUUGUUCACUGCGAAUUUGGUCUCACAGAUUUUAUAAGCUCAAGCGAGCAAUAAAUUUAGUCUAGUUUGUACUUCAGAUAUUGUGUACCCCAAACAGACCCAUGUUGUUACCUCGUUUAUUCGAAAUUUCUGUAAGUACCAGACUAUUAUGAUCCCCACAUGGUCUCACUUGGAUCCUAGGGUCCAGACUCCAGAUCAACCUGUUGUUUGGUGAUUAGAAGAAAUCUCAACUCAGUUUCCUCAAUUAUUUUCAUACUUCCAACGCAGUCAGCAGUCACUGCUAUCACAUGUAUUGAGAUUUUCAUUCAGGAAAAAUGAGGCAUCAAUUGGAGUCUUCUGUCAAAGGUAUGUGGCUUGGGGAUCGGAAGAGUGGCCUGAAUUUCCAACAACAGCAAACUAUAGUCCGGCCUGGUGAGUACAGUAUGUUGCUUUGCGUCGUGCAUUCCUUGGUGCAUGGUAAGACAGCCAUUGCAUGGGCCACAUUUAUUUUUUGUUUCCCAAAAAAAAGGGCCACAUUUAUUUUUCCUCUACAAAGAUUUUGCUAGUUAUGUCAGGUUUUCAGAUAUGCCCGUGGUAUCUGCUUGCCUAAAUCAGCUAUUGUUGAAUCUCCCAUGGCGUGCUCUUUCUUCGCAGACCAUUCGAGUCCUAAUGUAGAAUUAGUACCUGAUGUUGCAGGAUAAUCGGCAACCCGAUGCCAACAUACAAUGCUAUUUCUUAUGAUGUCAGUGGAUCAAGACUCAUGACUUGUGGGGCUCAUAAAGCCAACAAAGAUUUGGAAACAGGACAUCAACCGUGAAGCAUGCGUACCCUGCCUUACAAGUUACAAGACUAAACUUACAAGUUAGUAACAGCAACAGUGCAGAAUGCUAAUGAGGAAGGAGAGGAUGAGGCCAAGUCAUCAUACCCCUGAUGCCCUGGGCGGGACAAAGGGUCGCGGUCUCACGAUGGUGAGCUAACUUCAAAAAACCGUCCUCCGUUCAGAACAUGGACAUUAAACAAGGCUCCCUAGCAAGAAAAUCAGGUGGUACUUCUGCAAAAGAGGAAUCAAGGGAGGGAGAACCUGGCCUAACUGUGUUAAUCCCUGCAUGAGGCUUCGUGAAGCUCUGCUGAACGGUCACCACUCAGGCACUGACCAAAGUGUGAGGUUGCAUGUCGAGAACGUAGCUAGGUGACUGAUGAAUCAUUCACUGAGGAAAAAGAAGCUCUCUUGCCACUCUUUCCACCUGAACAAAAUCAAUGGCGUUAUGCUUUGCAGUUGAGAACAAUGUCACCUGUCGACUAGAGUACAAAUUUGUAGGCGGAGCUGUUCAAUCAGGUUUGUGAUAAACAUGAAAUGGUGUAAACUGAAAAGAUUAAAGCCACAAGACAUUCAAUCUUAACGUUUGCAUGCACAUAUUUUAUCAUCAUGCUAGAUUUCAAUUAUACUAGCAAUGCACAUAUUAGCUUCAAAAAAAAGCAAUGCACAUAUUGAUGUGGGCCAGACAUAUGGAUAUAAUUUUAGCAGCUUUCCUGCACUUCUUCUCUGAUCUUUAUAUUAGCUUAUGCUUAUGAAGGGAUACCUGAUUUCUGAUAAAGAAAAGGGCACCUGAAUGUGCACAGCUAUGGUUUGAUCCUGGCAGGGACAAUUGCCUCAAUAAACCUUCACAUUAUUAUUCGCUCAAGGCAUUCUAUCGAACUGAAUCUAACCAUUAAAAUCCGGGAGUUAGUGUGUCUGAAAAUUUUGAAAUUUCCAGAUAACAAUAUUCUAUUCCACAAUCAAUUUCCAGAUAACAAUAUUCCACAACCAACUAGUACAAUUAAAAGGACAACUCACAAAGAGACAAUUCACAACUUUUUUCUAUAGCCAAACAGGCAAUUCAGAAUUUUUUUCCUAUAGCCAAACAAUUACAAAAUUAAAUGUUGCCUGAAUCAGGCACAUGAGAUACAUGAGAAAUGUUAAAGUUCCUUUGAACCAAGUAGAGCAUCAGACCAGGGAUCCCUAGGGGACGGAUGCAGACCCAAAGCACCCAGUGUUAACUCUAAAUACUUGAGUGCAAUGUAUGUUCACUAGAGCAAGGUCAAUAAUAGAGCCAAGUGUUUGGCUAUAAGCCAAGUGAUUAGAGCCAAGUUAUACAGUAAGUUGUCUCGUACUUGUCUCUAAAACACCUUCUCUUUCCUAUUCUUUCUCACAACACUUGUUAUUUGGACCCACCACUACCUAUGCAUCCGUGCCCAGCUUAGUGCUUACAUAAGUCAAGCUAUCAUCUCUCUCCUCUCUUCUCUCCUCCACAUCAGCAUUAGCUUGGUUAUAAGCCCAUUAUUGUACCUGCUCUAAAGAAUCUGAAGUAGCACCCUGGAGGUUGGAGCCAGUGCCAAAGUCUGAUAAACCAGUAAAGAAGCUAUGCCUAUACCUAUGACUAACCUCAUGCAGACCUGAUAAGUAUGAGUGAGUCAGGCAGCACACCUGGUAAGAAAGAAUGAAUGAUAGCUAGAAAAGCAACGUGUGCUUAGCAACACAGAAUUUUGUUCCUACCACAUCUCAAUCAAACCCCAAAUGCACAGAGUUACCAAUACUUACAGUCUGAAUGAACCAUGAUGCGAGGAGCAGCUAGAAUGUUGGUCCUAAGAAACAACUGGAAUUCAAGUGACAUACAGUAGGGCAGCCUACAAUGGCAUAUAAAAUACAACUCAACAAACACCAUGAAGAAAUAAUAAUACCAAUCUGAAGAAUUCGGGAGAAAAUGCUAAAAGCAAUGAUCUAAAGUAAAUACGCCCUAAGAAUCCCUUAGCACCAUGGACCAAACAGAAAUGCAUCUCUUGAGGGUCAAGAAAACAUUAGGCAAAACACAAUUUAUAUUUUCUCCAAAUCAGUGAACCAAAGCAUGAAUAACAAUCUAGGAGGAAGUAACAUAGGUUCUCAGAUCACUAAAAGUGUAACCAUACCAUAAGCUACUCCCAGUGUGGUGUAAAUGUUGAGAUCCAAUAAUAACCAAGAUUUGCUACUUUAGCUCAAGAACAUCAUCACAGCAGGCUGAUAACAGACUGGGAAAGCUCAAAAAUAUCAACUGAGUGGUAAUCCUAAAAAUCAAGAUGAGAGCUAAAUUCAUCUCAUUAUCUGGUAAGCAAAACAACAAUACAGCCAUCAUUGUUCAAGAGUUUAAAUGAAAAUACCACCACUUGGCAUAGCAGUUCAGAGCAAUAGUAUAGUAAUAACCUAAGGAUGGUACAUUAGGCAUAGCAGUUGCAAGAGCUACAAGGCAAGCAAGAAAGGCAUUUCAAUCCUCCCCAGCAACUCUAAACAAAAGAAGCCAGCCAACAUAAACUACACCUAUUGCGCCUCCUCUGCAUCUCUGUUCUUCUUCUUUUUCUUCUCCUUUUUCUUCUCACUCUUCUCAGCAUCGGUGCCAUCUCCAUUCUGAGCACUCUCUGGCUCUGCAGCAUCACUUCCUUCCUUGCUCUUCUUUUUCUUCUUUUUCUUCUCACUCCCCUUCUCGUCAGCUGCAUCAACCUCCUCCUUGACCUGAACAGCCUCAGCUGACUCCAAUUCACCCUUGUCUUUCUUUUUCUUCUUCUUCUUCUCACUCUUCUCCCCUUCCACAGCUUCAGUGGCUUCCUCAACUUUGAUCUUCUUCGCAGGAACAGAAACAUCAGUAUCCUCAUCAUCCUUCUGCCUCUUUUUUUUCUUCUCCUUGACCUCCUCAGUCACAGCUGUGUCCUGCUCCACCUUCGCCUUCUCUGGCUCAGGAGCAGCUGCAAUACUGGCAAUUGAAACAUCACCACCAGUGGGAAGCACCACAUUCCUAAGCCACUCAGUUGGUGUCUUCUCAUUUGGCUUCCCAUGCUUGUCAAGAAGACCCUCAGCAAUAAGUUUUUUCUUCUUGAGUGCCACCGGGCCAAGCCCCCACUUCCUUGGGUAUGUAUCUCUGUCCAUCACGACCCUCUUGAUCUUUGCAACUGCACCAUGGUCACAGGUUGCCAUCACAGCAGUAGUCAUCUCAGCAACACCAAUCGCAAUAGCCUCACCCUUUGUUGUCAUGAGAACCACCUCCUCCCCGGUCUCAAUAUCAUUCUCAAAUCGGAGCAACCCGGGAAUCAUAAGCUUAGCACCAUAGCAGAUAGCAUUUACAGCAGAGUCCUUCACAACAAGCCUCUUGUAGCUAGUAAGCAGUACCUCUAGUGGCAUCACGACACGCCUCAAGUAUGACUCAUCCUUGUAGUUGUCCAGCGACCACAUCGCGUCCAUCACAUCGUGCAUCGUCACCAUGUUGUCCUGCUCCCCGAGGAUCCCCGACCUGACACGGCGCAGCUCCUGCAUAUGCGCACCAACACCAAGGAGCAGCCCAAGGUGCACACAGAGAGUCCGAACAUAGGUACCUGCCUCGCAGGAGAUCCAGAACACGGCAAGAUGGCGCUCGGGAUCGUGCUCCAGGAGCUUGCUCUCGUAGAUUGUCCGCACCCUGAGCUGGCGCUUGACUGCAGAGAUAAGCGGCGGGCGCUGGAACACCGCGCCAGUGAGCGCCUCUAGCGCGCGGGCCACUCGCGCGGUGUCCGGCACGGCGGCGUGGAAGCGGGCGACGCAGACGUACUCCUUGCCGGCGCCCUGCUGCGACUUGACGAGGCGCGUGGCGCGGUCGAUGCAGACGAUGAGGUUGCCGGUGACCUUGGGGUCGAGCGUGCCGCUGUGACCGGUCUUCUCGGCGCGGAGGAUGCGCUUGAUCCAGGCGACCACCUCGUGGGAGGAAGGGUUCGACGGCUUGUCGAGGUUGAUGACGCCGUAACGGAGAUGCUCGGCGAGGGGGCGCUUGAGCGGCGAGUGGCCGGAGGGGAGCGGGGUGUAGUGGCCGGUGCGGACGUUGAGGCGGUCGUAGUUCUUCAGGAGGAGCGGCCAGGUGGAGGUGUCGAGGGACGGCACAAGGGACUGCGGCUUGAUGAGGUAGCCAUCAGUCUUCUCCUCGGCCUCGGCGAGCGACGGCGGGUCAGCGGCGGCAGCGGCGGCGGGGUCGUCCUUCGACUUGUGCUUCUUCUUCUUCGAUUUGGAGUGCUCAGAGGCGGGGGAUGCGACGGCCGGCGUCGCGGACGACAUGGCGGCGGGCCGUGGGGGUGGGUAGGUUCUAGGGUUUUAGCGGCGGAGGGUAAAGGUGGGAGCGGCGGCGUGGGCGUGGCGGCAACGGAGAAAGGGGUUUUAACGGAAGGGUUUAGGGUUUAGUGCUGGGAGAAUGGGCCGAUCGUGGCUUGGGCUAUGGGCUUUAGCAUGGACUGGGCCGGUUUAUAGAUGAUAUCAUAAGUGGGAAAUGAAGCAGAUUUGGCAUAAUAAUAAUAAUGUUAUAAUAUAUACUCAGAAUAAGUUGGAUUCAACUCUAAAUCUAUCAAAACAAACAAGCCCUCCCAAAGUUUUAGGUCAACUAUUUGAUAUUCAAUAAAUUACUAUUUUGUUGGACGUGGCUAAUGCAUCGUGCAUUAGACCGUGCGCGCGCACACAUGCACAGCACAUCAGCUUCUCAGUCACAAAAAAAGCACAACAACUUCUUCCUCCUUGACUGGCAUCCUCGCCUCCACCACCGCCCACUGCUCUACAACAUAAUCCUAUCUCGCCCAUGGCACCAUCUUCUUCCCCUCUCCUCGUCCCCACUUUCGCUACCAUGGUCACCGUCGUCGCCUUGGCCAUGACGCCCCCACCCCCACAUGGCUUGGUCACCUCCACUACCGCUAGGCCCCUCUAAAUUUCCCAACGGCAUCUCCACCGUAUGGUCGGCCUUCCUCCCCCUAAACCUUUCCUUCUAAGACCAAUGGACUUGCAGAAGAUAAGGGGAGAGCUCACCGGAACCCUAAGUAGUAGAUCCAGGAGAAGGGUGAGGCCUACCUUGCUGAUGUCGUCGUUGCCGAAGGGAAGAGAGGGAGGACCGCAUGGGGAGGAGGUGGGAUGCAAGCGCAGGCUUGCUGGAGGAGGUCGCCACCAAGGAAAGCAAGCGAUAGGGAAGAGCUCGUUAAGCACCGCGAGCAAGAGAGGGGGGAGAGAUGACGAGUGAGUGGGGUGUGCGGCCAUGCGGGCGAGGUGUAUGGGUGAGUUGAUUAAAACCCGGAGGAGUAUAAUGAAGUCUUUACCUAUUUUGUUUUGUUGAACAACUCGGAGCCUAUUCAGCCCCUAUUCUACUAUUUUAAGGUUUGUUGGAUAAAAAAAACUCACUCCAACAAAACCACUACUCAAAUCAUCAAAAUUAGUUGGCCAUUAAAUUCCUCCUUUAACUUCUAAUUCCUAGGCUCCUCAGAGCCCCUUGAUUUUCACUUUUGGCCAUCGUGGCCAUCCAGAACUAAGGUAAAAAGGUAAGUCUCAGUGAAUAGUUUUAUAGCAUUGUUUUCAAGACUAUCAUGUCAAAAAAUAAAACAAAACUUGGAUAAAAUACCAACUCUCAAUGUAAAGUUUCAUUCUAUAGUUUCAUAAGCAUUUUAUUUAUGGCUCAUAGAGAGUUGGUAAUCAUGCUAAGAGAGUAUCAUCCCCUGUUGUCAACAAAUGGGUCCCCUAGGUUGGCCACGUGCUCGGAGCCACACCCUUGGGCUGGUCACGUCACCAGGGAGGGCGGGGCAUGCGAGCACAAGCCAAGGGAGGGGUAGUGAGCUUGGUUGCGGUGAGUAGGAGAGGGGGGUAGACGAAUAGACGACGGGGGUUGCGGUGAAAAAUGUAAGAUGAGAGAUAAAAAAACAAAUUAAUGUGAUUGACAAAUGAGUCCCACAAAGUAUGUAUCUUGAUCGAUUUAGAGCUAUUUAUAAAGUUGAGCCUAUAAAAUAUGACACCCCAAAAUAGAGUUAACCUCCAAAUCAAAAGUAAGAGCAUCUCCUAAAGGCUUUCUAAAGUUUACUAUCUAAAUCAUAGUUCAGAAACUCAUUUGAGUCAUUUCUACCCUUCAAUAGCCCUUUGUAUAUCUUUUGUGCACUUUAUAGAGUUAUUUUCACUCUCCCAGAAUAAAGGAUGUCUAUAUUUAGAAGUUCAAUUAAAAAGAGGCUAUUUUUUUUUGCCAAAAUCUCUAUUUCCUAUGGAUUAGUAAGGAUAGAGAGAGUCCUUUAAGUUGUUCAUCUUCAAGGGUUUUCCUAAAACUCAUUCUCUAAAACAUUAUUUGGAGAACCAUUUGCAUAAAAUUAUUUUUUAUAUCUUUUCACCUUCCAACAGUUUUCUAUAUGUUUUGCACACUUUAGAGGGCUAGCAAGAAAUUUAAAAUAGAUGAUGACUAUAUUUAAAUAACAAGAAAUUCGAAAUAGAUGAUGGCUAUAUUUAGAGAUUUAUUUAAAGAUUUUUUGGAGAGUUUUAUUACAUUAAUUAGGAAUUAUAUAAAGAGGCUCUUAGAGUUGCUCUAAGGGCUCUAAUUUAAAGGUUAUUUUUUGGAGGUAUAAACACCGCUGAUAUUGUUAUUACUGACGCAGAGGCCGAGUAUUACCUCCAUUCUAUAUAAUCACACCGCAAAUUUGCACCUUUAUUUUUUCCCCAAAAUGUAGUCUUGUUAGUAUGUCUGAGAGGGUGAAACCUUAUCUAGAAUGCUCGUUGGCCAAACUAUUUUAGGCCAUGCGUAGAACACCUGAAAUCUAUUUCACGGAAAUCAAUCUUCCAAAAGAUGUCUGGGCAGUUAAGAAAUUGUUCUAUCGAUAUACAUGGCAUAAUAUGAAACAAUAGAUAAAUAGAGAGAAACAAAAAGCUCUUUUUUCUCUUAGGUCUUGUUUAGUUCUCAAAAAAAUUACAAUUUUUUUAAUUCUCCGUCGCAUCGAAUUUUGCGGCAUAUGCAUGAAAGUAUUAAAUAUAGAUAAAAAUAAAACUGUAAUUUAUGAGACAAAUCUUUUGAGUCCAUAAUUGGACAAUAUUUGUCAAAUACAAACGAAAGUGCUACAAUGUCCAUUUUGCCGAAUUUUUUGGAACUCAACAAGGCCUUAUAUAAAGUACAAAGUAAAACUAAGCAACACCAACAGUUUUGUAAAUAGAUUUGGCAUUCUUAUUUUUUGCCAAAACUUUCAAAAUCUUCUAUCCAACAGUUUGGCAAUUGGGCUUGACAUUUAUAACAAGUUGUCAAAUUCUCACUCCUUUCUUGGCAUUUAUCCACGCUUGAAAUAGGCUUGGCAUACUGCAUGCGCGCGCUUUUAAUAACAAGCUGACAACCUGAUGCUUCUUCGUUGAUCUCCGGAACCAGCAGAAUUUUUUUUUGCCAAGUCCAAAUUGCCAAGCACUUGGAAAUACCUUUUUUGUUUCCUCUCCAUAUUGGUUUGGGAGUUAGCAAAUAACAAUGUUUGCCACACAAAAUUUGCAAAACUAUUAGAGUGUUGACCUGCAUCACUACUUAUUUCACAACACGAACAUUGAUUUUCUCCUGUAGAACUUUUGCCUCAGUUCAGAGUGCUUGGGGAAUUUCCCCGACAGCUCAAAAAAACAUUGAUUUUCUCCAGGGGCCACAUAUUGUUAUAUGCGCCAAAAUUUGGCAAGGUGGUAAAUUUAGUUUGAGCCUAGAUCAGAAUGCUUUGGCCUGCACACUAUAGAUGAGACCGUGAACGUACAGUUUCACCGUCAACAAAAGCACCCAAGCGAUGCUAAUUUACCAGGUCAAGCAUUUUACGCCGACAAAUGACAUACUUGCAAGCAGUAGCCCAAUAACAAGUCCAAGAGACGACAGUCAACACCUGAAUGGAGUUAUGCAAUAUUCCUCAGCGUCUAACUUAAAACGUGUGAGCAGGAUCAAGUCAUGAACAGAAAGGGCUUCACAGUGCCAAUACCACGAACAAGGUUCACUUAAGAGAAAUUCAGGCGACACUAGGUAUUUACACGUGGAUAACCUGGCCUAACUAAUCCCUGCGUAAAGCCGCCCGAAGUUCCGCUGGAUAAUCCCCAAACUGAGUAGUGGAGGGAGGAUGCAUGUUGAAGACGUAGGUGACUGGUGCUGCCACUUGCAUCCCUCUUGGGUGCCUGGAGAUAUCUGAGAACCAUCCUAGAGUUGCUUCAUCAAACAUAAACGAUUCGCUGAGGAAAAAGAAGCAUUCUCUAGCCAAUCUUUCCACCUGAAAAAAACAGCCACAAAAGUUAUAUUUCACAGUUGAGCGCAAUGUCAAGUGUUGGAUAUUGAAUUGCAAAUGAGCGUCGAGGUAUCGCUUACCUGUAACUGAAUAUAUCUUGUGUUUUUCAUUAUCAGGAUGACCUGCAGGUCAGACAGCCUUUCUGAUAAGAUCUUGAUGGCCAUAUUUGCGAAGAACUUAUGCAAGAGAGCCUGCUCACAGGCUGACUCAUCAUUAUCAAAGUCAGCGAACCAAAAAACUCGCUUAAGUUUUGUCCAAGGAACUGGUAAUUUAUGCUCAAGCCCAGUGAUUAGACUAGAUGGAUCAGCCAAAUUUUCGAGUAUCUUGAGGCCCUUUGGAACUGAAUAAGACUCAACAGACUGAAGACCAGGUGUACCAGCAACAAUCUUACAGACAUCAUAAAACUGGCUAAGCUUACUAGAGAACUCCAGGGUUUUAUCAUUCAUGACAAGAAUAUACCCAUCUCCAUCAGCAGGAAGCAACCUUGUACAGCACAAUGAGGUGGCUCUGCCCUCUUGAGAGCAUAUUCCAGAUGUGACAGGUGCAGAAACCUUUGAGCCAAAAUCAUGUGAGUAUGGACAAGAGUUACCACUUCGACAACCCUGAUUCAAGAGAACAUAACAUCAGAGACCAAAACAGAGAGAUGUGAGGUGUAACUCAGUACCCAUGCAUUUCAGAAAAUACAAAAUCUAUGCAAGGUCAAACAGCAUCAUUUGUAAUUUAUUCAUUGUAUUGCAUUGAAUUUGGCCAUACAGAAAUAUUAUGAAUAAAAACUCUUGCUACUAGAAGCACAGGAAAUCAACCUAAAUUAACAGCUAGGGCUACAAACUCGAAUGAAGAAGACAUGAGCCAACAAAAUGUGAAUGAUCAACCAAUAACAUAAAAUAUGAAAAAUCAUACCUGUAAUGUGAGAUAGAACUUGCAUACUGGUUUAGGAGCAAGGGAUGAAUGAGAAAAGCGGCAUGCAGCCCCAAGAUUGCAUGAUCCAUUAGCAAAAAACACACAUGCCUCAGUUCCCAAGGUUGGCUUCACAUUAGAACGAAGUUGUCCCUUGUGAGAAAUUGUCGGCUCCUCAGCAUGUUGUGUUCUCAUCUGCGGACCAAAUAAGAAUCAUUAUGGGUAGCACAGAUAAUUAAUUGGACUGCAUUUAACAUAUACUCAUUAAGUUCAUCGACUAGAGCACACCUCCUUGACAAGUGUCUUCAGCAAUUCAGCAAUGGUACUGGUCCCAAAAUCAGUUGGCGAAACAUAUGGAGCUGCACUGCAUCGCUUCUGCGAAUCGCUGUGAGAAUUCUCGGCCUCUAACGAGAGUGAAUCCAUAUCCACCUCUAGAUCCAGUAUUUUAUGAUAGAGACACGUGUGGUUGAAUUCAUAAGGCUGAAGGAACUUUGGAGGAUUGAUUUUGACAAGAAAACUUGGCCUAAAACGGUGCAGUUGCAUCAUAACAUCAUCAUCUAGUCAAAAGAACGAGUUAGCUGCUGACAAAUGUUACUCAAAUUGUAUGAAAAAUCUUGCACUUCUACGAGUAGAUCCUAACACCAAGUAAGCCUUGUUUGAACCCAAGCUAUACUUCUACACAGAACUAGAAGGUUACCUUUUUCAAAACUGUACAUUUUUCCAAUAUAUGCAUGACAAAAGGGGAUGGUACUAAGCCACUACUCUAAGGUAACGUACUAGGAGUACCUAUACUCUCAUAAAUCGCAAGAGUACAGGCAGAUGACAUACAAAUUUCAGAGAUGUUCUUAAACGCUGCAGGCACGAGAUUGUGAACUGCACACCACUCCUCUUCAGGUUUAGUAAGGAAGGUAUGUGAUUCUUCUGGUUCUUGAGUGUUCGCCACAUCUUUCAGAUAUUCCAAACGGUGCUUGUCCUGAAAUACAGGGUGAAUUUAAUCCUGAAUUGCAGACAAUAAAAAGUUCAAGGGCAUUUUAAAACUGAAGCAAAAAACCUUGUUCUAACAAUUGUUGGCAUGUCAUGGUUUAAGACUUCAAAUUAUCAAUGUUGCAAACAAAACUAUCUAAUGUCCAGUGUAUGCAGGGAUUAUUACAUAUAGGAUAUACCUUAAAAACACGCUCCCAAAAUUGAAAUGCACAAAGAUUUCCCAUGGUGGUAGCUUCCUUUUUGCCAAUUUGUACACUGCCAUUUCCCUUGAAAUAAUUAUCUCUGUACUUCUGGCGCUGUAAAACAGAUAACAGGGAAAAAAUUUUAACGCAAACAGAUAACAGGGAGUAACUACCACAAUGGAACUGGAGAUGAAGGAUGGUCCAUAACCCAACUAAAGAAUACCACAUACCAGUGCUUGAUAGCCAAAAGGCUGCACGAUAGGAAGUGGCUGGAUGUCCAACAUGAUGCUUAUUAGAAUUCCUUCAUGAACAGCGCCAAGCUCACAAAAUUUAAGGGCAAGAACAGAAGAAUCAAAUGACAAUGGCAAACUAUUGAGCAAACAGCCAUAAAAAGUGGGCUCAUAGCGUCCAGAACUUGUCCUCUCCAACGCAUGAAUUUGAACAAGUGAUUCUAAUGCAUCUUCAAUAGCAUCUGGAUCUGGUGGAUUAAGAACUCUUUGCAGAAGUGCUGAAGAAAAAACAUAGUAAGAGGUUUAUCUUAACCUAACUAGGUAGCAAAAAACUUGACCACAAAUAUAUACAUAAGUUUUUGAACUCAUUACACGAAUAAACUAUUGAUGUAUUCUACAUAAAAAAGUACCUCUAUUGUGUGAUAUCUUUUGUGAUGAAUAUAGUAUCGAAGUAUUCUUCAAAAUAAGUACCUCCAUUGUGUGAAAUCUUUUGUAUAAUUUGAUAAAAAAUAUAGAAUUAUGAAAUUUAAGUGCCAAGGUUUCCACUUUGAAGGUGUGAAAAAUAAAAAAAAAAGGACAGCGACAAACUCACCAAAUAAAAUCAUAGAUUGCUUCAAAUUAAAAACAAUGAACUCUGUGUAAAAUAAGUAAAUCACAAGAACAAGCAUGGAUUAAGGAUUCAAGGGUGUCUGAGCUGCAGAGAAAAAGAAUUACCGCUAGGGUCAUUUAUCGAUCUGGGCUCUGCACAACAAACCAUGAGCACUUGUUCCCUUAAGGAUAACCUCAAAAUGGCAGGAUAUUCAUGAUCAUUUAAACUGCUAUAAAAUGUUCCAGUUACCAAACGAUAAAUUUGACCAUCACAGGUUCGACCUGUCCUGCCUUUACGCUGCUCAGCCUAGGAAAAGAUUAAAGAAUAGUUACAAAAGUUUCAAGCUAAAAAGUAAACUUGAACAAGAAAAGCAUUAGGGCAUCUGUGAUUAGUUACCUGAGACUUGGAAAUCCAAACAAGCCCAGCUGCAUCUGUUUUCCUAAUUGGGUCCCAGUAGACUUGCAAUGAUCUACAAGAAUCAAUAACAUAUGCAACUCCUGGUAUAGUAACUGAUGAUUCAGCAAUGUUUGUAGCCAGUAUCACCUGCAGGGAAAAAGAAAGUUCCAUUGUGCUUUAUUGGUAACAGAUCAUUUCAACUAUCUAAAUAUAAAACACGCCCAAACUAAGUUCAUCUGUAUUGUUAUUUGUUACAACUAAUUAUGUUACAUCCCUUCAAGUGUUACAGGGUAUCCAGGUAUCCUUGUAGUCCAGUCACAGAGCUAAUUCCCCUUUUUAAAAGCAGCCCUUCACAUCUCAAAUAUAAAUCCAUUUGGACUCAUGGCUAUGAUACCUCCUCAAUAGUUGUAAUAACUAAGGUAGUUGGGGUGCUUACUUAUUGAAUAGGCAAUUCAAAUGGCAUAAAAGGUGCCUUGAUGAAUAGAGUGUGCAUGUUUCCUACUGUAUUUUCCUAAAAAAGAAGCCUUGAAAUUGUUGAUGAUCUUAUAUUUGGUGAAGUGUAAUUCUCCAUAACAUACAGCGAUAAAAAACACAUAUCAUACUGAUGCAUAAAUUAACAUAUACAGGAAACAUCAACAGCUAAUCAGGAAAGACAGGUAACUGAGGCAUAAAUGAGAUCAGGAAAAAGAGGUAUUUCUGCUUGAGAUUUCAGCAACCAUGCUAUUGCAAUUAGAAAAUAAUGAUACAACCACACUUCAUCCAUUUCAAAAUGUAUGAUGUGAUUUGAGCCAGUGUUGUCUCUUGUCUCCAACGAUACACUUUCACCAUUAAUAUCUCUUUAUGUGAUAUAAGCCAAUGACCAUAAAAUCAACAUCAUAUUUAGUAAUGGAGAUAUGAAUAGAAUUUCUAGCUUAUAUCUCACCAUCUAUAGAUUCUUGGGCUUUUUUUUUCAAAGUUUAUUAAUUUUGAAUAUUGAUAUCUGUGCGUGUCUUAUAAAAAAAAGAACGAGCAUAAAUAGAAAUUCCAUAAAAUAAUCCAAUGUAUUACUGCUACCAUUAUUUCUCACUACUGGCACCACAUAGCCAGAAAUAGAAGCAAGUAUUGGUAAGAAAAAAGACCACGUAUGGUAUGAUAGAAAUAUAGGUGUAUGUACCUUUCGGCAGGACUUUGAGAUCUUCAUAGUCUGAAGCGCUUCAUCAGUGUCAAUACUCCGGUGAAGAAUAUGUACCUUAAAGGUUGAACUAAAAGGAAAUAGACGGAUCCAUUGCUGCUCCAAUGCAUAGUAUGUAGGGAGGAAAACCAAAAUACUCUUGCUAACGUCUGGUUCAUUUUGGUGUAUAUGCAACAAUAAUUUGUGGAUGAGUUCAUAAACAUCAUAGUUUAUGUCAGCAUCAGCAGAAGCAUCCAGACCAGAGCAAUAUUUUGUUGAAAGCGAUUGGGAAUUUAUCUUGAGAAUAUCAGCAAUCUGAAAAGCAUUGUUGCAAUAUGUAAUGAUUAACCAUGAUGAAGAAAGCUUGAGGAAAUGAAUAUAUAUUACCAUUUAAAAAUUGCAAACAGGGAGGUGGAACAGAAACCAAUGUGCCAUGGCAACAUUAAUGAAGUUGUCAAAGUAAUGAAACUGGCAUUAAUUACACAGGCAUGAAUAAAUGAACAUGUUUAAUUAGUGGGUCAUAUAAUUUGUGGAAAUGGUUACUUUUACAUUGGAUCAGCAAUAUGAUUAAUUGUAAAUACACAAACAAACAACAUCCUGUGGUGCAAUCAGACAUAAAAGAUUUGAAGACACAUCAUGCAAAUUGGUUCAUUGUAAGUUCAAUAAUAUAUGAUGGACAAAGAUAGUACAGAGUUAAACAAAAUAUUCACCUGCUCCAGGUAUAAGACUUUGCGCUGAAAAAUGCUUGUACGUGGACUGCAGGGAAUGGCAAUCACUUCAACCCUUUCACCUCUUCCUAUAUCUCUAAAAUAUUCUUUAUAUCUAGUAAUGUCAGCAGUGGCAGACAUCAAAACCAACCUGCCAAGAGUGACACGGUGACAUACCAACAGCAGGUAGACGAUUAAUUAUUUAUACAAAAUAAGAUGGGAACAAUUACUGCUAAAAGACAAACAUGGUGUACCAUACACUAGUGGACACUACCUAUUGCUUACCUUAAGUCACUUUUUUUCAUCAAAAACUGCUUGAUACUAGCAAGGACAAGAUCAGAUUCCACGGAUCUUUCAUGUACCUCAUCAAGAAUAAUGACCUUAUACCUCAAUGCGGCAAUUCCCCUAUCACACAUUUGCUCCAAUACUACACCGGCUGUUUUGAACACAAUUUUUGACCUGAUUCACACGUCAAAUAAGUUUAGAAAGUAAAUUAUGUAGCAUAACAGGACUUAAGACAAAAUCAAAGGUAGGUAAAAAUGGACCAUAAGCUUUAGGCAAAUUGAAUACCCAAGAGAAUAAUAAGGCAAAUAACUGGAGAUUCAGAGUAACGAAGCUAGGAACGGCGGUGUUCAAUGUUGUGUAAAACUAGUGAAUGUGUACGUGGAAUCCACACUGACAGAAACAUAUGUCAAGAAUUAGCACCCAGUGUUUCAACACAUGUGUGACCAAGAACCUAUCUUUGACAUAGCUCGGUGGUAUUUUAGGAACAUAGGGUUCCAUUUGUGGUAUUGGAAAAAUACUAUUAGAAGCUGCAAAAAGACUAAUCAAAGGAAUCAAGGAGAGGUAUGCAGAUAGGGAUCGACUCGGAGAGUUGGGCAUAGAAUUGAUGAAUCCAAGAUGUAAGGUUCUCAGGAUCAGGGUUCUAGCAAGGAACAAUUUUUAACACUUGACAAGGAUAGGAGGGUAAAAUGGAAUGAUUGUAGUCAUAGCCACAAGACUUCAAUCAAGUUUGCAUAAUUGCAUUCAUGAAAGACACUUGAGGGACGAUCCCCACAGGAUGAGCACAACCAAAGCACCCGGUACUAAUUCAAAACGCUUAAGUGCAGGGUAUGUUCCCUGAAGGAAUUUUAGUAGCAGUGUAAAAGCAUGGCAUCUUGGAGCCAAGUGCAAAGGUCCAACAAAAAGAGCACGAACUAUGACAAAGCUAAUGCAUGCCUGAUAACUAGAGAAGCAAAACACACUCUGGAACACCAUUUUUGCCCCUGCCACGUCAGCAGACUAAGGUACUCCAUGUAAUUACCCGAGUCAGAACGAUCACAAAAAAGCAUAAAUUCACUCAAUAAAGCUGCAUAUACUACUCAACUAAGUAUUGUGUGACAACUGAGAGCAGUCGAAUUUCCCUUAAAACAAUGGCAUUAGAUAACACAUAACGGAGUUAGGUACCUUUUAGAGUUGAGGUCCGACACAUUUGAGUGACCUAUAUGAUAUCCAACCUCCUCGCCAAGCUGCCAAUUGCGAGAUUCAGCUAUCGCUCGAGCAAUGGCUACCACUGCAAACCUUCUAGGCUGUGUGCACAGGAUAGGUUCCAUAUUUUCCUCUAAGAGGAACUGGGGAACCAGAGAACUCUUCCCUGCAAGAAAAGAGAACUGAAUACGGUAGAAAUUAAAAACAUAAAACCAAUGAAUUUCAAGAAAAUUGCAUCUUGCUCCACUGCCCAUCUGGUAAGGCAACGACAAAUUCGGGAAUCUGAAAUGCGAAUCCAUAGGAUGUAUUUCCGCACUAAAAGUACAUAAGUAAGGCAAAGACAUAUUCGGGGAAUCUUAAAUGCGAAUUCCCAAAUGGUGAAUUUCCUAUUUCCGCACUAAAAGUAGUAGAAGGUAGAACCUCCCCUUGCAAUUUACCCUUCUCUUCAGGGGAAGAACAGAGGAGACAACUGAAUGAAAGUUCGACUUGCUAAAACCCUUUUGUUCCUCCCCAAUCCAACAGAAACCGCGUCCAAAACCCCAGUGAUAACCCUAAUCAGACCUAAAAUUACAGCGAGUAGAAGAAAAUCGCACAAACUAAAGCAACACAAAUUCCAUGAAACUUACCUAAGUAAAAUCUUAAGAAAAAAAAAUCCAUCUCCUGACCUCAACAAAACCCCAAAUGGGUAAAAAGGCUUUUCAUCACAGCACAGAGCGCGCGCGCGCGCACACACACACAGUAGAACCGAUCGAGAAGGUAAUGGGAGAAGGGAAACCCCAGCAGUUACCGCAUCCGGUGUCCCCCACGAUCAGCGUGACGCGGUUCGCCUUCACCUUCUCGACGAUCUUGUCGCGAAGCGCCUCCACAGCGAGCGGCGGCCGCGGCGGCGGCCGCGGCGCAUCCUCCUGCUGCUGGUUCCCCUCCUCCACCAACACCACCCCCGGCGCCAUGGCCGCCGGCUACGGCUAGGAUCCUUCCGAGGCUCAGCGCAAUGCGGCGCCUUCGGCUGCAAGCUUUCCGGCCCCUUUGGGCUUGCCUCCAAUGGCUCGCGCCUUCCGUGGCAGUGUUUUUGCUGCCCCUUUUGAAGGGGGCCGUGGCGAACUACUAGCGAUGCCUUCGGGGACAGCGGACUUGGUGCGUGGACCAGCCCCACGAGACGAGAGCACGGGAGGGAACGGGGUACUAUUCACUGGUGCACCUAGACCGGGUCCAGAUAGAUACGACGCUGAGGCCCGAAACUACCUCCGGCACAGCUGAUGAAGGGUUUCCACGCGGUUUCUACCGGGGGAGUGGCGAUGUUUGUGUUGACGGGCCCACUUGUCAGUUUGACGUGUGUACCCUGUACUAGUCAUUUUUUCUAUCAUUGGCGAUGUUUGUGUUGACGGGCUCACCUGUCACUUUUUUCUUUUUAGCGCCCAUCUGGUCACAUGGGGUAGUUCCAAGGUAUGGUAAAAAAUUAGCUAAAAUUAGUUAGUGCAUGUAGGUGACAAUUAGUAGUGUAUCUAAAUAGAAGAGCUACUUCAAGUCUUUAACUAGUUGUUAGCUAACUAGUAACUAGUCCUAGCUCAUCAAAUAAGUCUAUAGUUAGACAAAAACAUGUUGAGGUUAACAAUAUUUAGUGUUCCGCGAAUCUAUCUAAGAGCAUCUCUAAGAACCUUUCUAAAUUCACUCUCUAAAUAAUCAUUUGGAGAGUUAUUUUAGUCAAAAGCUAUUUUGUGUAUGUUCUAAAGUGCUAAUAAAAGAGAAGUCCAUGAUUAGAGAGUUUGUUUGAUAAAAAAAAAUAGGGAUGCAAGCUAGUUUGUCCAUAAACUCGUAAAUAGUCCUAUUUUUUACGGGUUAUAUGGGUAAUUCGUAUAACACAAUUGCUAUUAAGCAGGCGUCUGAUUUUUUCCAAAAGAUCAAGCGACGUGUGAUGGCCAACAAUUAUAGGCUUCUUUUUACUUGCAUCAACUCAGCACUUAAAUAGUAGAUCGUGUCCUGAACACGUCGCCUGAGAGCUCAGGCAACUGAACUUUAGGAGAUGUGCAUAAUUUACGAUUUUCUUAUGUCUGCAAGCAGGUUUAUCCACAAUCUCCUAAAGCGCGCGCGCGCGCAUAUAUAUAUAUAUAUAUAUAUAUAUAUAUAUAUAUAUAUAUAUAUAUAUAUAUAUAUAUAUAAAGAUUCAAACUUUAGAAACUUUGAUUAAUAAUUAAGUUAAUUUUUUAACUAUUAUAAUAUAAACUUUAUAUGAUUAGAUUUCUAUAGAAUUAUACUAUCUAAUGAUUACAAGUUUAUAAACAUAAAUAAUAUAAUAUAAAGCAAAUGAAUGGUCAACUAUAAUUUAGGAGACCAUGUCAUUCUAACUUGCGCCUUAUAAAAUAGACGAGAGGGAGUACUUGUCUAUUAUUGCUGUGUUGAGCUUGAGUAGGACAUGAACUUAAGUGCCUUUUGUGUAGGACUAUGUUUUAGACUUUCGGAUUUGUGUAAGUGAUGUGUCAUACUCCCUCCAUAUCCUAAAUAGAAGACGUUUUGAAGCAAACACCGAUUACAGUAUUAGAUGAUGUUCAUGUUUGCGGGGCCUGUUUUGGAUGCAAGUACCCUUGGCUGCAGCCAGGAAAAAAUAUUGUAAAAAAAUACAGCUACCGCUAGGAUUUGAGCCAUCACCCUUUGGGCUCAAGCUGCAGAGUCUUGGCUAACUGAGUUACAAUUGAUUGUUGUGUAGGUAGCACUGCGCUUUAUUUAAUAAGGACAAGAUAGGAAAACUAACCCCUAAUUAAUUAUCUUUUGGUAAUUGUACUCAUGUUCUAAACGUCAUCUAAUUAGAAUACGGAGGGAGUAUUUGAAAUUGGUGUAUAUUUAUGUUACUAUAUUGAUGUUGUUCCUUACCAGUAAUUAUUGCCUAAAAUAUAGAACCGCUACCAAUUUUUUUUUUAAAAAAACAUGUGCUUUGUUUUGUUGACUUAGCUUCUACAGAAAAGCUUAGUUAGAACUAAAACCAAAUCGAAAGAGUUUCAAAAAAAAACAAAUCGAAAGACCAAAAACCAAAGUGCUCGAUUCUCCUGAUAUUUUAGAGCAUUUCAAUUUUGGUUUAUAAGGAACCAAGUUUUGUGUAUCACCAAAGAACCGAGAUUUGCCAAGGGGUUCACGACGCAAUGGCAAAGACCAUUGGUUGGGGGGCUCCCACCCAGGGUUCAAAUCCUGGGUGCGGCACUUUAUUCUGGAUUUAUUCUAGGAUUUUUCCGGCGCUAUGCAUUAAGUGGUAGGCGACGUGCCCGUCGACAGCGAGGCGUCUGUGGUGACUUCGUGAACUUCAAGAUUUGCUGGCUCAGUCCUUCGAAGGUGCUCAUAGGGGUAGGGUUUGCGUACGUGUGUUCAUAGGGGUGAGUGUGCGUGCGUGUUGAGUGUCUGCGUUGUACUGUGUAAUCUCAAAAAAAAAAAGAACCGAGAUUUGGCACACCCCAACGCCUUUUUUUAGAAUGCAGAAAACCAUAGGGUAAAAAAUAUAUCACAGAAAACCAUAAGAGACGGAGAAAGGAUUGGGCCAUCUCUUAAAUUCAUCGCAGAAAACCAUAAGAAACAUUGUAUUAUUAGCCUUGCUCUAACUCAAUUAGAUGCCAUCUUAAAUUACUCGAUUCUACUUAUAUAUGUAAGUCAUUUAGAUGGGAUCAUGGGAGGGGCAUCUUUUUUUUUUUAAAAAAAAAAACUCCGAUCACUGUAACUCAUCAAUUAGAUAGGCCAUCCUAGAUUAUUCGAUUAUACUUGUAUGGGACAUCUUUUAAAUUCAUCGAUUUCACUUAUAUGAGGCAUCUUUUAAAUUCUUCAGUUUCUGUAACUCCCGUUGAUGAGUGUUUAAAGCGAAAUGGCCUCGCUAUGUUACCGUGAGUCUACUUCAAACAAACAGUGACCCCUGAUAUGAACACGAUCCUUUUUACCUGACAGUUACACCCGCAAGCUAAAUUAAAAGUUACUCCCUCCAUUCCAAAUUACAAGUUGUUUUUACUUUUUUGGUACAUCCAUUUUACUAUGUGCAGAUACAUAACACAACGGAUGAACCAAAAAAAAUCAAAACAACUUAUAAUUUAGAACAGAGUAUAAAACAUUCUAUACUAACAUUGCACGCUGAAAAUGCUCACACUCAGCACGAUGUGCACCCCUAGCAAAAUAAUCGGCAACAUCAAAUAGUCAUUUAAUCAGGAUGCCUCUCCACAAAUGAACAGAUUAGCUCAUACUCAAGAUAUCAACCAAACUGUUUUGAGGAACAGUGACAGGCCCGGCCGCCUCCGCUGCCUCAAUGUCUAGACCACAGGAACCAUUCUGGGUUUCGCCCCCAAAACAACCAACCAACCAACUUGGUUCAUUCUUCAUGUCCUAAGCAAUCUAUGCAACACAAUUACAGGCCUUAAAAAGCGGCAUUGUCCCAUGUGUCCACCAGCAUCAGCCACGGCCACGGCCCCCACCUGUGCCAACAAGUAAAGCGUCCCACAGAUUGGUAUCUCUUGACACUGAGGGGUGGGACUGAAAACAUGUGUAAGCGGUUACAAAGAGCACAUACCUUUGUUGCCACCUUUGGCACCAACACCCCUUCCACGACCACCACUGCCUCUACCUCCAUCAUCUUGGCCACGUCCAAUGCCUCUGCCUCCAGGUUUAGUACCAACGUCCCCUCUUCCUCUUCCGCGGCCAACACCUGGUGGCUUCCUAUCUGCAUUUACAGCAGUAUACAAAAAAAAUAAAUCCUGAAUAAGUAACCAAUUACUGUGCAACGAAUGACUCAGACUACAUGAGCAGAUAUUGCAAUAUUUAUCAAUUCAAGUAUAGAACAUAAGUAUAUGACUGACAACAAAUAAACUAUCAUGUAUGUGUCUACAUAAAACAGAAUAAUGAAAAACAGGCAUAGCCAUCCAUACCAACACGCUGCAAACUGUGACAUUCAUAAUAGUAAUAUUAUGACAUGGGGUAAUCACGAGAUCAUCGAUAACGUAAAGUUCAAAUUCAUAUGUUAUGUGGUUAACUGAAUAGAGCAAACAUGUAAAUAUAAACUGUCAAAGUAUUGUUAACCACUCCAUACCUGAUCGGCUCUUGGAAGUUUCCUCCUGAACCUUGUCAAUCACCUGAAGAAGGAAAUGAACCAUUCAAAUAAGACCACAUAGAUUACAGAAUAAUGCUAAUUUAUUUUAAUGUACAGAAAGUAAACAAAUAACAGAAUACAAACAAAGAAUGGCAUGGGAAGAAAAAGAUGUAAAUUUAGGAAAAAAAUCUUAGCGCACUGCGAAAGAACUUAUGGCUGCUAGGCAUGUUUAUUGCAUCUGAAGUUUUGAACUACAGUUAACAAAUGAAAGUUAGGUAGACUGAAGAAGUUCCUAAGAAAAUCUAGCAGGGGACCAAACAAGAAAAACUGAGUAAGUGAGCAGAGCAUAAAUAAUUUAUCCUGCAUUUCAGUCGAUAUGAAAACCCAAAAUCAGACCCUGUACGCGUUAAUUACUGCCAGAGUUUUAUCAAUGAACAACACAAUCCAACAACACCAUUCUGAGCACCAGACACCCAAAAGGCAUCGUGACAUAUUUCCAGUUUCAUUCACACCUCAGAUAUUGCUAUUUGAAUACUUGAGAACUAUUUAAGGCAUGUGCUAAAUGGAAUGCUACAGUUUAUUUAAUCGCUUCCAGUAUAAAGAAAUUUUAGAGCGCAUUUUACAAGUUUCAUCACCAUUAUGACACUAAACUACAAGUAAUGUAUAACAUAACUACAUUAUCACAGUUACAACUCAACUAUUAACAGAAUCAGGUUUUUAUGUGAAGGUCAUGCACAAUACUUAUGCUUUUGAGCAGUUCACUACAAAUUUGCAUGUACUUGCGCUUAUAAUGAUGCUUGAAUUAGCGACUAGUGAGAUAUGUGGUUCCAUAUAAUCUUAACUACUCCCUCCAUCCCAAAUUUUAAGUCAUUCCAAGAAUCUUGGAGUCAAAGCAUCUCAAGUUUGACCAAAUUUCUAUGGUAGGAAAACAUUUAUGAUAUCAACUAAGUAUCAUUAGGUUCUUCAUUUAUUAUAUUUUCAUAGUAUAUCUAUUUGAUGCCACAAAACUUUGUAAACUUUUCUAUAAUUUUGGUCAAACUUGAGAUGCUUUGACUCUCCAAGAUUCUUGGAAUGACUUACAAUUUGGGAUGGAGUAAUUCACAUUACGCUUCGCUGGGGUAAGGCAGUUUGCAGAUCUAGUAAGCCUAUCACAAGACGAAGUUUACUUGGUGCUAUACUCAGUGAAGUUCUAAAACAAAUUAACACAACACUAGCAAACUGGUGACAGUCUAAUUACUUUUUGAAAUACUAAGUUUCACUUUCAUGAUAAUAAUGCAAGGGCGACAUACACAGCCCCCAAUCACCCCCAAAUACUCCCUCGGUUCAGCUAUUAGGUUUCUCAUGGUACCAUGAUUCCAAGUUUGACUUGACCCCUGUACUCUAUCAUAUUCUACAGUGUUAUCAAGCCACACGAUUAAUCACGAUUAGUCAUCCUAGUCAGUAUCCUGAACUCGACUAGGGGCUACAACUCAAUUAGGAUGAUUAGUUUUCUGGUCGUCCAACUAGUCAUCGACUAAUUGCAAUUAGUCGUACACUGGGACAACUAUUGGGUGCACGACCAAAAACAGAAUAGAAUUGCUGGGCAACUGAGGACAUGGGCUGCAUCUGGGAUGGCAUAGGCCACUUAGGCUCAUGUUUUUCAGCCCAAUUCAUGCAGCCACCAACCUAGAGUUGUCUUCACGCUUGAUUUGUACUCUAGAACAUAUAGUAUAUAAGUAUUAUAUAUUUAGUGUAUUAGUCCUGAUAUAUAUAGGAUGACAAGGACUGAUCGUUGACGACUGGUCACCCGGUCGGUACCAUGGCGACUAGGAUUGACUUCAUGGCUUGAUAACAUCAUGCAGGACAGCUAACUUAAAGAACAGCAUAAUCUGUGCCUUCUUUAUCGAAGGAUAUGAGAUGCAAAUUUCUUUUAUGAUUUAUGUACAGAAUGCUGAUUGACUUGCUACUAUAUUUUAUCUAAUCAAUGCUUCAGUUUGUCAAGCAUACACAUCUACCUCGAAUAACCUCCUCAAUGACUACAUAAGAUCAAGUAAUUCAUAUGGUCAUCUCAUUUCGUUGUAUUACUUGAAAGUUUGAUCUGCUCUUGUAGUUCUUGAUUUGUUUUGUUUAUUGUUCAAUAAUUUGAUUGUUUAGAGUAAGUUUUCAACAUAAGCGGUCCCUAUUGUAUUACUAAAGACAUGAACAUACAAUAGGGACCUCUUAUGUUGAAAACUUACUCUAAAGAAUCCAAUUAUUAAACAAUAAACAAAACAAAUCAAGAACUACAAGAGCAGAUCAAAAUUUCAAGCAAUACAAAUAAAUGAUUAUAGAUUGACCAUUCAAUUUUUUUAGAACUAAAUUCAAGUUAAUGAUCUUUGCAAGGUUAAAACAAUAGGCUAGCCACACAAUUGAAGCCCUCAGUGCUUUAGCUGUGCUGGUUUUGUAUACAGGCAGGACUCACGAGUUGGUUUGAACUCCAAGUAGUAAACUGUUCUGUAAUUUGUUGCUUUAUGGUAAUAUAAAAUUCAGGUUUCCCAUGGUGGAAAAAAACUACAAAGAAAUAAUUCCAGAGAGCAAUACACAUCACAAUGACAAGGACGAAAUCAGGGAGAGCGCAAGAAUCUAGACAACCGAGCAAAUUGAAAAUAGAGAUUAGCUAGGCUCAUUAACCCAGAAAUUGAUACCUCAUCAGGAACUCGAAGAUACUUAAUGGUGUUCCCGCGGAUGUAACAUUCUGGCAUCCUCCAAAACUUGUCACCAUCCUGCAAUUCCAGACACAUCAUCAUAAACCAUAACUACAGGAAACUCACAAACUAAUUGGACAGAAUAACUGGAACCCCACAAUGUCACUAUUUGAAUUUCAACCAUGCUUUCUUCGGAGAAAAGAUUCACCCCAAAAUCAAACAGUGCACUCAACUAAUCUUUUGCUAACUAGAACCUAUCACAAUGUGAAUCAAGGGCACGAGAUUUUUCACCUUUGAGGUGCAAAUAACCUCCCUAAGGUGGAUGUUCAUCCACGUGUCGCAGUUGACCAGAUGCCCGUUGUACGUCUCACCAUUCUUCAGCUCCACGAGCUGAGAUCACAAAAGUUUUCAACGAGUCAGGACCAACAAUAGACUUAACGAAGAAUCGCACGCCAAAAACAACGGCGAAAGAAGAAGCCAGACACCGGGAUCUUACCAUGGGGUGCCCCUGGGCGGUCUUGAGGAGCGAGAGGGGAAGCUGCACACGAGAACAAAAAAAAUCGAAUCAGACGCGGCCCACCAACCACAUCUCAGUUUUGGGGGAUCGAGGUGUAAACGAAGGGACGGGCGGAAACACGCACCAUCUUUUACGGGAUCCGGGGAUCAAAAAGGCCGGAUCGGAGGAGGGAGGAAGGAGGCGGUCGUAUCGUCGGCGCACGGUCGGUCGGCGGCGGAGGGGAGAGGAAGAUUCCGGCAGCAAAACCCUAGUUUUCUCGCGGCGAAGAGGAAGGAGGCAAAGGUCGUGAGGCCGGAGUAUGGAGAAAAUACGACCGCAGCAGACGGGUGGGUGCUCGUAUAGGGCUAUAAACGACAAAAGGCACCAGACGUCCGGCCAUGGCCCGUUAAGGCACGGCCCGAGUCACCAUCACAUGAGCCGGCCGAGGCCAUCCAUGGCACCACCGUGUGAGCUGGGCCGGACUGCGCCCCCAAUUGCCUAGGUCGGGUGUAUUUCAAAAAAUAGACUCAGUGGUAAUGAAAUUUCAUUAGUAGUGAGUGAUUUUCAAAGGUUUGCACUUGCUUCCUCAUCGCGUCACUACAUCCGAUGCAAUAUUAGUCCUCGCCUAGUGGUAUUGAAAAACUAUAUUAGCCAAAAAAUUCUCCCUUUAUAAUAGCUUGACCAUUCUCUUUUCCUAGACAUUUUUUUCUUGACCGACAAAACUAAAGCCCUAAUCAGUUAUUAUACCUGUGUCCUUAGGCUUUCCUCCAUUUCCAUUCAUCUUAAUCUUUUCUUCUCAUAUGUUGACCACUUCACCUCCGUGGUCCUUGCUAUCUCCUUUCAUGGCUCCAUGCAUGCCAACACCUUUUUUGUGGACUAAACUAGCCCAUCAUCUCAAGUAAAUAUAUUAGUUCACUGAUUGUAAUUGAAUUACCAAAAUCCAACAUGUCUUUCAAAUGGGCGUGCCUAGCCCAGGCCCAGUCCUGUCAAACUAUAGACCUGGAGCGAAGCUAGAAGUUAUGGGCUCUUUAAUACAACUCUAAUAUAAUAUAAUAACAAUUCUAAUAAGUGUAAUAUAUUAAAAAAAUUAUGAAACAAGUUAUACAUCUUAUCUUAUCUUAAAAAAUUCUUCUAACAUUUGCUGCAGCGAAGUCAUUGAUGAUGGCCUCAAUAUCAAUUUCACCUAAUAAUUAUCCAUAGUAAAAACUGGUUCUUCACCAAAACGAGUAGAUUCCAUAGUAGGAGAAUUAAAUACGAGCUCAUGAUCACUCACAUUAUUAUCAUCUGUAUCGAUGGCAACAUUAUCUUCUAUAGGGCCUUCAUCUUCUACAUGAAUAGUUUGUUCCUCCACAGGAGCUAUUGUCCACUCAUCUAGAUUUGUUGUAGUGCUUAUAUUGUUCUUCAAAAAUUUAUCAAGAGCUCCUCUUUGUGAUUCUUUGAAGUCCUCUAUCCUUCUCUUUUUUUUCUUUUCUCACUUCUAGAUGCAUGCUUUUUGGGCAACAUGAGUUCACUGUAAGUUUAGAAAAGUAGUAAGUAAUGAAAUAAAAUUAUGCCAUACUAAAUUUAACAUGAUCACUGCAUCACAUAGGGUUCCUAAAUCCUAAACCUAAAUCAGUAGGGACUAAAGAUUGGGGACAAGCAUAGUUUUGUACCUCUGUACAGGACGACAACAGAACAAAUGCAGCAGCAGCGUCCAGGAACAAAUGCAGCAGCUGCACUCACACGGGAUACAGGAUUGCUGACGGCCAAUCGCAGCCUCGCGUAGGAAGCCAGGAACCAGGAAGUUACGGCCGUGCGGCGCAAGGGCAUGAAGUCACGGAUGCAGCCGUCGCUGCGGAAACUGAAUCGACUCGUCGUGUGCUGGGUCACAUGGACUCGUAUAUACAUACCAUGGUCGAUGGCCUGCUUUGCUGGUUAUUUCCUGGUUGUACUAAUACUAUAUAUUAUAUACUUACUACUAACAUAUUUGGGGUUGGGCCCCAUGGCCUCAAGGUCCCAGUUCAGUGGCUCUGCUUGCACCCCCCCCCUGGGCCGGGGCUGGCCUAGCCUCUUGCACAGCCAGCAACUAGGACCAGCCAUGGGCCUUUGGCAGGGGCGGUAGUCUUGAUCAGGCUUUUGCGCGGCUGGGGCUAACUGAGGCUGGCCAGAGAGUGGCCGCUCCUAUCUAGAGGUAGGGUUUGUAGGAUGAUUUUUUCUUUUAUGAACAAUACUUUAACACUGCAUCAUAUAAAAAAAUUCAUGUGUACAUGUGUUAGUCGAUGAACACUGCUUUUAUUUUUUUUGUUGCAAUUUGUUUUACAUGUGAAACUGUUUUGUUGGUCAAUAAAUAGUAGAAUCAUAUGUGAAUGAAAUUUGUUUUUGCUAUGCUCUUGUAUUCUUAGUUCGUGAAUAGUACAUUCAUAUGUGGAAUAGCAUUUUGUUUUAAUUUAUAUUGCAACUUAAAUUGUCGUCCCAUGGAUAGAUUUUUUAUAUGUAGUUCAUCAAUUGUACAUUUAGUCAUACCAUAACGAGACCUGGCAAAUAACAACCACACUAGAGUUUUUAUUGCCCGUUUGUUAAUUGGUAUUAAUCCGUGUUCGUACCUCGGCAUAUUCCAAUAUCAUUUUCGAUUCUAAUUUUUCCAACCCGGUUUUGUUUCUGCUAAAAAAUACAAAAACAUAAAUGGUAAAAAGGGUUUUCCCAUCCGUUUUCAUCCCUAGUUGCGGUAUGAUGGGCAACACAGUUGAUUAAAGUAAGAUUUUUGUUUGUAUGAGAAAUUUAUAUGACAUGUUUAAUGUAUUUACUAUCCUUUUGUUGUUUGUAAUAUAUAUCAUGGGGAAUCCAAGGUUUUUUACCUGCUUUGUAAAUGGUAACAAUGAGGAUCUGCCUUUGGAUGAAUUGUUCAACCAACCUAAGGUGCUCCCAUCUCCUGUUGUUGCAAGUACUCAUUAUGCAAAAAAUAAUAAUGAGACGAGGACGCACUACUCAUGUUAGCUUGGUUGCGUGUUAGCAAAGAUCCUGUGAGUGAAACUGUUGGUGCAAAAGCUGAUCUGCAAACACAAAGGGCUAAUACCCGAUUUAAACGUUAAGGCGUGCCAGCCGAUUUGACCUUACUAUCGGCAAAGGUGGUAACUCGAAUACUUUGGUCCUGACAACAGCGAUGCGCCCGGAUGUCACGGCCAAGAGGUACUCACGCGGAACUCGAGAAUACGCCGAGCUUAAGUCGACGAAUUCCUAAGAACUCGUAGUAAAAAGGAAAAUAUGACGAAGUCGUCGAAAAAGUAGAUGCUGGAAUAUGAGUAAAAACUUGUGUUUGAUUGAUUGAUAGAUAUCUCAUUAUAAGGCCCUAGGGUCUACAUUUAUACCCUGCUCAAAGAGCUACAAUCAGACACGACUAGGACUCGAAUUCCAAAUUAAACAGAAUCCGUACACAAAACAAAUUUAAAUAACUAAUGAAAACAUAAAACUACCCCUUUGUAACCGACCAGGACACCGCCACAGAUCAAUCGACAACCUCCACGCUUUCCUUCAGAGUCAUCGGCAGUCUUCCUGUUAUGACCAUCGGCAAGCACCAAUAUUGAUCAUCGGCAAGAACACGUCACAACCUCUGGACUUAGUCAUAUUCAACCGUCUCUUCAUCGGCAACUCUUCUGCAGACUAGUUACCGUUGCUCCACCUGCCGAUCUAUACUCUACUGGUCCCCGGGUACGUGUCCAAAACGGUGUCAACACAUACCCCCCCAAUUUCGGAGUAUAAAAUCAUUAAUGCUCCGAAAUUCUCUGCAGUAAUGAUGCCUUUCCGCAAUUAAUUCUCCCAAUUUGGUAACCGACCGUUUAAAUCUGAACAACCUUGGCCCGAUUCUCCUGCAGGUCCCUCGAAUUCCUCAACCUUCCGAACCGGAUCUCUCCACUUUAUGCGCCCAUUGCUAAUAUUACCGUUAGAGGGAACUGCCGAUGGACCGACCAAGAGAUCCCGCACAGUAAAAUAUCUCCAGAUCAUGACCGCUUCCUGUCAAAUCACCUGCGCAAUCCCUUGAUUACCGUGUGAAUAGUUACCAUAUCCACCUGAGUACCCUCAGAUUUCACGGAUACGGUGAAGAGAUAAGUCAAAUCUGCCCUUGCCCGUUUUGUCCUAUAAAUACUUCCUUCUCGGGUACUCCUUCUCCAUCGCAUCAUUCUACAGCCCCAACUCUGCUUUCGUGGCGGCGGCACUGUUCGAGAGCUCCAAGAACUCCAGCAAGAACUUCCUCCAACAACCCCCAAGUUUUCGAUCUUCUUCUCCGUGGGGCAAUGGCCGUCAACUUCGUCGUCCCUGAGGUUAGCUUACCCUCCUUCUUUUUUUUCGUAUUCUUGAUGUACCUUUGUCCAUCCGCAAUUCCUUUUACUAAACAUCCCCCCUUUUUUACUUUUUCUUUCAUCCCCACAAUCUUUAGGACUUGGCCGACAAGAUCGUAAUUCCUACCGAUCAACCCCAUCUUCAAUGCCUUGGUCCACUAGAAAACUUAGAUCCCACCGAUCUUAUAAAUGCAGAGACAAACAGAAUCCCCUUUAGAGCUGAGAAUUUUUCUCUAGAUCUAUGGAAAGACGCCUUCCGUUCCUGGCCCAGCCCUACCAAGGGAUGGAAGGAUUGGUUUCUGAGAGUCUGUAACUCCAAUGAGGUCCAAUGGGGUGAACAGAAAUUAGAUCAGUGCAUUAGAUUGUCUCUUGCCGAUAUGGAGAGAAAUGAGUCACUACUGAUAGCUGCCUCAUACUUUUGGUUAGACACACUUAAUGCUUUCGUGUUUGGUCAUGGCCCUGCUUCCCCUACACUUGCCGAUGUUCUUAUGCUCACCGGUUUAGACAUAUCCACUGCCGAUACCACCCACCUGUUCGACACCAAACCCAGUGCUAAGGUAGAAACUCGUGCCAUCGGCGGUUGGUCAGGGUACAUUCAGAAGUACCGAAGAACAGGUCCUGUCAAUGCAAAGGAACAGACCACCUUUCUGAAUAUGUGGCUAGAUAAAUUUGUAUUCUGUGGCCGAUCGGCAGGACCAACUUCUGUUUACUUGUCGGCAGCAGAAAGAUUAGCCAAUGGUGGCCAAUUUCCUCUCGGCCGAUACCUACUUGGCUUCGCUUAUCACCUCCUCCACCAGGUAGCCCAGAAACUCCUGCUUGGUCAACCCAUCGGCAACUUACGGGGUCCCUGGUGGUUCAUCAAUAUGUGGCUUAGUCCCCACAUGCACAAGCGCCUUGGGUUCGACCUCUUUGCACAGCGCUUCCCCAGGGAUUUAGCCGAGGAUUAUGAACUGGAUGAAGAAGAAUCGGCAACUCGUUCCCCUCUGAACUUUGGCGAAGCUGCCAUAGUUUUGCCUGGCACAGGUGGUAAUGCAGACCAGGUUAGCCGAUUCUUCCAAACUCUGUAUGAGGGUCUGACCAGAGAACAGCGGGCAUGGAUGCCUUAUGAAGACCCAGAUACCAGAUUCCCCUUGACUUUCCACCCCUUCAACGAUGCUCUUAACAAGGACCGUGAUGUGAUGAUGGCAAUUAUCACCCCAAGAGCCAUACCAGUGAACUUCUUUAGUAGUGGGAAAACUUCCAAUCUGACCUAUGAGUUUUAUAACCCAUCGGCACUAGCUCGCCAACUAGCUUUCGGCCAACUGCCGAUUGCACUGUGCUACGCCGAUGUGAUAAGGCCAAGGGAAACUAUCACUAGCCAUCUCGAGUGGAUCAGAGUAGCCCAACUUUCACCAAAUGCCGAUACAGAUGUUGAUCUAUCGGCUUGGAUUCCAGCUCUCUUCAUCACUCAGACAUACAAACAGUGGUGGGAAGAAUGGAAAGAACACCUAUUCUGCAGAUCGGCUCUCACGUACCGUGGCAUGAUCGACCCCCAGUACAAAGUCCCUGAUAACACUGUAAGUACUUUAAUACCGAUGCUUCAAUCCCUUCACUGUCUUUUUCCAUCGGUAACUCACUUUCUUUGUCAUAUACAGGUCGAUGACACACCGCCAUUGGUCAGCAGGAGUGGUAAACCGAUUGAGCUCCUUCCAUCGGGCCCGAUCUCUUUGAUCGGUAACAACGCUCCAACCUUGGCUGCUAUAAUGCAUCGGGGUGUACGCCUCAAGAAAAUUACCACCAAGCGGAGGAAGACAUCCCCAUCGGUAGCUGCCUCUACCUUAGCACAAGCCUUCAAGGUAAAUUUUCGAAUUCUAUUAUUCAUACCAAUUUCAUUUUUAUACCCAUCACACUUGUACUCAUAAACUUCUUAUUGUUGUAUCAGCACACCGGUACAUUGGCAAAGACCGGAAGUACGACUGUCGAUGCCCCCCAGUCCAGUCAACCGAAGAGAAAAGGCUCCAAGAGUACCAGAUCACAAGCGAAGCGCCUGAGAACAGAAACACCUUCUCCUCCCCCAGUAUCUCCGAUCCCAGUAGAAUCAUCCCCUUCUCCUCCAGAAGCCCAGACACAACCAGCACCGUCUCCUUCUCAACCACAAGAAGAAACCCAAGUAGAAGAACUCGAAGAACCUCAGCCAGAAGUACCUCAGCUAGAAGAAACAUCGGCUGAUGUACGCGAGCAAACUGCCGAUCCAGCAAGCUUAAUCAUAGCAUCGAUAGUUUCCUCGAUUCAAACUAGUACUGCACCUCCUCAAGGUAACAUACUCUUUAUUUAUUGCCGAUGAACCCACCUUUUCCAAUUUGUAAUUACCUCUAUUAAUCUUUCAGCUGACAUAGUUUCAUCGACAAUCCCAGCCGAUCAACCUAUGGUUCCAUCGGCUUCAACUAGUCAGAGGCGAGAGAUAGCUCUGAAGCAAGUAAGUUACCCGAUCCUUAUUUUUAUUGUUAUCAGUACUUUGUUGACGGUCCUUAAGUAUCAAAUUUAAUUAUCAAAUAAAUAAAGAAAAGGAUCCAAAAGAAAUCAAGAUCUAGACUUAGGGUUUUAUCUGACAGAAUUCCACGAGUUUUGGUGUUUGUCUAUUUCUGCAGGGGGUUAUCAGGAAAUAUGGAAGAAAGGCCCACAUGUCAGGAUUACGUAAAGAUAUUAACGUGCUGCGCAAUUAUCUUACAUCUAGAAGACUCCAGAAGCCACGAGACCGAAGCGGAGGCGAAACGGGGCCUGACCCUGGGCGGCCGCCCAGUUGGUCAGGGUGCCCGCCCUGCCCCUGAGUCCAAUCAGGACUCUGCUUUGCGGGAGAUCUCCACCAACCUAAAGGAUGAAUCUAAACCAUACAAUCUAUGUCGGUUUGAUCCAAUGGCCCAUAUUCACUUGAAGGGACUAUAAAACCAGACCCCCUGGCCCCUGGAGGAGAGAGCCUCUCAACCCUAAUUCAUUGUUCCAUCAAGGGAGAAGAAGCCUCUGAUCAAGAUUAGAGCCACCACAUCAAUUAGAUAUCUAGAUUAGCAUAGCUACAUAGGAUUAGAACUAGAAGGAGUCAAUCUUCGAUUGGUUUCCGGAUCUGUCAGGAGGAUUCUUGGUAAUUCUCUAAUUGUGCUUCUAAUUGCUUUCUAAUUAUCUUUGUUCUUCAAUAUUAUGAAUAUGACUUUGUUCUACUUCAAUAUAUUGCUUAUGACUUUGCUCUACUUGUUUAUAUUCAAGAUUAUAUUGUUCUUAGUUUAUCAUGGUUAUGUAUUUGGCUUAGUUAGAUACGAUCUAUAUACAUGCUUAGGAUCGUAUAGCGUUUAUCCAUCGGAUCCAUGGGUAAAUGAUAGAUAUUGUGUAGGCGUGGUGCUUAUACCGUAUUUAUCUAUGAUUGUACCCAAUAUGCCAGAUCGUGGGGUGGUUCGUGAUAGUGACAGCUUCAUUGAUUCUUAUAUAGUCCCCCUCUCGUGUAUUGGGCUGGCAGAGCAACAUUAUUACAGGGGAGUGAUUGCUAUGUUUCUCAUAUUCCUUGCUAAUAUCACUAUGCAUGGGCGUAGUCUUGUCUCACAAUGAUUGCUAAGUAUGCUUGCACUAAUUAUGAUAAUGCUAGACUAUAUAGUUGAGAAUAACUUAGGGAAUAUUCUUGUGGUUCGUUCUAAUACCAUGCUAAUGACUUUCUAGAGUAUCUAAUUGAGGUGCUUAUCAUAUUUAUUAUGUGGCUAGAUCAGAUUAGUUAUCCUUGUCACUAUUAUUAUUUCAUAUAUCUUUUAUGUGACACUUAUCCCUGUAUGAAGAGUUAGAUAUAAUGUUCUCAAUUAUACAUGCAAUGAUAGAUGCUCAAUCUCAUAUUCUAUUCUGUAAUCAAUAGUGAUGAUUGCUAAUCCCUUCCCAGUGGUAAAAAUAUAAAUAACGAUACCUGGAAUACUUUCCGGUUAAAAUGCUGCAUCGGUAUUAAUCUGUGCGCUUGCAGAUCUCAUUCAUUAUUAAUUUAGAAGAGCAAUUGCAUAUUUCAAUACCGCGUCUCUUAUAUCAUGCUGGGGAUGACAACUUGGCUUAAGUGGUGUGAGUGAUAGGUUUGGCAUUUUUAGCACCGUUACUAGAUUAGAGAACCUAGUCUACUUUUGGUAAUGAUGUUAAGAAUACCCAACAAGCAUUUUCGGCACCGUUGCCGGGGAAGGUUGAUUACCAAUCAGGAAUGGAAUAAAGGAUUUUGAGUUAUCAUUCGCAUCACUAAUAUGAUUGAGCUUAUCUAUUCUCUCAUACAGUUUUACCCCGAUAUUUUUCUAUUUUAUCUUAUGCAGGGGAAUGUAUGAAUAGAAGACAUCUUCUAGGAAAUUUUGUUGACGAUCCUGAAGCAUUAUUCAAGAAGACGAGAGCCAAGCUAAAGAAAUCAUCAACACUUCAGCAAGAAGCUUCAUCCAAUCAAGAAGAUCACCGGAACUUGUCUUCAGAGUUCGAAGCCAUGGCGAACAAAUCGAUCCGCGAGUUCUCAGCUCCCACUACGGAUAACAUCCGCACUGGACCUGCUGCAGAGAUCGACGGCAACUUUGAGCUCAAGCCUGGACUUAUCAACAUGGUGCAAUCCAACCAGUUCUGUGGGAAGGCACACGAAGAUGCUAGUGCUCAUUUACAACACUUCCUGGAGAUUUGCAACACAUUCACCAUAGCAGGAGUUUCCAAAGAUGCUAUACUACUUCGCCUCUUCCCAUUCUCACUAUUAGGAAGAGCGAAGCAGUGGUUCGACGCUACAAAGGAGAAGAAUACUACGUGGGCACUCUGCUCAACAAACUUCCUGGCUAAGUUCUUUCCCAUGGGCAAGACCAAUGCUCUCCGUGGGAAGAUUACGAGUUUUCAGCAACAAAAUGAUGAAUCUGUUCCAGAAGCAUGGGAGCGCUUUCAAGACUACAUCCUAGAAUGUCCCCAUCAUGGAAUGGAGAGUUGGCUAUUGAUGCAGACAUUCUAUCAUGGGCUCAGCAACAGUGCCCGAGAGACCAUGGAUGCUGCAGCUGGAGGAGCAUUUUUAUAACUUACUAUACCACAAGCCACAGCUCUUGUGGAGAAGAUGGCGUCCAAUCAAAGCUGGAAUGAAGAGAGGAGCCAGACACGCAAGAGAGGUGGAGGUAUGCAUCAGCUCAAGGAGGUAGACAUGCUGUCUGCAAAGCUAGACCUGCUCAUGAAGAAGCUCGAUGAUAGAGCUGGAGACAAGAAAGAAGUUAUGCACAUCUACGACUCUCACAUGACUUGUGAGGAGUGUGGAGACACUGGACACUCAGGCAAUCACUGCCCUGAGAUGCUUGAGGAUGUGAACUACAUCAACAACAACAACUACAACCGUCCUCAACAAAAUCAAGGUUGGAAUCAACAGAGGCCUAACUACUCAGGUAAUUACCAAGGUAAUAAUUCUUACAACAAUAAUAAUAAUUUUCCACCUUUGAGAGAGUUAGUGUCUAAUCAAGGAAUGCUAAUGGAUAACCUAUCUAAGAAAUUGGCAUCUAAUGAUAAAAUGCUAGAAAAUAUAAAUAAUAGAAUGGAUAAUUUCUCUACUGCCAUCAAGAAUCAAAUUAGCUUUAAUAAAAUGAUUGAAUCUCAGUUAAAUCAAAUAGCUGCUGCUGUUCCUACUACUAACCCCGGUAUACCAUCACAACCGGAAGGAUUAGAAUCUGCAAAUCUUGUAGACACGUUUGAUGCAGGUAAUUGGAGUAACCCCGUCACUGAAUUCUCUACUGACCUUCUGCCGGUCAAGAGAGGCGAUCCAGGACGCCCCGUCAUCCCGAUCUCUAUCGGCAUGGUGGACGUUCCAGAAGCACUCUGCGACUUUGGCUCCAGUGUCAACAUUAUACCCAGGGUACUCUAUGAAAAAUUCUUUACAUAUCCUUUAUUAGAAACAACCAUGUGUUUGCAGUUUGCAGAUCAGACGAUAACUUUUCCAAAAGGAAUAGUGAAGAACCUUUGUGUCCGAGUUGGUACCUUAUAUGCCCCAGCAGACUUCGUAGUGGUAGAGACCGGAAAUGAUGAGAGAGCACCUAUCAUCCUAGGGAGGCCAUUUCUGAACACCACGGGAGCUAUCAUCUACGCCAGUGCUGCCAAGAUCAGUUUCUACGUCAAAGGGAAGAAGGAGACAUUUUUCUUCAAGAACAAGACUACACAAAUUCCAGAUCAAUCCAGACGUAAAUCAAGGAAGAGGACCAACAGGAGGAACAGGAACAAGCAAGUGUGGACCGAGUCAGCUAAGAUGGUCACUGUAGUCCAUGGAGGCCAAGAUCACCAACUUAAGUCACCGUUUUUGACCAAGAAGGACGACCUAGGAAUGCCAAGCAUUUACUGCUCCAUAAAUGGAUACAACUUCUACAAGACGAUUUGCGACACCGGAUUUGGCGUCAACAUAAUGGCCGCAGUCACCUAUCGGCUCUUGUUCGGAACCAUGCCACUAAGACCAACAUACAUUCAGCUCCAGAUGGCAGAUCAGACAUUCCGAGAAAUUAAAGGAACAGUAACUGAUGUCCCAGUCAAAAUAGACAAUCACUUUGUCUACACAGACUUUCAAGUUGUUGACAUGGGAGAAGAUGAGUACGAUCCACCCAUCAUCCUUGGAAGACCGUUCCUCAGCACUGUUAAAGCAAUCAUCUACAUUGGAACCGGAGAAGUCCAUAUGCACUUCCCCUCAGAGAAGGUACGCCGUUAUUUUACUGACCCUAACUAUAUCAUUGAAGAAUCUAAGCAGGUCAGAAAGAGACGCAACCGCAACCAGAGGAGGCAGAUCAUCAAGGAUGGAUGGGCAGAUUAUGAAGGAGAAGUUGUAAGGUCAGAAGACGUUGAAUUUAAACAGAAUUAUCCAGAGGAGAUUGAAGCACCGAGUCAGGUAUGGAAAAUGAAGAUAACUAUACAAGAAGAGGAGGCGCUGCCGGAAGUACCGACUACGCCACCCAACGAACCUCAGGACGAUUAAGAAAAUGGAGAGUCCCGUUCGGAGGACUUAAAAACACCGAACGCCUUGCCAAGAGGUAAACUUGGUAGUUAUCCUUUCCCUUUCAAUUAUUUCAAAUAGUUUACUUAGUUAAUUAUGUUCAUACUGUCCUAAAAAGAAAAUAAAAAUGUGAAAAAACUAUAAGCCCCAUGUGAGUAGACGAGUGGCAUAAAACCCAUAAGUACAUUCACUGUGGUGGCAUAAAAAUAAAAUAAAUAUUUUUCUACUUUAUAAAAUAAAAAUAUAAAAACAGGGAGUAAUAUUUAUUAAGGAGUCUCAAGAUAAUAAAGGCUAGAUAUUUGUGCUAACACUUAAUCAGUUCCACAAGCUUUGUUGUCUAUUUGAGCUCCACAGAAAUUUAAGAAUCAAGAAGACUGGCAGACGGAGGACAUUCUAAUCGCUGUCAGAAUACUGCUGACUUUCAAAUACACCUCUGCCACCUGCUAGCUACACCAAGAGAAAUUACGUCAAAAUUCAGCUUGUGGGAGAGCACCCCCAUUUAUCACGAUAAGUAUUUCUAUCUAUCUUUAUACUUAUAUUAUUUUAGAAUAUUAAAAUACACAUAAACUAUGGGAAAACCAAAUAAAGAUUUUAUGCUUAUAUAUAUAUCUUUUGCUUAGUGUGUUUAAUAAAUAAAUAAAGUGGCUAUGCUAAUCUGUAUCUAAAUAAAACUUAAGCAUGGAUAUGAUAAAUAGUUGCUCUGCCUAAUUUGCAAAUUUUAAGUUCUCUCUCAAGUUUAGAUAUAACUGUUAUAAUUUAAAGCUUGCUCUAGACCUAAACUUGUGGGAUGAAAAUUUGAUCUGAAGUCUAAGUUGUUAACGGAUACGAUAUGGGAAGGUUGAGCUGCUGUUUAUCUGUUCCUAGAGAUGCUAGAAUUCUGGAGAAUUUUAUCUUUGAAAAUCUUUAAAAUGUUGCAUGAUGAGUUCCUGUAUGAUGAAGAGUUUAAACUCCUACCACAGCCAUAUAUACAUGCUUGCUAGACUUUGAGCCACACAUUUAUUAUUUACUGCUUAUGAGCAUUGAGUGUGGUCAAGCUGUGUAGACCCUUAGGAACUUGUCAUGUGGUUAAAUCAAGAUUUCACUUGCACGUUCACUCAUAUAUGCUACUUCUACUCCGGAAGUACCAUCCACAUAUAUCCACCCAUUCCAUCUCCAGAACCACCUAGAAAUAUUCUACUCCUAAUCCGGGAGAGAAUAACCAAAAAUAUUUCUGUUUUCCCUUGUGAAAUAAAUGCUCAAGUUAUCUUGUUACUACCACUUGCUAUAUUAUCUCAAGAGAUGACUGCUCUAAAUUAAAAAAAAAGAAAGAAAAAAAAGAUACGAGGAAAUAAAAAGGAGCAAGUGCUCGGAACCUCGAAAGAAAAGAAAAAGUGAGACGAGAGGUAAAAAUGGACAAGUGUCCGACAGUAGAAUUAGGGGUACAAGAUACCCACCUGAGAGAAAAAAAAAAUAUAGAGCAUCUCAUUCUCCUCAUAAAGUUUGAAAAAGCAAGGAAGGUAUGUAUCCCCUCAAAGAGCAAAGUAGAAUUAGACUUCCACCACCAUUGUUUUCACCAUUGUUAUCACCAUCAUCACCAUACACCAUUCAUUCACCACACAUGCACAUCUUGAUUUGGCUUAUUGACUUGUUACUUUGGAUCCAUGGUUUGACUAUGCAAUAAAUGUCUUGUAAGUAUGUAUACUUUAUCUCCCACCUAUGAGCUCCAGAUAUUAAAACCUUAUUAGAGUAGGAUGAGAGAGAAGGCAAUGUCACUAUGCCUUAUACCACAAAUACUACAUAUCUUGAGAGAAGGCAUAUACCAUCACUGCCUUGGUAAGGAUCCAAAAAUACCACAAAAGAGAGACCUGAGAGAAUCAUACAAGGAAUUUCUGAGUUUUUAUUUGAAAAUCUGCAAAAACCCCAGAGCUAUAGCUGAUCAAGAAUAAGAGACAUGGCACUUGGCUAGACUGUUCUAUCUUUUAACCACUCAAGACAGAGUUGACAGUUACAAGUCCCAUGGUGAAGGUAAAGUAAGUAAGUUUUAAGUCUUGACAGUUUACUCUAACUCAGAGAUGAGAUCUUAUUUAAAAGCAUGUGAACCGUCAAAUUUUUUAAGAUAUUGCAACUACUUAUGAUCCAUAGCUGAGUCUAUCCUUGCUCAGGGACGAGCAAGAGGUAAGCUUGGGGGAGUUUGUUGACGGUCCUUAAGUAUCAAAUUUAAUUAUCAAAUAAAUAAAGAAAAGGAUCCAAAUGAAAUCAAGAUCUAGACUUAGGGUUUUAUCUGACAGAAUUCCACGAGUUUUGGUGUUUGUCUAUUUCUACAGGGGGUUAUCAGGAAAUAUGGAAGAAAGGCCCACAUGUCAGGAUUACGUAAAGAUAUUAACGUGCUGCGCAAUUAUCUUACAUCUAGAAGACUCCAGAAGCCACGAGACCGAAGCGGAGGCGAAACGGGGCCUGACCCUGGGCGGCCGCCCAGUUGGUCAGGGCGCCCGCCCUGCCCCUGAGUCCAAUCAGGACUCUGCUUUGCGGGAGAUCUCCACCGACCUAAAGGAUGAAUCUAAACCAUACAAUCUAUGUCGGUUUGAUCCAAUGGCCCAUAUUCACUUGAAGGGACUAUAAAACCAGACCCCCUGGCCCCUGGAGGAGAGAGCCUCUCAACCCUAAUUCAUUGUUCCAUCAAGGGAGAAGAAGCCUCUGAUCAAGAUUAGAGCCACCACAUCAAUUAGAUAUCUAGAUUAGCAUAGCUACAUAGGAUUAGAACUAGAAGGAGUCAAUCUUCGAUUGGUUUCCGGAUCUGUCAGGAGGAUUCUUGGUAAUUCUCUAAUUGUGCUUCUAAUUGCUUUCUAAUUAUCUUUGUUCUUCAAUAUUAUGAAUAUGACUUUGUUCUACUUCAAUAUAUUGCUUAUGACUUUGCUCUACUUGUUUAUAUUCAAGAUUAUAUUGUUCUUAGUUUAUCAUGGUUAUGUACUUGGCUUAGUUAGAUACGAUCUAUAUACAUGCUUAGGAUCGUAUAGCGUUUAUCCAUCGGAUCCAUGGGUAAAUGAUAGAUAUUGUGUAGGCGUGGUGCUUAUACCGUAUUUAUCUGUGAUUGUACCCAAUAUGCCAGAUCGUGGGGUGGUUCGUGAUAGUGACAGCUUCAUUGAUUCUUAUAUAGUCCCCCUCUCGUGUAUUGGGCUGGCAGAGCAACAUUAUUACAGGGGAGUGAUUGCUAUGUUUCUCAUAUUCCUUGCUAAUAUCACUAUGCAUGGGCGUAGUCUUGUCUCACAAUGAUUGCUAAGUAUGCUUGCACUAAUUAUGAUAAUGCUAGACUAUAUAGUUGAGAAUAACUUAGGGAAUAUUCUUGUGGUUCGUUCUAAUACCAUGCUAAUGACUUUCUAGAGUAUCUAAUUGAGGUGCUUAUCAUAUUUAUUAUGUGGCUAGAUCAGAUUAGUUAUCCUUGUCACUAUUAUUAUUUCAUAUAUCUUUUAUGUGACACUUAUCCCCUGUAUGAAGAGUUAGAUAUAAUGUUCUCAAUUAUACAUGCAAUGAUAGAUGCUCAAUCUCAUAUUCUAUUCUGUAAUCAAUAGUGAUGAUUGCUAAUCCCUUCCCAGUGGUAAAAAUAUAAAUAACGAUACCUGGAAUACUUCCCGGUUAAAAUGCUGCAUCGGUAUUAAUCUGUACGCUUGCAGAUCCCAUUCAUUAUUUAUUUAGAAGAGCAAUUGCAUAUUUCAAUACCGCGUCUCUUAUAUCAUGCUGGGGAUGACAACUUGGCUUAAGUGGUGUGAGGGAUAGGUUUGGCAUUUUUAGCACCGUUACUAGAUUAGAGAACUUAGUCUACUUUUGGUAAUGAUGUUAAGAAUACCCAACAUAUUUGAUCAUAAAAUAACUUAUUCUGUCUUCUUUUCUAGGAACAGGAUUCUCCCGACAGCCUGUUCUCCUUCGCCAUCGAGAUCUCUGAGGAUGAAGGCGAGGAAGCAAGUUCUUCUCGAGCAGUUGGAAUCUCAUCGGCAGAGAUUAGAGCAAAGCUGGCGGAUCUGUCAGCCCUUCUCUAUCAAGACACAGCGCAAUUGGUCGAUGACUCUGAUCCAGCCAAAGCCCUGUUCAAGGCUCUCAGAGGUCAAAUUCCUGCCGAUGCCGAGGAGGUUCUUUUUCAGGCUGCACACUUAGAGAGUCGUCAGCUGCAGUAUCAAAAGGCUGCCCAGCGUCUUGCCGAUAGAGCUGCUCACGCUCAGCUCUCAGAAGAAAUGAUGAAAGUGAAGCUCCUUGCCGAUGAGAAGCAUAAGAGCAUCGGCAUUCUGAAAUCCUCAGGAGAUGUACUGAAGCAAAAGAUCUCUGAUCUAUCGACGAGAAGGGAAGCUCUGGUGGCUGAACUCAGACAAGUAGAAGAAGCUCUGUCUCAAGCUCAACAGGAAGAAAGCCAACUGCCUUAAGCAAUCUAGACUCUUGAACAAGAGCGAAACAUCCAGGCCCGUAAAGCACUGCAGAUGAAGAAGAAACUGAAGCCAGUGGAAGGCUCUGCCGAUGAUGACGUGAAGGAGAUAGAAGAAGCCAACCAGAUCCGUCUGCGCGCCAUAUCGACGAUCCAGGCUCUGUUAAACAUGUGAACUCUUCAUCGGCGGCGUUCUCUGCUUCUUUCUUCUAAUCAUUUUGGUCCAGCCGAUAGGACUGUUAUCGGCAUUCUUUUAAAACAUUAAGUCUGGCCCCAGAUACACUUUUAAUUCAGCCAAUAGAAAUGUUAUCGGCACUUAAACUUUCAUGCAUCAAGCCAUAUGCUGGGGUAAUAUCUCUUUAAAUAUUUACCGUUCAAUGCUCUGGGAAAUUCAACUCCUUCGAGAGUUUCUAAGAUAUAGGCGUUGCCAGGAGCGGAUCGAUUUAUCCGAUAGGGACCCUCCCAAUUGGGAGACCACUUCCCAAAUUUUGAACUUUUAGUCCCGAUCGGUAAGAUUAGUUUCCAUAAGUCUCCAUCGGCAAACUCCUUAGCCUUUACCUUCUUAUCAUACCAUCUGACAACUCUCUUCUUAUUUUUUUCUAUACUUACCAAAGCCCUUAGCCGAUGCCCUGCUAGAUCAUCCAACUCGUCUGUCAUCAAAGUAGUAUAAUCAUCGGCAGCUAAUUGAUCUUGAAAAGAUAGUCGCCUAGACCCAGUUUUAAUUUCCCAAGGUAGCACUGCAUCAUGUCCAUACACCAACUGAUAAGGUGAAACUUUGGUCGACCCAUGACAAGCCAUCCGAUAUGACCAUAAAGCUUCAUUCAACAAUGUAUGCCAUCUCCUAGGAUUUUCUUCAAUCUUCCGUUUAAUAAGUUUGAUAAUUCCUUUGUUAGACGCCUCGGCCUGCCCAUUAGCUUGAGCAUAAUAAGGAGAAGAAUUUAAUACUUUAAUUCCCAUACUGAUUGCAAACUCAUCAAACUCCCCUGAUGUAAACAUAGUACCCUGAUCGGUAGUAAUUGUUUGAGGAAUUCCAAAUCGGUAAACAAUAUGCUCUUUCACAAAAUCAAUCAUAUUGGCCGAUGUGACUUUCUUCAAAGGAAUAGCUUCAACCCACUUGGUGAAAUAAUCGGUGGCAACCAAGAUGAAUUUAUGUCCUUUGCUUGAUGGUGGGUAAAUUUGGCCGAUUAGGUCAAUAGCCCAUCCCCGAAAUGGCCAAGGUUUAAUAAUGGGGUUCAUGGCCGAUGCGGGUGCCCUUUGAACAUUGCCAAACUUCUGACAUCCUUGACACCCCUUGAAAUAUUUAAAGCAAUCUUCAAGUAUGGUUGGCCAAUAAUACCCAUUCCUCCUAAUCAUCCAUUUCAUCUUAAAAGCCGACUGAUGUGCUCCACAUACUCCUUCAUGUAUUUCUCCCAUUAAACUUCUAGCCUCAUCAUCACCUAAGCAUUUGAGAAGAAUUCCGUCAAUUGUUCGAUAAUAUAAUUCAUCUUCGAGGAGCACAUACUUGGUGGCUUGAAACCGAACACGUCUCUCAACUUUCUUGGAUGGAUCCUUUAAAUAAUCAACGAUUUCUUUUCUCCAAUCAUCGGCACCGAUUGCCGAUAUUGUGUUUAAUAUAGGUUGAUAUCCCAAGGCAUGCCGAGCCAACCGAUUGGCCUCUUCAUUAUGCAAUCGAGGAACAUGCUCUAAUUGGAAAUCUUUGAAUUCCUUUAACAUUUGCAUACUCCUUUCAUAAUACGUUAUUAAGACCUCACUUCGGCAUUCAUAACUUCCAGCUAAUUGAUUUAUAACCAGCAUAGAAUCCCCAAAGAUUUCAACAGUGUCAGCACGAACCUCUUUUAACAACUCCAACCCUUUAAUUAAGGCUUGAUACUCAGCUUGAUUAUUUGUCGACGUAGCAACAAUCGGUAGGGAGAAUUCAUACUUCCUUCCCUGAGGGAAAACUAACACUAUGCCGAUUCCUGCCCCCCGGUCACACGUGGAUCCAUCAAAGAAGAGCGUCCAAGGCACAAUUUCCAAAGCUUCCACUGCACCGCAAUGUUGAGUUACAAAAUUGGCCAUAACCUGUCCUUUAACUGCCUUAGCCGAUUCGUAACGCAGAUCGAAUUCCGACAGUGCCAAAAUCCACUUACCGAUCCUGCCGCUCAUGAUCGGCAUAGAUAGCAUAUACCGGACCACAUCAUCUUUGCAUAUAACAGUGCAUUCAGCCGAUAACAAAUAGUGCCUCGACUUAAUACAUGAGAAAUAUAAACACAAACACAACUUUUCAAUGGUCGAAUACCUGGUCUCAGCAUCAAUCAAUCUUCUGCUCAAAUAGUAAAUCACACGCUCCUUCCCUUCAAAUUUUUGAAUCAAAGCCGAACCGAUGACCAUCCCAUCGGUAGAUAAAUAUAAUCUGAAGGGUUUUCCUUGCUGAGGUGGAAUCAGAACUGGAGGAUUUAUCAAAUAAUUCUUGAUUUCAUCUAAAGCCAACUGUUGCUCUUUCCCCCACACAAACUCUUGAUCGGCUCUCAAUUUGAGUAAAGGACUGAAAGCACGAAUUUUACCAGACAAAUUAAAUAUAAACCUCCUGAUAAAAUUUACCUUGUCGAUCAAGGACUUGAGCUCAGUUUUGUUGAUAGGAGCAACUAUUUUGUUGAUAGCAUCAAUGGAUCUCCUACUAAUUUCAAUUCCCCUUUGAUGCACUAUGAAACCAAGGAAUUGUCCUGCCAAUACACCAAAUGCACACUUGUUAGGGUUCAUCUUCAAACCAUGCUUCCUUGUACAUUCCAACACCUUUCGCAAAUCGGCAAGAUGUUUUGUGAAAUCCCCAGACUUAACCACCACAUCAUCAAUAUAAAUUUCCACCAGCUUGCCGAUGAACUCAUGAAAGAUAAAAUUCAUAGCCCUCUGAUAAGUAGCACCAGCAUUUUUCAAGCCAAAGGUCAUGACUAUCCAUUCAAACAAUCCAACAUGACCAGGACAUCUAAAUGCAGUCUUUGGAAUAUCUUCCUCAGCCAUGAAUAUUUGAUUGUAUCCUGCAUUGCCGUCCAUAAAGCUGAUGAUCCGAUGCCCAGCCGCAGCAUCAACUAGCAGAUCGGCAACCGGCAUUGGGUAGCCAUCCAUCGGUGUAGCUUUAUUAAGAUUCCUGAAAUCAAUGCAAACCCGAAGCUUCCCAUUUUUCUUGUAGACUGGAACAACAUUAGAAAUUCACUCGGCAUACCGACACUGCCGAAUAAAUUUAGCUUCAAUAAGUUUGGUUAUUUCGGCCUUAAUAUCAGGAAGAAUAUUAGGAUUACAUUGGCGCGCUGGCUGUUGAUGUGGCCGAAAUCCAGAUUUGAUGGGUAACCGAUGCUCAACAAUCGAUCGAUCCAAACCGGGCAUCUCAGUAUAACCCCAAGCAAAGCAAUCUUUAUAUUCCUUUAACAGAUCAGUUGACUGUUGCUUACACUCAGAAUUUAACUUGGCACUAAUAAAAGUUGGUCUAGGUUUAUCACCACUACCUAUAUCUACCUCUACUAAAUCAUCGGCCGAUGUGAACCCCUGGCCUAGCUUUCCAUCAUCGGCGAAUCUAUCCAUUAAGACUCCUCAUCAGAACCGAUUGCUUGGAUCGGUGGAAUUUCAUAAUCGGCAACUUUGAGGAAAUCCUUCUCCCAAAUUUCUCCCGAGAUACACCUAGUCCUUUCAUAGGUGUCUGCCUCUGCCGAUGCAAUGACAUAAAAAGAAUCUCCUGGGACAAUCUCAAUCUUGUCACCUACGCACUGAACCAAGCAUUGGUGUAUCGUAGAUGGGAUGCAACAAUUGGCAUGAAUCCAAUCUCUCCCUAGCAGUAGAUUGUAGGCACCUUUCCCACUGAUCACAAAGAAGGUCGUCGGCAAGGUUUUGCUGCCGAUGGUCAACUCGACGCAUAUUGCCCCCUUAACUGGAGACACAUUCCCUUCAAAAUCUUUUAGCAUCAUAUCGGUCUUGGUCAAAUCUUGAUCUCCUUUUCCAAGCUUCCGAUAGACUGCAUACGGCAUGAUGUUAAUAGCAGCUCCACCAUCAAUUAAUAUCUUGGUCAUUGGCUGACCAUCAACUCUUCCUUUGACAAACAGAGCUUUAAGAUGCUGUCUUUCAUUGUCGGCAGGCUUUUGUCAUCGGAUCCAGAGCCAACUGAGCUAUCUGGUCGAAAAACUCUAACUCCUCAUCAUCACUAGAUGGCGCAAGGAAUUCCAUCGGCAACAUAAAUACCAUGUUAACAUCUGCCGAUGGCCCUUUCCCCUUAGGAUCUGGUUGCUGCCGAUCCUCAGACUGACCAGAAUUCUCGCCCUUGCUUAGCUCUUCUCGUCUUUCGCGUUGCAGUCUCCUUUUUUGUGUCUUAGUCAACCCCUUCGGACACCAUGGGGGAAGUGGUGACUGCCUUGCCGAUGGACGACGAUGUCCCCUUGACUCCAUUCGAUAAGUAUUAGCGUCCCUGCAAAAUAUGAACUCAUCGGGAACUUGUGCAUCAGCCAUCUCUUCAAGUUCUUCCUGGUUCCUGAGAAAAUAUUCAACACGAUCACCAAGCCUAUCGUGCACACUGAGUCUGUCCCCCAGCCGAUCAUGAACUGACGCUCUCUCCCUAAUCGGCCCAUUGAAUCGCCGAUCAUCAUCGUGAUAGCGCCGAUCGGAUCUGUCAUACCGAUCAUAACUAUUGCACUUAGGGCAAUCUCUAACAGUAGGCAAUUUGAUGUUCUGCUCCCAGCAAUGGAUAAAGAAUGGGCAGUUCUAGUGAUCCUUGUGCCGAUUCCACUCAAGUCGGCGUCUUUCUUCUUCCCGACGAUAGUCUUCUUGCUGGCGCCGAUACCGAUCCUCACGUUGUUGCCAAGUCACCCGAGGCCUUCUGUGAGUUAUCACAAUACCAGAUCGAGGAGGCCUUCCUGAACUAUUUCCUUCCUGAAUCAAGCCUUUUCCUUUGGCAUCAGCAGCAGUAAUCUGAUGCUGAGGAUCUACCGAUGCACUCCUUUCAGCUGCUUCCGACGUUAAGACCUUAGUUUUUCCCUUAGCAUCCAACAUAUUUGUUGGGAAAGGAUGUUGAUCGAUCUUCAUUGGCUCCUGAGCUUUAGAAUCAAAUUUGAUUCUCCCAGAUUCUAUAGCCGAUUGCAGCUGUUGCCUAAAAACCUUGCACUCAUUGGUGCUGUGAGAAGUUGCAUUAUGCCACUUGGAGUAUUUCAUCUUCUUUAAUUCUUCAGCCGAUGGAAUUACAUGAUUGGGUGACAAUUUGAUCUGACCUUCCUGAAGUAGAAAGUCAAAUAUCCUAUCGGCUUUGGUGAUAUCAAAUGCGAACUUCUCUGGCUCUUUAUGCCCAAAAGGACAAGACAUCGGCUUCUUAUUUUUCACCCACUCUGCCAAACCGAUGACUGGCUCUUCAUCAGAAUCCGAGCUUGCUGCUUCGUCGACAAAUGACACCUUUUUAUUCCAAGCUCUCUUAGGUUCAAAGGGUUUGAUAUCCUGAUCGGAAAUCCUCUAGACCAAGUGACUCAGGCUCUCGAACUCUUGAGAAGCAUAUUUAUCCCUGAUAUGUGGCAACAAUCCCUGGAAAGCCAAAUCGGCUAGCUGCCGAUCAUCUAAAACCAGACUAUAGCAUUUAUUCUUGACUUCCCGCAACCUCUGCACAAAACUUUCAACCGAUUCAUCAUUGCGUUGUUUCAAUCUAACUAAAUCGGUAAUCUUCUUCUCAUGGACUCCAGAAAAGAAGUAUUUGUGGAAUUGCUUCUCCAGAUCGGCCCAAGUAAUCGCUGAGUUAGGAGACAACGAAAUAAACCAAGUAAAAGCCGAUCCAGAUAAAGAUGAUGAGAACAAACGAACCCUUAACAUCUCUGUUAGCAGCUUCUCCACACUAGAUGAUAAACCUAUUGACAUGCUCCAUGGUCGAUGUAUCAUCCUGCCCAGAAAACUUGGUGAAAUCUGGUACCUUGUACCGAUUUGGAAGUGGAAUUAAAUCAUAUGUCGGAGGAUACGGUGUCCGAUAAGAGUAAGUGUUGACUUUGGGUUUUAUCCCAAAUUGGUCUCUCAUUACUUCAGCCAUCUUAUCGGGAAAAUAAGCAUCAGCAUCUUGCCGAUGAGGCGGUUGUAGAUCUGGCACCUGCUGGUAAGCUUCCACGUGUCGCUGAGGCGCACGAUCUGCAUGGAACAUGGGGUUAACCAUCUGACCACCAAUCUGCUGACCCAGAUUCAUCGGCUGAUUGAUCAAUCCUUGAUUCUGAAACCCAGGUUGGAUCUGACCUUGUUGAAACCCUGUAGCCUGAUGAUUCUGUUGAGGCACCUGUGGGAAGACAAAUUGCCCAGGCCAUCCACUAUUAGCAUUCAUCGGCAUAGGCCCUGCCGAUGACUGAUAAUUGGGCAUCAUCAUUGAGUUGACGUACCCCUGCUGUUGCGUUGGCAUUGAAUCUGCCGAUGCGUUAGGCAUCUGGAAUGCUGGAACUUGAGAAUUCCCAGUGUAAGGUCUUGCAGUAGUAGUUGUAGUAUACUGGGGACUCUGAUUCAUCGGCAUAUUUGGAGGUGCCGAUGCCAUAGGAGCCUUGCCUCUCAUGUCAGCCGUUUGAGACGUGCCAAGAAUCUUCAACAUCAUCUCAGAGGGCAUACCAUAACCCCACCAGUUAGGAGGAACUGACCCUGACAUUGCCGAUGCGAGUAGAUCUGUAGCAAGUUUAAUCGACUCAUUUGAUGUCGAUGGAUUAGUUGUCAUCGGUGUAGAUUGCGCGUUAGUGACUCCUAACGUGCUCGGAGGAACCGUAGUUUCUGUGCCCGCUGCGGCUGUAGUGGCCGAUAGAGCUGUGACAACUGGUGAUCCCGGCUGAUGAUAGACAGGGCCCACAUAGUUUGGUGGCAAUUGUCCUUCUUUGAAAGUUCUAGCCACGGCAUUGAAAACCGUAUUGGACAGCACACCAGCUUGGUUGAUCAAGGCACGGUGGAUAGCAUUAUCGACCAUGUCUUGGAGUUUACCAGGAUUGGCUUCAAAAGUAACCUGUCGAGGUGCCGGCAGUGCUUCUUUCUGGAUCGCUUCACCGCUCCUGUUGAUACUGAAGGAUUUCAAGCAUUGCUGCUUGUAAUCCUCCAUGGCUUUUGCAAUAGCUUGCUUUUGCUCAUCUCUGAGAUUGGCUUCCGUCACAGGGAUGACGUUCUCCUGAUCGAACUCGGUAGUCGACAUGUUGAUCUUGAAUCUUGUAUCAGGGAGUCCCACUGGGCGUGCCAAAAGAUGUGUUGGUGCAAAAGCUGAUCUGCAAACACAAAGGGCUAAUACCCGAUUUAAACGUUAAGGCAUGCCAGCCGAUUUGACCUUACUAUCGGCAAAGGUGGUAACUCGAAUACUUUGGUCCUGACAACAGCGAUGCGCCCGGAUGUCACGGCCAAGAGGUACUCACGCGGAACUCGAGAAUACGCCGAGCUUAAGUCGACGAAUUCCUAAGAACUCGUAGUAAAAAGGAAAAUAUGACGAAGUCGUCGAAAAAGUAGAUGCUGGAAUAUGAGUAAAAACUUGUGUUUGAUUGAUUGAUAGAUAUCUCAUUAUAAGGCCCUAGGGUCUACAUUUAUACCCUGCUCAAAGAGCUACAAUCAGACACGACUAGGACUCGAAUUCCAAAUUAAACAGAAUCCGUACACAAAACAAAUUUAAAUAACUAAUGAAAACAUAAAACUACCCCUUUGUAACCGACCAGGACACCGCCACAGAUCAAUCGACAACCUCCACGCUUUCCUUCAGAGUCAUCGGCAGUCUUCCUGUUAUGACCAUCGGCAAGCACCAAUAUUGAUCAUCGGCAAGAACACGUCACAACCUCUGGACUUAGUCAUAUUCAACCGUCUCUUCAUCGGUAACUAUCCUCAUCGGCAACUCUUCUGCAGACUAGUUACCGUUGCUCCACCUGCCGAUCUAUACUCUACUGGUCCCCGGGUACGUGUCCAAAAACGGUGUCAACAGAAACUAAUCAAACUUGUGGUAGUAACUUUUGGAAGAGAACUAGAGAGUACUAUAAUGCAAACAAGAACUUUGUAUCUGAUUGCUUUGAGAGAUCUUUGAUUCACAGUUGGUUGACUAUUUUAGAAGAAGUAAACAAGUUGAGUGUAGGAAACAAAGUGGACAUACUAUUUAGAACAAAGUUAUUAUUUUGUCACUUUUUUGUUUUCAUCAACGUUCUCAUUUGCAGUGACAACUAUAAUGUUAACUAUAUAAAUUCUCACAUGUGCAUCUACGUUGAUGCAAUUGCUUCAAGUAACAAGUAUUUAUGGACAAAGACGAAGACAACAACUCGUUCCAAAUAAUCCAUUGCUGGAACAAGUUGAAGGAUGAUGCCAAAUGACAUUCAAAGCAAAAGGAUUUGCCGAUUUGGUAGUCCAUAAGAAUGGUGCUAGGAAGAAAGAAAAGAUUGGCAAGAAUGGAACUCCACAAAACUCACGUCCCAACAUUGUUGAUAGUACCACAAGUGAAGUAACUGAAGUUAGAAGUCCAUAGUCUAAUGAGUCUGGUGGCCUAAAGAGACCAAUGGGUAAUAAGAUUGCAAAGGAAGCGUUGAGGCGAGAUGGGGGUGAUGAUAUAUGUGGAGGAAUUCGUUUAAGUGCGAGUGGAAAAGGAGGCUUUGACAUAGAAAAGAAAAAAGUGGGGGAAGCGAAAACAUUCGCUAUAGAGAAAGAACGGCUUGAGUUAGAAAGAGAGUGGACACUGAACAAGCCAUGGUUACACAUAAGGUCAAUAAGCUUGACCUUCACAAGAUUAAGGGUGUCCCAAACAUCACGAGUAAAUCGUCGGUUGAGAUGUAUGAACAAAACGAUAAAAUAAUUACUAGACUGCAUAGCUAAUGACGUGGGCCACAAGAGGAGAGACCAACAUCUCUUGGGGAAGUGUGUGAGCCUAGCUAUGAGAAUGUCACCAGUGACAAGUUUUUUUUCUACUUCUCUUGUCCAUGUCAGAGAAUAGCUAGCUCCUAACUACUUGUUGGGGGACGCCUAAAGAGAGAUUUAUAACCAUUGACACUAUUUCCAUGAGUUGCAGCAGGAGUACUAUAAGAAAUUGUAGAAAAAUAUCAUUAGUCAUUUCUCCAUCUACUUAAUAUUACUGUCAGUAGACAAAUAUUUUCUCAGUAAAUUUAUUUUAAUAUGUAUAGUAAAAGUUAAUAAUAUCCAAUAUAAAAUAGUUUGACUUAGAGCAAAACUAUAACGAGCAUUCUCUGUGGGACCGAUGUAGUAAGUAAGAAUUCACUAAAAAGGAAGGUGGUCCAAGCUGGCCGUUGUAAAGAUUUACUGUCACUUUGCUAUAGGGCUGUACAAAUCAAGGAGUUGUUACGUGUCCCUCUGAAAAAGCAAAAGAACCUGCUUUUAUUUAUGCCAACAAUAAAGCUCCUAGGUACAUUGACUCCACAUAUGAUGAAAAAUGACAGCCCAACCACAGUUGGUGGCAUCAGCUAAUGACUAGUUUUAAUACAGAUUACUAGCUAAUCCCGGUCGCUGAGCCAUUUGAAUUGAUCUUUUCUACUACAUGACCAGGUCGUUUUCCCUCAUAGACGAAAGAUGACUAAAGAUUGGCCUCCAUAGUGCCUGCUCUGAUCCGGAUCCGCCGAUCACCCAAAGAAAGUUAGAAAAAGGGGGUGAAGUUGAUGGUCAGAAACGGACAGCUCAACUCAAAAGGAAUUGACGUCUCGUUCCUGACAAACCUGGCCUGCUGCCAAAAUUCAUAUACUGAAUCGAUCAAGAAAUAAACAUGCAGAAAUAAUAACAAUGUUGCUUCAGGCGUAUGAGGAUAAUCAUAUAGGCCUUGUUUAGUUCUCAUCGAAAUCCAAAAAGUUUUCGAGAUUUCCCGUCACAUCGAAUCUUGCGGUACAUACAUGAAGCACUAAAUAUAGAUAAAAACAAAAACUAAUUAUACAGUUUGCCUAUAAAUCAUGAGAUGAAUCUUUUGAGCCUAGUUAAUCUAUGAUUGGAUAAUAUUUGUCAAAUAAAAACGAAAAUACUACAGUACCGAAAUCCGAAAUCUUUUCGGAACUAAACAAUGCUAUAGUAUGUAUGAAUGAAAGGCAGGCACUGCAAAUUAUUCAUUGGCUGUAAAAUCAGAGACACCAGAAAAUUACACGAUCAUCACAAAUAAUUACUUUUACUUUCAUCCUGAAAGGGAUGCUAGCAACAACAGCACAGACACAUAUCCACUGCACCACAAUAAUCGAUGGACCAGUCAUGGAGAUGCCGCUUGAUCAGCCGGACAAAGCUGUGCUAGCACAGCAAAGACGACGACCUCCAUAUAUGCAUGUCUUCUCAAAUUAAAAGAUUCAAAAAUGAAAAUCACCAUGAAGCUAUCACACAGCAACCGAUCGAUCAUCCUUAACGCUAGCAGCUGCGAUUAACAUUAACUGGGGAGGAGAAUGGACUGAAAACAUCAGCAUCAGCCAUCAGCCCCUGCACUGGGUGAUGGCGCUGCAGCCGCGGGAGUAGGGGUUGGCCUCGGCGCCGGGCUGGCAGUUGUAGUAGGACGCGCCGCGCUGCGAGCAGGGCACGUUGUCCCUGCGCAGCGCGUCGUAGCCGAUGUAGCCGGAGCCGCCCUGCAGCACCCGGCGCUUGCUGCCGCCGGUGGCCAUGCCCGCGACGUCGGCCUCGCCCUCGGCGUCCGCGCCCAAGUACUCCAUGCACUCGCCCACCGUGCCGCGGCACGUCCGCCCGCCGCGCCGGAUCACCACGGCGCCGGCCAGAUGGGCCACGGCCAGGUCGCCGACGGCCACUCCGGCCGCCGACGCCGGCGCCGCCGAGAGCGCGGCCACGGAGACGACGGCCAUCAGCAGCGCGAGGACGGCGGCGGCGCGGAGCUGCAGGCGCGGCGCCAUGGCGAUAAUCGAGCUGAAAUGCGCGCGCGCAGGCGGAGGGCGGAGGCGGCGGCGUGUCGUUGCUGGAUGCUGGUGCGAUGGGUGUGGAGGGCCGGCGCGCGGCCGAUGCAAGAAACAGUCGCGUUUGGUGGUGGUGUGGGAGAGCGCGGGGUGGGGGUGGGGGAUUAUAUCAUGGCAGCAAUGGCGGAGCCGAUCGACGGCAGUAGCUGAGUAGGUGAGGACUGAGGACGCGCGAGAGGGACCGCGACGAGACACGCGAGAGAGGAAGAGAGGGAGGGGAGAGAUGGCGCGUCGGCGUCGGCGUCGGCGCGGCGCUGUGGGGGCGGGCCGGGCGGGCGUGACAGCGACCGUUGGCCGGUCUUGAUCGAUGGAUCAACGUAGGCCUGCCGGCCUCGCGACGCGGACGCGGUCACCACACACACCUGAUCAUUGCGCUCGGCCGGCUCGUGCUCGGUGCCGUCGGAAGGGCGGGCGUUGGAGGCGGCACACGCGGAUCACCAUCGCUUAUUCGCCUGUCUCCUAGCCUCUGUACACGCACGGCAUGAUUGCGUGAUCUCGACGGUGGGUGGCAGUGGCAGGCAGUUGGUGUGCGUGUGUGUGUCAGUGUGUGUGCGCAUCGGAUCACGAGCUAGCGUCGCUCGGCGAGCCCAGGUGCUCGGGGAGGGGAAAAAAAAGGCGAAAUUAUCCGGUAGCGUAGCGAGCGAGAGACGCUAGCUCGGUAGGAGUUGUAGGACGACUAGGAGCCAAAGGACGCACGUACGCACGGCGGCCUCCAGGCAGGGUGGGCACGCUGGGGCCUCGCGUGCGUGCAUGCCAGGCACGUUGGCAGUUGGUCCCUCGAUCGGCCGGAACAACAACGGAGGGUGCACCCCCUGCGCCUGCACGGCACAUGUGAGUUGGCUGUGAGCGAGACCAGCUUAUUAGGGCCUUGUUUAGUUAUCGGAACGAAAAAAUUUCGGCUAUGGUAGUAUUUUCGUUUGUUUGUGACAAAUAUUAUCCAAUUGUAGAUUAACAAGGCUCAAAAGAUUCAUCUCGUAAUUUACAGUUACACUGUGUAAUUAGUUUUUUGUUUUUGACCAUAUUUAAUACUUCAUACAUGUGCCGCAAAAUUCGAUGUGACGGAGAAUCUUAAAAAGUUUUUGGUUUUUGGGGUGAAAGCUUUUGGCGAGUGGGAGCUGAGGUUAAUAAUACACCUGGUUGACACCAGCUUAGCUUGGCGAGUGAGAGCUAAAGUUAACAAUACAGCUCGUUGACACCACCUAGCUAAGAUUAAUAAUACAUCUUGUUGUAUGAACAUUUAAAAUUUAUGUAUCAGUGUAUUUAUAUUUUAGUUAGCUCACUUAUAAUUUACAUUUUCCUUUCAUAAAGUUUUUUGUUUUUUCAUAAGCUCGAUGUAAAUUUAGAGCAUGUUUCUCUUAUUUCUCCUCCUUUCUCCCCACUUGAGCAUAAAUUACACAUAAAACCCUUUACUAUACCGGAGUUGAGCAGUACUCUUUGCUCAAGUUAGAGCAACUGCAGCAGAGCUCUCAAAUUAAAUCCUUACUUUUGAUUUGAGAAGCUCCCCUACUCUUGAGGGCCUGAUCAGAGCUCUCAAAUCCCAAUACACACUAGCAAAUGGAACUCACUUUUCGUCUUCUCAUGACCAUUGUAACUGUCUGAGGCUCCGAGCUAUGUUCUAUGUUGUAGGGAGGCACUAGAGGAGAAGGAGAGAGCCGAGCACCGACAUGAUGGGUGCCUCGCCAGCGAAGAGGAGACACGCCCUCAAGGGGCUCACCACAUCGGGAGAGAGCCUCUCUGAGGGACGGUACGAGGGGAGUGGUCCUCAAGGGGCCUAGCCGCACUGGAAACGGGAGAGGGCCUCACCGAGGACAAGAGUGCAAUUUUGCGAGUGCACGGGGGUGGGGGGUUGUGUGCUCAAAAUCAGGCCCAAGUGAAUGUCGACGAAAGCUAGUCGGCAAUCUACCUUGGAGUAUACCCACGGUAGUAGUUUAUCGACAGACAGGUGCGCAAGCUAUGAAUUUGAUGGUGACGCCAGACACGGACAAGGUUUUUAUCCAGGUUCGGCCGCCGUGUGGGCGUAGUACCUACGUCCUGCGUCUGAUUGUAUUGCUGUGGAUUGAAUUGUGUCGAGUUGAGUUGUGUAUGAUCUGUCCUCUAGGCGACCUUUGCCCCUCCUUAUAUAUCCUGAAGGGACAGAGUUACAAGCAAAGUAUCCUAUUUGGUACAAUAUCUUGUAGCCUUGCGGUGCACGUCGACCAGCAUCGUACGCCGCACGUCUUCAUCUUGUGGGCCGAGCCACCUCUGAUGGUGCGGCCCAUGUCAACCCAUGAGGGUAUAGGGAUUUAUACCCCCACAGUGAAUGAGCUUGAGAGUUGCUCCUAGGCCUUGUUUAGUUCUAAUUUUUUUUGCAAAAUGGAUACGGUAGCAUUUUCGUUUGUAUUUGAUAAAAUAUUAUCCAAUUAUGGACUAACUAGGCUCAAAAGAUUCGUCUCGUAAAUUACAGACAAAUUGUGCAAUUAGUUAUUUUUUAUGUAUAUUUCAUGCUCCAUGCAUACGCUGCAAGAUUUGAUAUGACAGAAAAUCUGAAUUUUUUUAUAAAUUUUUUUUGAACUAAACAAGGCCCUAGUAUGCACUACUUAUUGACCACGGUGUGUUGAUGAAAUCAUUUUUUUCCAAACACUUGUUAAAAUUGAUUAACAGCCGCUACAAUAAGUCGUUUAAUCACAGUAGAAACAAAUUAAGGUGCAACUCAAUAGUACAACCAUACUCCUGUAUAAAUCUUGUGAUUAAUGCCGCCACACUGAUCAACAUCAAUUCAGUCCCUUACAUUCUACGAUAUCUAGCAAUGCACGUGCCUGGUAGGGUAUUCGCUUGCUGCAUGUUAACUGGUCCUCGAUCUACUAUGAACAGUGAGGAAGUAGCACGGUAGUACUGCUGAUAGGUCGUCUCAAGUCUGGUGGAAUCGAGGGAGCCAAUGACCUAGAUGUCUCUGCUUCACUUUAUAUAUAUAUAUAUAUGAUGAAACACACACAGUACAAUUUAGCCGUUCACGCACCCACACACCAGAUACAGGUUGAGCCGUAGAUCUCCUGUUAAUUGUGAAUUUGUAAUCGGUGAAGUCAUCACCUAUCACACACGGCAAUAUGCUACCAGUAGUAGCUUUCUGGGACUGAUGAGCUUGAUGGUACUGCUGGCCUGGCGUCCUCUUUGGAACUUUAACUUGCGUACAGUACUGUAUGGACCUGGCACUCGAAAUAUUAAUUCGAACUUUAAUAGCCGUUUAACGCCGCAGUUGACAGGAGUACUGUUUCUUCUGGGCCUAUAUGUAAGGUGUUUUAGUUAUGAGCUUGGGCUUCCGCACGAAUUCAAUUUCCCUGCCUUUGUUUUCGGAACCAUGUCCAUGUUCCUUUUCAUCUUUUCUAUUGUGCACUGAAGUGAAAUGCUCAUGCUGUUAUUAUAAUAAUUUCAAUUGUGAAUUUCAUUAUGUUGUUUUAAAAAAUGCUACAUCAGCUUUAUAGGUUUUAUGAGUUACGACAUCAUAUCUCAAUGCAUAGUUUCAUAUAUCAAAGUUUCAUAGGUUACUCAUACCGUUGAAUUAUUGAAUAGCGUUUGUGAUCCACUGUGCUAUAUAGAUUAUGUAGCCACAUAUGAUUUAGACUUGCUAAAAUUUACUCAAUCUGAAGUCAUGCCUUAUAACCUUCAUUGUUUGGUCACGUCCUGGAUAACUAAAUUGAAACAUGAUUAUAUUGAAAAUUGAACUGAACAAUUUGAACAUAAAUCAAAGUGCAGCCCUGAGCUCAAGUUUACUAUAAUUUUCAUCAUAACUUCACAAGAAGAUGGACGACAACCUAUAGACAAGGACUUCGCCACGGCCUUGGUUAUAGGCACAACCACGAACAUGAUGCUGUUGUGUGCCUCCUCGCCCCUACCAUUCCACAUAUCACGGCGGCCCGUGGCACUGGGUUCUUAAUCUCUGUGGCUGAUCCCUAUGGCGCCUACGUGGCCAAUGUUGCCGACCAACAAUGACCACCACUAUUGCAAUACGGAGGAUGGGGGAAGCACAUGUACAUUGCAAGCGGCACUGGAUUGAAGGAAGGGACGAGGAUGAAAUUAAAUGGCCUCGGUGCGGUUUUCAACCAUGAUCCAACUUCUGAGAGGUUUGAAACACUGUGAACCAGUUUCAUCUUGGUAAAACUCAAAUAUUCUCUUUUCUUAUUAUAAGAUGUUAUCAUAUUCAUUGAGAUGACAUAUUAUUUAAUAUAAAUGAAACUUUUAUAAAAUCGCUGUUGAGACUAGUCCUACAAGUGUAACGUCUCGUGAUGUUGCAAGUUCUUCUUGUUUUGCGUGGUUUUUUUUUCUUCUUUUUUUUGGGCCACAGGAACCACCCAAAAGCCAAAGGUGUGUCGAUGCCCCGUACGUGCAUUUUUCUUGCUGCAUGAUUGGAGCUGCGGUGGACGUGCAAGAAUGAAAACGUCCAGAUCAAAUCAACUUUCAUGAACAGUGUAACUAACAACGCCCGGAUAGUUAAGAAUUAAUGAAAAUGCUGAAACAAACACUACUACACAACUGUUUAACCGUGACGGGCACUUUACAUUUACCGCAGCGGGCAUUGGCGUCCACCACGAAUGAAAGGUCACGGUUAAUCGUGGCCUCACCGUGGCGGGCGCCUGUGCCCGCUGCGGAAAAUGGAUUUACCGCAGUGGGCAACAUAAGGUGUCCGCUGUGGUUAAUCCCAUUAACCGUAGCGGGCACCUUAUGUUGCCCGUCGCGGUUAAUGAUUAAAAAAACAAAAAAAAACCUGGACAGGCCUGUCGAGCCCAUCCAGAGGCCCGAUGAGCCCAUCCAGGUUGUUGCCGCCGCCGCCGCCAGGAAAACCCUAGCGCCGCCGGUGCAGGGUUGUCGCGGUCGUAGUCCAUGGAUCUACUCUAAUCCACCUUCUCAAAUCUGGCUCGUGGCGGCUCCUUCACCGGAUCUGAAAAGAGAGAAGGAAGAACACUGAGAUGAGUGAAAAAAGAGAGGGAGACGUGAGGAAGAGAAGGAGGAGCAGCGUACCUCAUGUCGACACAAAGGGGGAUCUAUGUCUUGGUGCCUUCCCCGCCGUGGAUCUGGGCUCCAUCCGCGCCGCCGUGCCGCCGUGCUCUGUCCGCGCCGCCCGAGGAGGUGGGCAGAGCGAGGAGUGGUAGUAGAGCAAGGCGAGGAUGAGGAGGAGCAUGAAAGCGACGCCGACGGGGGAGCCUCCCACGCGGUGGACGGCGUCGGGGAACCUGCCGAAGACGGGGAGGAGGAGCAGACCCACGGGGCUCAGUAGCUCCGCCACGGCCUCCGCCAGCGCCUCGUCGCCGUUGCCCAGAAACAGCGGGGCCGCCACCACCACCGCCAGCAGCAGGCCGUGAGGCACUAAAUUGAAUAAUCACCGCUAGCAGCAGCAGCAGGUAGAGACCUUAUAUAUUUGGGCUUCAAAAUUUACUGUGACGGGCAUGAUAGGUUGCCCGCUGCGGUAAAUCGAUUUACCGCAGUGGGCAUCUUAAUAUAUCCGUCACGGAAAAUAUAUAAGUGCCCGCUGCGGUAAAUCGUACGAUUUACAGCAGCGGGCAAAAAAACGCCCGCCACGAAGUGAACAGUAGCAACGUCACGGAAGUUCGUUUGUGUAGUAGUGAAAACAAAGAGCUGACUGCUAAGGAAUGGUGAUAACAACAGCUUGAUUAUUAUAUAUACUCCGUAAUUUGGAACCGGCCUGAUGUUUGUUCUGGCGAAAUAUAUAUAUAGAGCGCCUCAUGCAAAAGGAAAAGCAAUAAACUACUACAAGUACUGUAGAAAUUUUAAUUUGCUUCUUGGGCCUUGUUUAGUUCAAAAAAAAAAUUGCAAAAAGUUUCAAAUUCCUCGUCACAUCAAAUUUUGUGACGCAUGCACGGAGCAUUAAAUAUAGAUAAAAAAUAAUAACUAGUUACACAGUUUAGCUAUAAUUUGCGAGACGAAUCUUUUAAGCCUAGUUAGUCUAUAUUAGACAAUAUUUAUUAAAUACAAAUGAAAGUACUAUUAUUUUUAUUUUGUAAAAAAAAAUUGUAAGUAAACAAGGCCUUGCUACAACAUGCAGACAUCCCGGCCGGAAAGCCGAGACACUGGGACUGCCACUGCCAAACCACACACGUAUCAUCACGGGAGCUACCCUAAGCAGUUGACCCGGCGGCCGGCGGACUGGUCUCCGGUGCGCACACCGUGCACCAAACGACGACGACAGGUCCAAGCGAGAGGCCGAGAGGUACAAAUAGCUAAGGCAACGAGUGCGCAUGCGUAGGCGCGGCGCGCAGGCCGGGGGUGGUUGCACCGGCACGCGUACUACCAAUUCAACACGAGAUGCGGUCCGGGUGCCGCACGGUUGGUGAUUGCCGGCCGGACACGAGUGAGAUCGGCCGGCGAGAUCGACCCACGAUGACGUCGCACACGUACGCGGGCGCGAUGCGAUGGGGUCGAAUGCGUCAAAUCUGUUCACGAGCUAGGGCGCCAAAAUUUAUCCAGUAAAUUACAGAUAAACUGUGCAAAUAUGUCAAAUCUGUUCACGAGCUAGGGCACCCAAAUUUAUCUCGUAAAUUCAGAUAAAUGGUAUAAUUAAUUAUUUUUUAAUCUAUAUUUAGUAUUCCAUGUAUUCACCGCAAGAUUUAAUGUGAUGAGUAAUUUUGAAAAAUUUUACAAACUAAACAAGGCCUAAAGACGCUCAAAUAGUCGUCUCGAUGUCGUUCUCUGCUCAUUUCGUUGUUCUAGACGAAUAGGCUAAUGUGUUCUCCCCAACGCACGCUAUAGCAGCCACACGCGGGCGGGCAGGUCCAAGUCCAAUAAUGAACCAAGGCGUCGUCACCUCAGCGCCCGUAUACGUUUCUCUCGAAAUUGUGCCCAGAAAGAUUUUCACUUGAAACCACAGGCUAUUAAUUUUAUAUAGCAAUUGAGGUCAUGGCUUGCUUGUGUUCCUCAUAUAUCAGAUACUUUUACCAGAGCGAUUAGUAUGUCCGAAUUACGACGGCCUCUUGCCAUCAGAGAACUAAUAAUAAACUGCGUAGCUCAAGCUGAGUCUGUCAUGUGUGUAUACACGCGCUGAUCUCUGCAGCAUGCGCGCAUAGGACGACCUAUAGCUGACCGAUCGAUUCUGAUGGAUGACCAACUGCACUUCCUUUGCUUUGUAAAUACUAUUUAUUUUAUUUUCAUUAGUGUAGCAAUCCAUGGGCGUUGCAAUGUCCAUGAGUCGUAUCAGUGUAUAUAUUAUAUUUAUUUGCAUUAUAAUCAUGACAAGCUACACUUUGGUAGAGGCGGCUACGUAGCUUAUAUAUAUAUAUAUAUAUAUAUAUAUAUAUAUAUAUAUAUAUAUAUAUAUAUUGCAUUAUAGUCCUUAUAUAAAUAUAAGUAUAUGCGAUGCGCGGGGCGCGGCGCGGUGGUCAAAGUGUAGCCGGAGGAGGGGUCAUCGGGUGUACCGCGCGUCCGUCCGUUUCAGUUGGAUCUGCUUCGGCGGUAGGGGACAGUAGCACCUGCAAGCCCUUCUCACGUCGCCGUCCACGGUCCACCUGUGACUGUGACUGUGAGCCUCACCUCAUCGUCUAGUAGCCCUUUGGUGCUUGUCCUGUCGGUUUAUCUUUUUCUCAGGCCUCGUUUACGUCUAGUUUUCGCCUCUCAAAAGCUAUUUUUUUUAAAAAAAUUUGUCACAUCAAAUCUUACGACACAUGAAUAGAACAUUAAAUAUAGAUAAAUAAAACAACUAUCGCCAUGUUCGGCUAAUCAUUUCUGUAUGGCUGAUGCUGAUACUGAUGCUGAUACUAAUAUGUUCUGAAAGGAAAAAAUACUUUUUUUUUGGCUCAAAAGCAGUGGCUGAUAUAUAUUUACCAAUGCUCUUGGAGCUGCUUUUGGACUUUGGGUUUAUCGCUAUACCAGGUACCAGGGCCCAAAGAAAGAAGGAAUGAAAACGGAGAAAGGGGGCGCCGUGCGUGCUCUAUCUCUAUUCCUUUGUGGACCAUGAUGGGCCUUAAGUGGGAACCGCAUGUUUGUUUCCGCGGCGGCUCGUAUGGAACUACGGGCCGAAUUACAAAGUGCGCGUCCGUUCGUUAAAGGGCCUUUUGGGAGAGUGUUCCUUGGCAUCGUUGGGCCAUUUUUGCCACAGCAGCGCACACCCUGCUGCCUGCUUGUUCUGCAUUUCAUACUUGGCACAUGGCAGCGGCUCUCGGUCUCAGCUCCAUUGAUUUGGCAGAGCUAGCUCCUGCAUCGUGCCCUAAUUCUUCUUGAAACUAUAAUGUGUGUACUAUAGUGAAAAUGCACGCAUAUAUCAAUAAUGGUGGUGGUCACUGGCACACAAACGAUAAAUGUACAGUCGUCACACGCAUGCGUGAUCCAUCGUCUCGAGCAACUUACACAUCAUCACUCCCAGACGACGACAGCACGCACACACACUGCUGGCACGUACACACUACACACGUAAGCUACUGAUUCAGAUCAGCUCCACACUCACACACACACUGCUUCGAAAUCAAAUUUAGCGAGACAUGCAUGCAUAGUAGCUAGUAGCUAGCAAACUCACGUACGGCGACUGUCAAACACUAGCUAGCUAUAUAUCUAGCUGCUGUGCACGUACUCCUCACAAAGUCACCACUAAUUAAUUAACAAGAGCAAGCUCUCCACCAUAGACGACGAUCGAUGAUACUGAUGAGACUGAUCGAGAUGCUAACAAGAGGUAGGUAGGUAGGUAGCUAGCAUCAAGCAGAUGCAUGGAUGGAUCAUAUCAGACGUCGACGACCCUGAAGGAGUCGCGGUUCUUGAUGACGAUGUCGUACAUGUGGACGGAGGAGAACCUGUUGAAGUCGGCGGGGAGGGAGAUGAGGUCGAGGGAGCCGCGCUUGUGGAACUGGUACAGCGCCGGGUCCUCGUAGUAGCGCUCCCACCCCAGCGCCCGCAGCUCCGACUCCAGCUCCGCGUACGACCGCACCACCUGCCCGCUCGGCGUGUGCACCAGCGCCUUCCGCCGCCGCACCGCCUCGCCGCCAGCCGCCGCGCCGUUCUCCACCAGCCGGACCACGCCGUUCUUGAACACCCAAACGCCAGACAUGAUUGAUUAAUUGAGCUGAGAGGAUGGUGAUGAUAGCUUUGAGUACUGCUUCAGAGCAGAGAGAUGGUUAUAGCUUAGCUAGUGUUGCUGCUGCUGCUGCUGGCCGGGAGCUAGGAUUGUGUGGUGGAUGGAUGGAUGUUUGAUGAAGCAAGGGAGGCCGAUCAAGGGUGUAUAUAUAGAGCAUGAAGGCAGGGUAGAGCAUGAAGAAAGCCAAAAAGUGCCAAAGGUAUUUUUUGAUGAUGUGGGGUAGAUGUGACAUGGAUGUAGGAGACAUACAACACAUACAUAUAUAGAUGUUAUAGUACACGUAUGUGAAUAUAUACUCUACCACUAUAGAUUAUAGCUACAUACAGGGCACGUACUAGAUAUAUCAUGAUGCUAGAUAAUGAAUGAAUGAAGAAGGCAAAUAUUAAGGGAAAAGUAAGCCAGCUAGCAAGAGAUCAGGAGAACAUAUAUCUUGGUUUGCAGGUGUGGAUUCGCAGUUAGCUUGGUUAGGUCACGGCAAAGAUGCUGUUUAUAUAUUCUGAACAUCGAAAUUAAAUUAGAGAGCUAGGGAAGAGGAACGGAAGAAGAUUAUAUACUUGAGUGCGUGUACACCGGAUCAGAGAGAAUAUAUGUGUAUACAUGUAUCUACCUAUAUAUAUUGUAACAGUGUUAGUUAAGGAUUCUCUCUGCUCCGAUCCUCAAUGUGCUUGAUAAGCUACCUGGAAUAUAUUUUCUUUUUUUGCGAAAAGACAGAAAUGAAAGAUCCACGCACAGGUGCACUGCACGGAUUGUACAAAAGUGUGUGGUGUGGAUAGUGCAGUGCAUCCGACAUCAUCCAUAUAUAAUUGCACGCACUGUAGAAUGUGUAGUCUCCGGAAAAGUAGUAAGGCCUUGUUUGGAUGUAGUCGGAUUCGCAUUAAUCCACAUGUGUUGGAGUGGAUUGGAGUGGAACUUGAACUAAAUUCCACCCCAAUCCACUCUAACACAUGUGGAUUGAGAUCAAUCCGACAACAUCCAAACAAUGCCUAAAUCGUUUCAUAUAUACUGGAACCUACUGCCAUAUAUUUUAUGUUCAGGCCGAAUUCAGGUGAUAGAUCAGUUUGAGAAUCGCGCGAUUUCACCACGUGUCGCAGCACCGUCACGGCACGUAGCAAAGGCAGAGAAAUAUCGCCAAAUUUUUGCAUCUUUUGAUGGGGAUGUUUUGGAAUGAAAAUGUUUGCUUAAUUGCAAAUGGGGGCGAUCCUACUAUACUACCUUUACGAAAUGUUCAUGAAUGCAUUGUUUAUAAAUAAAGUUAAUUCUGUGGAAGUUAGAUAAGUAUUCGAUCGCUUGUCGAGAGAAAAAAUAUAGACGUUGUGUGCGGAAUCCUACCAACCUUUUCCCCGAAAAGAAAACAAAAAGGAUCGGGGGGCCAAAUUCUCACUACUCAAGAUCAAGGGAAUACGAUUCACUCGCUAUAGUUUACUCCUUUACUUAGCCAUCGCACAAGAGAAUUUGGGCUGUACGUCCUCAUCCUUAGAGCAAAUUCUUUUUUUUAGCGAAAGGGAAUUUGAUCGAUCAUCGAGAUCAAUCUCGCCUUUUAUCGGCCGGGAACAAAAUUGAUCCUCGCUCAUUGUCAAGUAUAUAUUUUGGUGUACGGCAGGAAUAAUGCGGGAUGCAAUUGCUGUAGGCAAGCUUGGAGCAUCCGCAAAGAGAGAUUUUGGCUUAUCUUAGUUUCCCCUGGUGCCUACGUAAGUGAUGGCACAUUUGUUGGCUACCUAUAAUUCCCGUGAAUAUUAAGAUCAUUUGGCACAACUUUACUUCACCUGUAAAAUUCUUCUUUAUUUUUUCCUUCAGGUCCAUAAACAGUUUUGUCUUGAUGGAGCUAGAGCUGCUUUGAUAAACCAUUUUACACAUGUAGAUCUUGUAAUUAAAACAUGCUCUCACAUAAACUCCAUAUAGAACCCACUAGGACGAGGUGAAGCCCUGCUUCAUAUCUCUUUGGAAGCACAAUUUAAGAAGUUUUCUGGAUGAAGCCAUUUUAUUUACAUCGUUUGACAAAAAAAGACUGCAAACGGCUUCUGAAAUGGGACCUAACUUGGCACAUGCUAUGCUAGCUAGCUCAUGGAUUGAUAAAUCUCAGAGUCGGUUCGGUUGUACAGUUACAUGGUGAGCGCGCACCGCAAAGGAAAUGCUUGUUUUUUGGUGUGUAUGUCAAAGUCGCCUUUUCACGUAUAUAUUAAGCUGCUGUGUGUGCCAAAAUUAAAGUUCUCCUUAUCUUCCUUCUGAUUCUCUAUUCUGCAUUACGAAUAGUCGGCUUGCUAGGUAUAAAGCUACGAGUCCUACCUAGCUAAACCAUGCAUCCUGCUGGAGAAUUUGUGAUAUAGUAGUAUAUGUAUCUGUGUUCUGUGGUGAUCCUGCUGGAGAAUUUGUGAUAUAGUAGUAUAUGCAUCUGUGGUGAUGAUUUAAUCUAUAUUAGUACAGGAAUAAGAUCAUACUACUGCAGAGUGACACUUUAACAGUAGCAAUCAAUACAUACCAAACACACAGCACACAAGUUUCGAUCUAUCACUGAAAGUAUUAGAGAGCCUUGCUUAUUACCAUCCCCUCCCUGGUAACACUCCGGCCUCCGAUCCUUUUCGUUUUUAUAUAAGACGCUGUUAUUUGACCCACGUCUCUAUCACCACACUUUUACAUUAUUCUCAUAUAUUUUAUAAUGUCGUCUACGGCUAUGCAUUUGAAACUAUAUGAAAAUUUUUGUGUGGUAUUCCAGUGAUACUAAAUUUGUAAUGGUAUUUUCUAAAUUUUUUAAGUGUUAAUCAAAGAGUAAUAUGUUUAAACCUUUACUUGCUUGUGUCGCUAAAGAAAAAGAAAUGAGAGAGUAGUGAACCAAGAUUUGUAACUUCAGAGAUACUCCUUCCACCGCAAACUAUAAGUUAUUUUGACUCUUUUGUAUACAGCUUUUACUAUAUAUCUGAAUGUAUAUAUACAUAACUUUUACUCUAGAAAAUCAAGAACUACUCAUAUUUCCAUAAAAAAAAGAACUACUCAUAUUUGGAAAUGAAUUAUACAGAUGUAUUUUUUUUCGAGAUCGCGACCUCACAUAUUUUUCAUUAAGAAGAAGAGCCGAGAGAACGGCAAAGUAACUGAUACAAAGGAUUCGCAAGUAAUAGGAUUACCAACGAAGUCCCCAACACAAACGAAAAGCAAGAAACAUGAGGGAAGGGACCCUCUACCUAACAACCCUAUGGAUGAACCCAAUACAAAGAACACAACACUUUGGAAGCAAGCAGUGAGGUGAAGUCGUAGAUAAAAACAGUGGCAAAGCAUCCGCUAGAAACAUCCGACGGCACAGCAUCCGUCCAAGUACGAGGACCAUCGACGCGGCAAAUUAUACAGAUGUAUAUAUACUACUUUUGCUAUAUAUCUAAAUGCAUAUAUGCUACCUUUUUGUGAUAGAAACCGUUUACCUAUAUCUACACACACGAAUUGGUUCUGUUUUGGAUCGAAGAAGCCCUACGUGGCAUAUGCCCCUGUUUUGGAACCGGGGUCUUUAAUUUGCAUGUUCCUGUAUUAUAACAAAAAGCAAGGAAUGAACCAUCAAGGAUCGAUACAUAUGAUUAAUUAGGUACGGUAAGUGGGUACGUACAUUAAGUACAUCAACUUGUGAAUGGCACGCACUUUCCGUCACUGAGCUGGCCGGCAUGUAUGCGAUUACUUACAGCCAAGAAACUCUCGAUGGGGAAUCAUAUCCGACUGAUUGAUCAAUGGAUCGUACGCGUAUAUAUUGCAUGCAGUACACACAACGCAUACACAUAUUCUCACGUACGUGUAAACUGUACAGCAAAUCUUUAAGAUAGUAACCCGGCGCAUGGAAAGGCGAGCUCGUGCGCGCCUAACUAUUUUUGACGAGUUGAACACGUGCUGAUGGGUCUGAUCGCGAGAUGAUCGCCUACACAAUAAUAUAUUCCUGAACGGCUAGCUGCAUGGGCGACCUGACCAGUCGAUCAAUAUAUAUGUUCAUCUUUCAUGUGUGAUUCUCUCUCUCGUUUUCAGCCUGAGCUCGAAUAUUUAGGCCUUGUUUAGUUCCAAAAAAUUUUCAAGAUUUUAUGUCACAUCGAAUCUUGCGACGCAUGCAUGAUGCAUUAAAUAUACAUAAAAACAAAAACUAAUUGCACAGUUUAUUUGUAAACCGCGAGAUGAAUCUUUUAAGCCUAGUUACUCUAUAAUUGGACAAUGUUUGUCAAAUAAAAACGAAAGUGCUACAGUGUCGUUUUCCAAAAUUUUUUACAAACUGAACAAGGCCUAGGUUUAGACAAAUAUGGCUUUAUUACGUAACAGUCGUAGUAUUCUUAUUAGACGCGACUGAUCUGACGACUAGAUGACUGGUGGUGACUAGGAUGCAUGGUUUCCACAAGUUACAGCAUAUACUGCUCCCAGGUCAAGCUCAAGAUGCUAAUUUUUUGUUCAAACCGAGCGGGAAUUGUCCAUGUUUCACACUGCGUUUUGACGAUCAUGAUGAUUCGAUCGUGUCAGCCAGUUUGCUUGGCUUCCAGAGAUCGGCCAGACAUAGAUGCUUGGAUUAGCACGAAGUUAAUUAGCCAGAGCCAGAAGAAGGUAUAUUAAUUAGAUUUAUGUCUCCGAGGGGAGUCACUACUACAUAAACAUAUGUAGAGGCGGCUAGGAAGUCUUUGUAGAGGCGGUUGUCCGUCCCUAUAAGACUGUUGUUUGGAUCUGAUGACACCCACAAGUUACCCUCACUCUAUACCUGUAAAAAAAAUCGUUUAGGACAAAGACACGGUUUCUAAAACCUACUUUGACUUCUUAUUUUUAUAAAAAAUAUUUAAGAUAAAGUGGUAUAUGUAUAUUUUUAUAAAAAUAUUUUUCAAGACAAAUAUAUUCAUAUAGAUUUUCAAUUUCUAGACUCAACAACUUAAGAGUUAUUCAUGAUGAUUUAUAUUUUCAAUGUUUAACUCGAACCUUAUCUAAAAUGAUUUUCUUUAUGGAUACGAAGUACUCUAUUCACAUUGUGAAGAGGGCUUGGAUGCUUACUAGUACCCGUAGACCGGCAAGAUAGGUCUAGCUAUGUUGCCACGCUGAGCUUGGCGUAGGUCGACGUUGGGCGCCAUAGUGGCACUGGCACCUAGUGGCGAAGCCACGUUGAGCCACCCGAGUGCACAGGCACCAGGGUAAAAUCCAAAUAUUAUGUUCAGCUGCAUUCAAUACAAGAGAUUCAUUUCAUGAUUUCAAUGUGGAUAGUUUGAUAAGCCUAGCUAAGCUAUACCCAAGUGACUUUGAUUCCGUGCAACAGGGAGAUCUGCAUACUCAACUUUUCCUUUAUAUUGAUGAUGUACGACAAGAUGACAGAUUUCUUAACAUACAAACCAUUGCUGAGCUUUCCAAAAAAUGGUGGACACAAGAAAACAUCUUACCUAUCCUUUGGUUUAUCGGUUAUUGAAGCUAGUACUUGUAUUGCCAGUCGCCACAGCUACAGUUGAGAGGGUCUUUUCAGGCAUGAAGAAAGUGAAAACAUGUUUGCGCAAUAGUAUUGGUGAUCAGUAUAUGAGUAACAGUCUCAUUUGUUAUGUGGAGAAAGAGAAAAUGUUGAAAGUUACCAAUGCUGAUGUAGUGGAUCGCUUCAAGAAAAUGAAAAAUCGCAAAUACUAGGAGGUGAUGAUUACUUUCAUAUUUUAUUAUCAUUUUCUAGUUCUGAAUCCAUCUUUUCUCGACAUAUUUAGUCAUCUAACUAGCACUUCUGUUAUAGGUAAUUGACUCAUUGAGGACUUUGGCUUCACAAUUAUUUUAUGCAGACCAUGUAAAUUUGGGGUGUUUAUCUGAAUUGACUAUUAAUAUCUCAAAUCCAUCAUUUUGGUAAGCAUUUCUCUAAUUAUACUGUGUAUGUACGGUCACUGUGUAGUAGAUAUUAUCAUUAUCCUUAUGAAGUGUGCACUCGGGUCCUUGAUGCUCUAGCUUCGCCACUGCUGCCACCCCUACCGUGCCACGUUAUUUUGCCAUGCCAAUGGCAGUGCUCUGCCUUUGACGCGACCAAAACGAUAAAAUUUGCACACUUGAAGGAUGUUUUUUAAUAUAUUGAUUAAAAAAGCUAAAAAUAAAAAUAAAAAUAUCUAUCUGUAGAGCACCACUGCAGUGUACGUCCUCGGUUCACCAUUAAAGGCUACAUAGGCUAUAGCUAAUCCUAAUAAGAACCAGAUUCGUGCUAACAGUAUUCAAUCUAGGAUGGGAAAUCAAUUGAUCGUGCUCGUGGAAAUUGCGAUAUGUGGAAUAUAUGGGGAUCAUGUCGAACACAUCCGAGACACUGACAGGCAUCUCUUUGUCACGUGUGCUUGACCCACAUCUUGAGCUCUAUCGGGAGGGAAUAAGCUUCUUGUGAACUUGGCGUGCAUGUAUACUUGUAGAGACUAUAGACACUCGUGCAAACGAAGCGUGAACAUUUUUUUCGAUCGAGACGACAGAACAUUCCAUAUGCUUCAGGUUUCCUGUGCAGACGUGAUGCGAUCCCGUCCCUUGGGUAUGCAUGGUUUGGUAUGAGCAUCUUACCCUAGACAUUUCCAUGGGUUUGAUGUUACCGAUAGAUCAACCCACGUAGCAGAGAUGUUCCUCCGAAGUAAAAGCAGGCAGGCAAUAGAUCCCACGGUUUAGAAACCAGACAUUAAAACCAACCAAUUCGUACAAACAAUAAUCUUAAAGUCAGCACAACAGAAUAAAGUAUCAAAAGAUCAGGGGAUGACCAGGGAAUGGUUUCAGAUUGAUUCAGUUAAGGGUUCCA